UUGUUCCUUUUAUUUCGAAAACCCAUUAAUCAUCAACACAUACACGCCCAAUUUUAAAAAAAAAAAAUAAUAAUAAUAAAAUAUUUAAGUCGUCCUCUGUUCAAUAAUCAAAAACCCAUUUAAAAUCUAUUUUAACUUUAGGUAUAUGGGUUAACAAGUCCCAAUAUUGUCCUCCAUCUUUUCUGCACUUCUCUGCUAUCAACGGACAUCCCCCGAUGUAUAAUUGCAAAAGUGAGGAAGGCAGGCCCUUCUCCGGAAAGUAUUUGAGCUUGGGACAAUCCUCGAGUUCCAAGUGAGUGAGGUUUUGAAGAUCAACAAUUGAAGAAGAUAGGCGUUCCAGAUUUGGAAAAUUACCAAUCAUCAGGGAUGCUAGACAGGCAGGAAGAGGAAGCGUGGUCCUCAAUCUUAUGUCCUCCGGUGGGAAUGACACCAUGUCGUCAUCGCAUCCGCUGAUUGUAAGUUGUCGCAGAGAGGAGAAUCUGUGGAAUCCCCGACCCCACUCAAUCGUUGACUUCCAAAUCUUCUUAUUAUCAAUAAUCUCCAGCCUAUGAAGGUUGGUGGGAAGGCCAUCAUCUUCUUCAAGGCUUGGAAGCUCACCUCCUUCUCCUAUUGUUAAUUGUUGAAGAGAGGUCAGAUUGUGCAAUCCCUUGGGUAAGACCUGUAGUCUCUUACAAUAAGAUAUCUCUAGCCUCGUGAGUUUCGCACAAGGCAAUCCCCCUUGGGGAAAGGACACCAGAUUUUCACAUUCCCAUAUCCCUAUCUCUUGAAGCUGGCGGAGAUUAUGUAAACCACUCGGUAAAAUUUUCAGAUUUUCACACUCAGAAAUACUGAUUGUUUCAAGAGAUGUGUUGUUGUCCAACCUUUCUGCUAUUGACUCCAGCUCUGAACAACUCCAAACAUCAAGGGACUUAAGAGACGGAGGUAGAUUGCCAACUUCAAGGGACUCAAGCGUGGCAGGUAACUCGUUUUUUGAAAAUAUACACGUCAGUGACGGACACCUGCUAAUAUGCAAGCCCUCGAGAAGAGAUGAGGUGUACCUUCUGCUGCUGCUGCUGCUCUGGAUGCCCUCUUCCACCGUCAAAGUCCUUAUAUUAUCGCAAUGGCGGAUCUCCAACCACUUAAGGCUCGGUGGUAGUUGGACUCCAGCAAUAUAUGUCAACGAAUUGCAAAUCCAAAUCUCCAAGAUCUCGAGAGAUGAAUUGGUGUCGCACAUCCAUGCCUCUGGUAACGAUUUCAGUGCAUCACAUUCUCUAAUCUCAAUUUUCUUCAACUUGGAAGGCAGAGCAACCUCAGGAAAGGAAACAAGGGAACUGCAGCCGUAGAUUUCUAUCUCUCUCAAGGAGCUGAGGCUGAGAGGUGAUUGUGGCAGCUUCACAAGGUCUUGGCAAUCUCUCAAAUCUAUAUAUUCGAGUAUGCACGACAACUGGCAGAGCUGCUGUUGUUGGUCUUUCUCUUCCUCCGCCACCAAGGAUUGAAGUUUGGGACAACUUGUAAUCGUCAGUCUUUUGAGAGAGCAAAUGUCUUGCAGCAAUUCGUUAUGACUCUUCCAUAUAUAUGUCUGCUCUUUCAUAUCAUUUAUCUCCAAUUCUUCCAAUUUUGGUAUUCGCGGCUUCAAUGGCCCUGCGAGAAACACUUGAUUUGAUGUAUCUCUACAAACUACUGAAUUCUGCGAUCCGAGAUGACCAGUUGCACUUUCCCACACAAUCUUUUUGCAUCCACCAAUUAUGAAUUUGCAAAGAGAUGGAAGACUCGAAACUGAAACUAACAAUUCUUCACAUCCUUCAAUAACAAGCAUCUCCAAUGCAGGAAGGUGCUCUGGAAAUGUUCCUUUCAGUUUAGAACAUCUUAAAAUGUGAAGCUCUCUCAAUUUAGGAAACCGUUCAACUCCCUGACUGAAUCCAUGAGGAAUCCAGUCUUCCCAUCCUUGCAUGUCUUCAAAAUGAAGCGUCUCCAAGCAUGGAAAAGGAAUUGGAGUAUCAUUCCCAUAGAACUCUGAACCCAACCUCUUUACACUAGUCAUUCCACAUACUGCAAGAUGCUUUAGAGAGGGUAGUUGGCCGACUGACGGCAGGGUAGGACACAUGCCACAAUAUUCAAAUUUUAAGGUCACCAACUUUAAGAAUGAGGAAUCUCCGAACCAAGUUGGAAAUUUUGCGCCUCCAUAGCCGCUGAUACAAAAUUGUUCCAGAUUUUUAUGGGGUUCUAGCAUGUCAAGCACGUCCUUUUCAGUUUCCGCCUCCCUUGAAGACGAGCCAUCGGUACUGUUUGUCCACCGAAGCAUUAACACUUUAAGGUUCUUCUUUCCAUCCAAUUGAGCCUCCUUUGCAUCACCAACGUCUUUUACGUUCUCCAAUUUUGAAAUGCAAAGUGUCCCACGAAGGUGCGUCAACAACUUUAGCUCUCGUAACCCGGAACCACUGUCUUUUCCUACAACAAAAUUACACAACGUCUGAAGACAAGUCAACUUGCCAAUUCCUAGUGGCAUUUCCUCCAACGACUUCGUAUUUGAAUUCUUAAGAUGAUGCAAUUUGGCGAGGUUUCCCAUGUCUGCACACAACUUCUUCAGCCGAUCACAAUCUUCCAACAAAAGACUAUGCAAAUUGUAAAGCUUGUUGACUGAUUCAGGCAGAGUUCUAAUCUCAGUUCCAGACAGGUUAAGGUACCUUAAAUACCUCAAAGCACCAAUUGAAUCCGGCAGCUCAGGGAUGCGGUAUCCACGCAAAGAGAAGACCCUCAAGCGUUGGAGUUUGAGCAACUUAGGAAGAAUGCUAGGAGCCAAGUAUCCAGACAGUGAGCUAUUUGACAGCAUUACGGGUAAAAAUGUUCGCAAAUGUUGGAUAUCGUACAAGUCCUCAAACCUUUUAACACCAUCGUAAUCUCCACGAAUAUACGACAGAUGACGAAGAUUUCUUGAAAAACUUUGUUGCUUGUCAACCUCUGAGAUAUACUCCAUUCUGAAGUACAUUUCCCCAGCAGCCCAUUGAGCAAGGUCAUUGACGAGGUCGUGCAUCACAAAUCGUGAUAUACUGUUGCUUGAUUGCUGGAAAAAAGAUCUUGCACGUAGUUCUCGAAAGAACUUUCGACCUAGAUCUUCACUAGGAUUCCCGCUCUCUCCGUGAUCCAAGAGACCCACAGCACACCAUAAUAAAAUUAUCUCCUCCUCUUCAAAUUCAUAAUCCUUUGGAAACAAUGAGCAGUAUGCAAAGCAUUGUUUCAAAGGUGCCGAAAGAUAAUAGUAGCUCACUCUAAGCGCAGGUAUAAUGUCACAUCUCUCUUCUGGUAAAUCCCAUAUCUUGCAACUGAGCACAUCUUCCCAAUCACUUCGGUCACGUUUACCACGUAAGAGUCCACCAAGAGUUUUCGCAGCUAAGGGCAAGCCGUUGCAUUUGAUCACUAUAUUCUUGCCAAUGUCCUCCAAUGACUUAUGUGAACUGAAAUCUGUUGUCCCCAAAGAGUGCUGAGCGAACACAGACAGACAGUCCUCAGUUGACAAGCUUUUGAGUUCAUAAGCUUGAUCCAGGCUCAUGAUUUUGGCAACCUCUUCAUUGCGAGUGGUGACAACAAUCUUACUUCCCUGUGCGCCAGCUUGAAAUGAAAGGCUGAGGUGAACCCAAUCAGUGUAAUUCUCAUUCCAAACGUCAUCUAAAACAAGCAAAAAUUUCUUUCCAAAUAGUUGUUUCUUUAGCUCCUCUUGAAGCUUAUUCAAGUCGUGAUUAUCCACAUUCUGGCCAGGAGCAAUGGAAAUUAGGAUUGAUUUUGUAAGCCUGCUAACAUCAAAAUCAUCGGAGACGCAAGUCCAUGCCUUGAGAUUAAAAUGAUCCUCCACCUGCUUAUCAUUGUAGACAAGCUGAGCAAGAGUGGUUUUACCCAGCCCGCCCAUACCUAUAAUAGGAAUAACAGAGAAUCCACCAUCCUUUCUUGAAUCAUCCUUCAACAACAAUUCAACAAUUUCCUUCUUUUCUGUUUCCCUGCCAUAUACUUUGGCUUCCUCCACCAAAGAGGUUGUCUCUUGCCUUUGCCUGGCUUUUUUGGAUCCCCCAGCUGAACUUUUUAUCAAAUUCAGCGAGCCUAUUCUUUCUUCAAUAUCUUGAAAUCUAUCGUUGAUUUCUUUGAUUUUGGACAUCAUGGCGUAAUCGAACUGAAUCGAUUGUGGAGUAAAAGUGGUGCAGCAAGUAGGAAUGAGCUUCCGAAACUUACUUUUCGUGCUUGUACGACUGCUGCUGGGUUGAUCAUGAGCAGCAGCUGGUUCUCCAUUUCCAAGCAGCAACUUCCUCCGGAAAGCCUCAGUUUGGAACUCAUCCAACAAGUCUUCAACGUCAUAAGCCAAGUUCUGAAGCUCGCCAAGCCACAACUUCACAGAAUCAUCAGUCGUCUUCUUCUGCUCAGCAUCAUCAAGCACCGCCUUGAUCGUCACCAACUUCUUCUUCCACUUCACUAGAUCGUCUUUGAUUCGACCUUGGCGUUCAAAUAAACGAAGCCCCUCCGAAGAUAACUUAUUGACCAGCAUCUCAACGGACGCCUUCAGGAUUGCCUCUCCGAUGAUCGACAUAUAUUUUUUUUUUUUUGGGACAAAGAAUGAAACCAGAUUAUGAGCUUGUGGAAAGCAGAAUGAGAAAAGUGAAUAAGCAGCGUGAGUUUGUGAUUGUGUCUAGCAAGCCUAGAAAUCAAGAAAAACCCACCGUAAAAGUGAAAAGUAAAACGGAGCCAACCACAAAUAUAAAAUCAGAGGAUCACAGAAAUUAAAAAAAAAAAUCAAACACGUAAUGAUUUGUAAAGUUAUUAGCGAUUUGUAAAAAUCAAACAUGCGUCUUCUUCCUCUGAGUGUUUUUUUUUUUUUUUAACUUUAUUAAUUAAUUAGUGAAGUAAAUUUGUAAAGAUCACGGGCAUCAAAUUAUUGGGAGGUAUUAAUUGCGCUUAGUAUUUACAAUUUUUUGUAAAACUUUUUAAUUUCGUUGAAAAUGUAUCGUUAUUAAGUUAUUAUUGAUUUCACUCUCUUUUACUUUUUGACGUUGCGAAAAAGACAGUAAAAAACUUGCUAAAUGUCAUCAAAUACUUGUAUCUCAUCUCACAAAUUAGCAAUAUUUGUUUGGUAUUUCAUCUCAACGGGACGAAGGAACGAUAGAAAACGCGUUCCCUCAUCAAAAUUUUCUUUCGUGAGACCGAUAAUAAAUAAUAAAAUAUUCUUUUAUGGGAUCGAUUAUAAAUAGUAAAUUAAAGAAGGGUCGACAGAAAACGCGUUCCCUCAUCUAAUUUUUCUUUUGUGGGACCGAUAACAAAUAAUACAAUAUUCUUUUGUGGGACCGACUACAAGUACUAACAUAAAGAAUAAAAAAAUGAAAAAAAGGAUAGUGAAAUAACUCAACGGAGAAGUCUAUAAAUGCUUUUGUUUGGUAGCUGGCUAAAGCAGAAUCUGUAAGUUGCAGAGUCAAGUUACACUUAGCCUGCUCCAUAACUCUAAUGUGAAACAAAAAAAGUCCUGCCACCAAUAAUUCAGCAAGCUUCACUUUAUUACACGAAGGUGAAAGCAAAAAGCCAAAAACAGCCCCCACCACCAUCAAUAAUUUAGCAAGCUUCACGCGCUUGUGCUUGUCUUGUCUGCUUGACGAACUGGACAUGGGUGGACCAAGCAUCCAUUGAAUAACUGGAAAAAGUAAAAAAUAAAAAACAGUGUCCCGCAAAAAGAAUCCAUCUUUAUGUGUUGAUAUGCACAUCUACCGAACAUCUACAAAAUGGAAGUAGAAAUUGAAACUUACGUUUUUUAGUUAUGGCUCAUAUAUAAUACAAGUAUCAAUAUUUAAGUAGAAUAGAGUUCACAUAUACACAUGCGUCUAGUUUUAAGUUUUAACCGAGAGAUAAAUUAAUCAUUAAUACUCAGGUGUUUCUAAAUAAUUGAAUAAUGAUAUUAUACGAACCUUCCCUUUACAAGUCUUCAAACUCAUAAACCAAGUUAAAAUAAAAUUAAAAAAAACGUUUCUCUCUCUCUCUCCUUUUGCUAUAUGAUUACUUUAUUUAUUGAAUUAAUUUCCAUGCUAUAUCAAAGACUUAAAAGUACACUAUAAUUUUUUAUAAUCAUAAUGGUAAUUUCUAUCAUCAUAUUAAAUUAUUGUCGUGUCAAAAUAAAUUAUAACAAAAUUUUAGCUGAACAUAAGUUCGACUCAUUUAUUAAAUAUAUAUACUUAAUAAAAUAAUAAGACGAUUAAUAUGUUAUCAGUGAUAUAGACCCAACUGAAAUAACUCUAAUGUGAAAACAAAAAAAAUCCCGCCACCGAUAAUUGAGCAAAUUAACUUCACUUUAUUACACGAAAGUGGAAGCAAAAGCCAGAGGCAGUCCCCACCACCAUCGAUAAUUGUGCUUGUCUUGUCUGCUUGACGAACUGGACAUGGGGGGGGGGGGGGGGGGGGGGGGACCAACCAUCCAUUGAAUAACUGGAAAAAGUAGAAAAUAAAAAAAUCAGUGUCCAGCAAAAAGAAUCUACCUUUAGGUGUUGCUUCCUAUUCAGUACAUGCAUAGAUAAUGUACAUCGACCUGGAAUUAAAAAAAUGGAAGUAGAAAUUAAAACUUACUUUUUUAGAUAUGGCUCAUAUAUAUUACAAGUAUCAAGAUUUGAUUAGAGUUCACAUAUUUACAAUGUGCCUAGUUUUAAUUGAGAGACAAACUAAUCAUUAAUAAUCAGGUUUUUCUAAAUGAUUAAAUAAUGAUAUUAAUUAUUGAUAUUUAAAAAAUUUGUAAGAAGUAUAACUAAUAUGUUGGGAUAUGUAUUUGUGUAGAAUGGCAAAUAUAAAGAAUAGCAAUAAAAAUAGUGGAACUUUAAUAUGAUGAAAAAAGGUAAACUGUAGAAAAUUAAUAUAUAAUUCAAGGUACGUUACAAAUAUCACUUUCCUUCAGACAUUAUUUACCCCACCAAUUGAGUGAAUGCACAUGAGUUAAGCAAAUAUGUCUCUAGGAUAUAAUGAAACGCUUCUUUGUUUGCUUGUAUUGUGCAUCGACAAAAGUAAAUCUGAAUAUUCCUUAAUGUUGCAAGCUUGCCACGAAUUAAUAUAUUGUUAUUGUAAAAAAAUAAAAAAAAUAAUGUAUUGGAUAUUUGAUGCAUAAAAGAAAUAGAUAUUAUUAGAUGAAAUUCAUUUUGAGAAAUAGGGCUACAAAAAGAGUGGUGUAAUGUCGUUUUAUUAAUGUCUAAAUGGCAUAAAUAUGACAUCUAUUUACAAAUAUAUUUAUGCUCUUUUAUUUAAGUUAUCGUCUUUAGUAAUGCCCUUGAUUCAUAUCCAUUAGAUCAAGCAACCUAAUCCCCACUAAAACUAACUUAUUGAACAGUAACUCAACGGAUGCUGUAAAGAUUGCUCUUGGAUGAUUGACAUUUUUUUUAAAAAAAAUUUGGGCAAAGAAAGAAACUGAAUUAUGAGUUUAUGGAAAUUAAAGCAAAUGAGAAAGUGAAUUAGCACAAUGAGUUUGUGAUUGCGAAGGAACCAGCAAAUCAAAAAACAAUUAAGCAAGAGAAAAGGACAAUGAACACUUUAAUAUUCUAGAAAAGGGAUAUGAAACCUCUAAACAUUUUAAAAAAGAUAUAUAAUCUCCUUUUUAUUAGUAAAAUCUGUUUAUUUCAGUAGUAACAUAAUCUUUAAUUUACAUUUACUAUCAUGUCCCUAUAAUAAAUAAAUUAAUAUAUUUAAUUUAAAAGAGUGAGCCCUCCAAUUUUACUUCCCAUUUGCUCAAUUGCCUUUCAUUCAUAUACAAGCAUGUUUAACAUCUCAUUUUGCCUAAUUUGCCUUGGAAGAAAAUAAAUUUGAUUUUAUUUUUAUCUAUUAUUCAUCAUUUUUUAUCAUCUUAACAUUGGGAAGGAUAUAUUCAUAAUUUAAAGUGAAUAAUUUGGAUAAAAGAUAAUUAUAUCUUAAUUUUAAGUUUUAAAUAAAAAGUUGUUGGUUUUAUUAUACAUGUCAUUGAUGACAUGUCUUAAAUUAAUAUAUUUAUUUAUUUAUUAUCGGGAUAUAAUAAUAAUUAUAAAUUAAAAAUAAAUUUAUUAUUAAAAUAAAUGGAAUUUAUUAACAAAAAUAGGAAUUAUAUAUCUUUUUUAAAAUAUUAAAACAUUAUUUUUUUUUAGGGUAUCACUAUCCAUUUCCCAUUAAGCAAAACAAAAGUGAAAAGAAAAAUCAGAGCCCACUAUAAAUAUAAAAUUAGUGGAGCUCAUGAUGAUGCAUUUGCUUUACAUACUAAAUUAAAUAAAAGCCGAACCAAGAAUCUUUGCCUUAGCUUAACAUGAUUAAUUAGGCACUACUUCAUAGAAAACGCGAAAGCAAUGAACCCUUUUUUUAAUCUUAAAUGUCAUGAAUAUAAUUCUUCUGCGUUAAUUAAUCAUUCUUCUCUGACCGUCUCUUCAGGUUCAUUUCAAAAGUUUGAAGAUAGUUUAUCAAUUCUUCUACUUAUAAAAGCAAGUUAAAUUAAAAGAUUUUAAUCUCUCUUCUUAUUACUAUAAGUGCACUGUGCACGACAUUUUUUUACAAUAAACAAUGCCAAUUUGUAAUGUAAUGUUAUAUUCAUAUUCCCAUCGCGUCGAACUCUUUUUUUCCCUCUUUUUUAAAAGGAGACGGUGCGGUUUGGUUGUUCGCAAAAUUAGUGGUGUGGGGCUCUAUUUGCUUUUGUUUUCACUUUAUUAAUUAACUAGCGAAGCAAACAUGUAAUCAUUUGUAAAGGAGUCACUAGCACCGGAUUAUGUAAGAUGAAUUCGUAAGACUUAUUAAUUUCAAUUGAAAAUGUAGCGUUAUUAGGUUAUUAAUUCACUAAGUUAACUUGAGGUUCUAAUAUUUACUAAUUGUGGUGAUUAAUUUAUUUAACUUGUCAUAAUUUUCAUUUGAGAAUGAAAUUCAAUCAAUGUAUGAAAAAAGAUAAUUUUUUAAAAUUUUUAAUUCCUAUGAUUUGAUUUCACUUUUUUCCGGAUAUUGACGCUGUAAAAGCUUGCCCAAUGUCAUCAAAUGCUUGUAUCCCAUCUCACAAAUUAGCAAAUAUCAUUUGGUUUCUUUAUACGUGGCCAUCACAAAUUAAAAGUAACAACAUCCACCAUAUAUCGAAAAUUAAUUUUGAGAAUACUUUUGACUUUUAAAAGAAAAAUGCGAGUACAAUUUAAUAAGAGAGAACAAGAAUUGAUCAUGUCCCAAGAGACUGAAAAUAAGAUUAUAUAAACUUGAAUGCAGGCAUAUCAUAUGUUAAUCUUAAUUUUUUUUUGUUGCUGAAAAUUAAUUAAUUUGUUCCACUAUUCCUUUUUUAAUUGUAUGGUGAGAAACACAUUGGCCACUUCUGAAUCAUGUUGCAUAUUUGUUAACUCAAAGAAACAGUACACUUUUGUAUCAAUCAAACUCACUUUGUUAAUAUUCUUCAUUAUUAUGGUUAAUGGCUUAGCAAAUGUAGAAGGAGGAGUCAACCAAAAUGUAGCACUUUCUCUUGUAUUAACCUUUUAUUAAUUGUUGAAGUUAAAAAAAAUGUUAAAACAAGUUAAAAUAGUUCCAUCUCAAAAUCAGUAGGGUGUAAGUAGGUUGUUAUAAAUAUUUUUAAAUUUUAGUCUAAUUUAAUUGUGUGAUGCACAAACUUUCUCACUUCUUUCAUAUAAAUAAAGGGGAGAACUAUUUGAACUCAUUAAAUCACUUUUUAAAUUCCUCUACUUAUUAAGGCCAUCAUAAAAAUUCAAAAAUCCUUUUUAUACUCACUACAUCUCUUAAAAAUAUCGCAAAUAUGACACAUUUGUCUUCACCUUCUAUUUAUCUUCAACAUUCACAAUUUUUAUUUGAAUCUGUAAUAUGUUUAACACUGUUCAUUCACUCAUUAGAGUUCCAAUAAUAGAAUAUAGAGAUUAAAAAUAUCAUUAGCAAAUUAUUUGUUUGUGUUCUAUAUGAUAUUCUUGGUUUGGAAAAAGCUUCAUCGGCAAUAUAUGUAAAUAAAAGACUAAGAACUUCCAAUAAUUCAGAUUUGAUCGAAACUUCACAAACUUAUUUUCACUUAAAAAAAUAAAAUAAAGUAAAAGAAAUUCUCGUGUUUUAAAAGAAAAACUGCCAGACAUGUUUCUAAAACAACUAGAAACCAAACUAGGCUUGAAGCAGUGAGUUUUGAAUUAUAAAAAAUACAUAAUUGUAAUUUCACCUAAAUCAAAUGAUGAAUUUCAUGACAACGGAUUUAGACUAUAGACCAAUACACAAAGAAUUGGAUGUUCAUCGCAUUUGUUCUUGAAAUUGUUUUGCGCAAAAAAGUUAACUAUUGUAUUAUGUUGUAUUGCAUUAUUUUAAUAUAAGUGUAUUAUAUUAUGCUGUAUUGCAUUAACACUGUAUUAUAUUAAUACUAUACAACGUUUGGUUCUACAUUGUACUAUAUUAAUUUUUAAUUAUACAUACACUAUAUUAUGCUAUACUAUAUUAUUUUUUUGGUGGUUAAUUUCAAUUAUAUGUUUGGAAAUAAUAUUUAUUAGUACUUAGCAAAAUAUAAAAUAUAGAACCUUAAAUUUUAGAAUAUUUACAUCAAUUUUUUUUAGUAUAAAUGUAAAUAAUUAUAAUAAUUCUUCAUUAAACUUAUGUAAAAAUAACAAAUUCUGAAUUUUUGCUAUCGUAACAUUUUUUUUUUAACGGCGUUUUUCAAAUGUAUACCUUAUUGAUGAUGCACCAUAAAAAUAAAUAUCAAAUUUUGCGAUCAUGAUCAAGUCGAGUUUUACAUUAUGAAAGCAUGACACAAAAAUUGAAAAAAAUAAUGGCCGGCAAAAAGUUAUACAAGCAACAACAAAAGUGCUAAUUACUCGGAAAAUAAACAAUCAAGAGCCGCUGAUAGAUAUGAGUCAUAUGACAAGGUAGAGGAAUACAGAUAUCUGCAUACAUUUUUAACAAAGAUCAUCUUUGUAACCAAUUGUUGGCUUUGGCAUUAAAAGAUCAUCUUUGUAACCAACUGGGUAGCUAUAAAAUGAAUACUAAGUCAAUCAAACGGGAAAGCUUGCUACAAGACUUUGAAGCAUUAUUCUGUUGCAUCACCUUCCUCCUCUGCCUCACUUCCUGCAUCCCAAAUUAAAGAACAACAAAUAUUAAAUAACAAAAACAAAAUCUUCAAUAGACUUUUCAUACUCCAUGGAGCAAAUCUAUGGGAAUCCACAAAAUAAUUGAAAUAUAUCAAUGCUGCAGGUCAUAGUAACAAAUUACAGAUACACAAUCAUGCAUAUGCAACUAAAAAAUGCUUAUUUAUUACAGCCGCUUUUUGGCAUGACUACUUCAUAAGUUAUAUAUGAUAGAUAACAUUAUUAUUCUAAUCACAUGGUUAUGAUUUUAGUUGGACAUACAAAAGCUACGUGCAUGAAUCUGUAUCAUGCCACCUUUCAUGAGUCAAAAAUUUAAAUCAAAUCAAUUUGGUUGAGCCUUCAAAUUCCUAUUCCAGUCAAAGGAGAUGAUUUUUCCAAAGGUAAAGAAUGAGUCCGGUUACUUAAGCAUGUCAACCUUUUUUCUAGGCUAAGGUUUAUCCCUUUCCAUUUCACUAACUCUCCUCUCACUACCUUGCGUCAACAUUUGCAUACUUGAUAUACUUUCACAACCUUAAUCUAAUACUUUCAUUUAUGCUGAUAUAAAGAAGAAGUUUGAUUUAAAUCUGGACAGGUAACAAGAUUAAAAAACUGCCUUGUAGUAGAGCCAAUUCUUCCAACAAACAUUUCUUGAACCAAUAUCUAAGAUUAAGCUGGAUCACGUAAGACAAAUAUGCCAAGAAGAUUUUUAACUCACCUGACACUAUGGAUCUCCAAAUGUACUCAAUUAGCUUAGGUAAGCCAUACUUCUUCUCAAUUAUGAGCCCAGUAAAUAGGACCCGAAAAACUUGCAUUCCUCUGCUGACAUUCAUUUCAGUGUUGCAAGAAUUACAGAUUCCAUGACCAUGGACUGAAGUUCUUUUGUUAAGACAGGCGCAAGAGAGUACGCCCCUAUCCCACUAGUAUUUGGCCCGGUGUCACCAUCACCAACUUGUUUAUGGUCCUGACAAGACAUUAGAGGUAUGGGCGUAUGGCAUUCUCCCCAUCCACGAAGUCCUUUAGAACCAAAAGCAUUGUUUACAAGCAUCGAAUCAACAACUUCUAUGAAUCAUCCAAUGUCAUAGUUAGAGCUGGUAAAAUUUGACACGAUCCAAUUAUUCGACACGAACACGACACUAAUAAAUGGGUAUGGGUCGUCAAAUUUAACACGAUUAUUAAAUCGGUCGGGUCCGGGUCAACACGAUUUUUUUCCGUGUCGGGUUAGGGUUAAAAUUCUUGACCCAUUUACCCGAUCAAUGACUCGAUUAUAUUUUUUAUUUUAAAAUAAUUUAUAGAUUCUUGUCAUCAAAACUUAAAUAUUAGAGAAUUUUUUUUUAUUCUUUAAAAAGAUGAAUAUAGACACAAUAUUUUAUUUAUAAAAUUUUAAAUAUAUUUAGAGCUUUAAUAAUGUAAAUGUAUAAAAUAUUGGUAGAUACGUAUAUUUUAUAAUAUUGAUAUAUAAUAUUAUUUACAUAUAUAUAAUUAAAACCUCAAUAAUGUGUGUAAUAUUUUAGUAGAUAUGAAAAUUUUAUAAUACUGAUAAAUUAUGUAUGUAUGGAUGGAUGUUGAGACAAGCUAGAGAAGCCAUGAAUGAGAUUUUUCCUUUGACUCCUGCUAUGUGGCAAGAAUUUGCGAGAGAUGAAGCCUCUAUUUCAACCGGGUAUCUGUCAUUUCCUUUUUACAGUGGUUUUUGAUUUUGUGAACAAAUACUUUUUUUUUCGCUUAGAGAUAUAGAUGUUUAUGUUAGUUAUUUGCUAAUGUAAAAAGGAACAAAAACUGCUUAAAAGGUAUUAAAGAAAGAAAAAAGGAACCAAUUUGAAGAAGGGGAUACUCAUAGCGGGAGUUCUGCUUUGGGGUUUAAUUGAUGGGAAGAAGAAAUAGUUUAUAUGUUUACAGAAUUAAACAAUUGAUCACUGAGUUAGUUGAGGAAGAUAAUUAAUCACAAUGUCUGAAGCUGUUGCUGUUGGCGUCACCUAUUGUUAAGAUUUCAUCCUUUUUUAUGGUUUUACAUAGCUGUGACCUAAAGCUUAAUGUAUACGUUGAUAAUUACAUAAUUGGUUUCUUGCUGAUACUUGGCUUUAAUUUGUAAGCCUGAGGCUCUUUCGGGAAUUGAGAAGAUUUACGGAAGAGGAGUUUCUGAUUAUCUGGUUUGUUCUCUUUAUGCUUACAGAAUUUGAAUUAACGCUCUGCAUGAAUUUAUGAUUCAUUUUUUUUGGAGAAAUAUUUUAUGAAAUUGAAGCAUUGGAGUAAAGCGUACUAGUCGUAAGCUUGAUUCACUUUGUUUUGAUUUUAUUACCAAGAGGUGCUAACAGUUCAUGAUGCAUAAAAGAGGGGGAAAAAAACUCUUCUUGGUAGAUACAUAAAUUUUAGUUUCUGAAUCAUUUUCAACGAAAGAAAUAAUUUUACAGAGGCUGAAGAGCAGCAUUUUCAUUUAUAUGAAAGUUCAAUUGUUAUAUCAUCUGUUUCCAUAUCUUUUGUGGUAAAUAAAGUCCUUGAUGAUGGCAUAAGAGCACAGAAGAGUUGUUAGUUUCAUAUGUGGAGAUUUUCAUCAUAGUAGUUCAUUGAAAGUGAAGGCAGCUGAAUACCCUUUUUUCUGAUGCAGUCUGUCCCUCUUUGGUGUGAUUAUUUAAAAUUUGUGCAAGAAUAUGAUCCAUCUAUACGCGAAUGUUUACCCAAUGGCACUUCAAAGGCAAGGAAUCUAUUUGAGCGGCUAUUACUGCUGCUGGUCUGCAUGUUUUAGAAGGCAGUGAAAUAUGGGAAUUGUACAGAGAAUUUGAGCUAGCUAUAUUUAGUAGGAUUGAUAAGAUUAACUUGAAUGUGAAAUAUUUUAAUUUAUUUUACUUUUUUUUGGGCUUAAAUAACGAGUUUAUUCCCAUCUAUAGAAAGAAAAAGGGAAGGUUUUUUUUUUUUUUGCUGGGGGGGGUGUUUCCAACCCUAGCACAUGACAAGCAUUCCAAGACCCUUGCUGCUUGUUUUGCAGGAAAAGGAAAAACAGGUUCUGCGGAUUCGAAGUAUAUUUCAUCGCCAGUUGUCUGUUCCCCUUGCUAACUCAAGUGCAACUCUUCUUGCCUACAAAUCUUGGGAGCUCAAACAGGGGGCUGUUCUUGAUGUUGAAUCUAGUAAUGUAGAUGGGAUUUCUUCUAAUGUUGCCGCAGCAUACCAAAAGGCAUUGGAGAUGUGUAAUGCACGAGCUCAUGUUGAAGAGCAGAUUUCUAGGCAGGAUUUAUCUGACUCAGAGAAAUUUCAACAAUACAUGGCAGAUGACUUUACUAUCGUCAUUUGAUAGCUUUUUAUAGUAAGUGAAAUCCAGCCCUAAAAAUUUUAUUAAUAUGAAUAUUUUUUUGGGGGGAUUUCUUCUUAUGGCAUUAUUAUUUUGCUUUUGUGUAGCUAACAAUUAAUAUGUGCACUUUAAAUAUUAUCUAUUGUUUCUUAGCAAAUAAUAGUAAUAAUAAUAAGUAAUAAAUAAUUAAUAUCUGCAUUGUCAAAUAAUAAUAAUAAUAAUGUCUGCUCUUUUUACUCUUGGGGGGGGGGGCAUGCAGUGUCAUUAUCUUCCUUCUUCUCCUUUUUCUAUUUUGUGCUUUCAAGUUUAAUAUUAUUAUAUUAAUCUGUUAUUGUUGUAGAUAUACUUGAAGUAUGAGCAAUCUUCUGGAGAUCCUGGUAGAGUUCAACUUCUUUAUGAACGGGCUAUUACCGACUUUCCUGUAUCAAGUGAUCUCUGGCUUGAUUAUACUCGUUAUCUUGACAAAACAUUAAAGGUUUAUCCUUCUAUUUUCUAUUUUACUUCUUCUGUUGCAGCUAUUUGUAUACUAAUCGACUCUCCUCUUCAGGUUGGUAAUGUUGUGAGAGAUGUUUAUUCCAGGGCUACAAAAAAUUGUCCCUGGGUAGGAAAACUUUGGGUACGAUCUUUGCUUUCUCUGGAACAUGGCCGUGUUUCUGAGGAGGAGAUAUCCACUGUAGGUUUAAUUGUUACCCUUCAUUCUGAGCUUAAUCAAUUUUCCUGAAUGUAUUCAUUCUGAGCUUAAUCAAGUUUCCUGAAUGUAAUUGAUUUUGAUUGUUUGAAGUUAAAGAAAUGAUCAGCUUCCUAGGCAAAUUUCUUGGCAAGCACUUGAUUGUGGGAGUAACUGAGGAGAAGCAUUCCCUAGUGUUUUUUUUUGUUUUUCUCCUCCCCUAAAAUUGCAAUAUACUUCCCUUGAAGAGUAUUUUUUGCUUUAGCAUUUACACAUCUGUACAGAAGCAAACAUGAAUCAGAGAGAUUUAGUGGGCAAAUUCACCUGUGCUGACAAAUUAAAGCAUAUUAAAUACCGCGGUGGUUGUUGGAAUGCUCCAAAAAGUGUUUUCUUGGUGCUCCUGCUCCUUUUGCACUUUCAUAGUGUUUUAAUAACUGGGUUGUUUAAAUGUCCUGUACUUAUUUUCUUUACAAAUGUCUUUGUAUUUUUUUAAAUUUAUAAAAGAUUGUUCUAAUUAUAUUAAUAGCAACAAAUUGCGCAAACUCAAAUCUUAAUUUCAUUCUGCCCCUAUUACAUAUAUACGGGAUUCUCCUAUUAUUUCAUCAAAUUUUCCAUUACUAAUUUCAGGUCUUUGAGAAGUCACUACUAUGUACUUUUUCAACCUUUGAGGAGGUAGAGAUAUAAUCUUAUGUCUUCUGUACAUACCUUGGUUUCUUGAGCUGUAUGAUUUGGUAUAUAUCUACUUCUGAUUCAUCAUGCAUUUUUUUGUUAACUGGUUCUUUUUUGUUUGAGUACCUAGAUCUAUUCCUUACUUGAAUAGAUGGUUUGAGGUGGAGAAUUUUAUUCUCCGGUGAAGUUGAGGGCGCCUUGGAUUAUUCAUUGAUAACGGAAACCCUUCAGGUUUGUAAACUUAUACUGUUGGCUAUUCAAUAUUAAAAUUGGUUAUACUCCUUAAUAUCAAGAAAUUGAAGCUUCCCAAAUCAUACCCAAGAAAUGCUCUAUUGUGGAUUACUGGAUGGAGCUAGUUGCUAGAUGAUACCUUUAAGAUUCAAGACAUAUGUUGUUUUGUGUAUGGCUAUCAAGUACUUUGGCCUGCAAUUGUGGCAUAUUGGUCUUACGCCAGCAUCAGGUAUAACAUUGUGUCUGGCAUAUAUACCAUUGGAAUUCUGGGUUUCUGUUGAGUGGGCUCCAACAGCUAUAUUUGUGUCCAAUGUUGUGGGGUCCUCUUCUUUGGUGCUUUUAAGUGAAGUUUUAACUUUCCUUGUCAAAAUUUUGUUACAAAUCAAGUAGAAGGCACUGCACUGAAGCAUUGGUACUUCUAGAUUGCUUGUUUUGCAUGGUAGAUUUCAAUCCAUUGCUUUUAUUUCUUGGAUCAUGUUUAUCAUUGAGGACUUUCUUGGCCAGUCAUAGAGCUGACUAGUGCUACCAUCAUCAUUGGUAGGGCAAAAAAGUCAAUUCCUAUGGGAUGCUUUCUGACUUAGAGAAGAUGUCUUCAAGAAUUUGUGGAUUUAAGUCUUCACACGAUGUUCAACUCUUGAUAGUCUAACCUUGGUACAGGAUUUAUAGCUGUCUUCCAAGUUUGUGCUCAUAAAUGAGUAACCUGUCUGUCUUUAUGAUACCAGUUAAAUUUGUUAGCUUUCCGGGAUUUGGAGGUUGUAAAUGUCCAUAAACAACAAUGUCUUCUCUUCCUUACAGCGUGCAUCAGAUUACUUGUCAGAACAGAUGAAAAAUAACAAUGGUUUGCUGCGUUUGUAUGCUUAUUGGGCACGUCUUGAACAAACUAUGGGAAAAGAUACGGUUUCAGCUCGUAGUGUCUGGGAGAGGCUACUUAAGAUCAGGUUCACCAAUUUUAAUUUUUGCCAGUGCAUACAUAGCAAAAUUUCUUUAUAUCUAUAUAUUUUCGGAUAACUUGUGCUUCUCUUAAUGCAGUGGUACAAUGUUGGAAGCCUGGCAAAGUUAUAUAUCUGUGGAAAUUGAAUUGGGUCAUAUUAAUGAAGCUAGAUCCAUCGACAAGAGAUGCUACAGUAAAAGAUUUACAAGGACAGGUUCAGAGGUAAAUUUCUUUCAUCCUGCUUCUUUAAUGAAUAUUAACUGCUUAACAACGUACCUUGUUGUUUCCAUCUUGUUUGUUUAACUGGUCUUAUUUGUAAACACCUGAAAUCAUACAUCUUAAUUUCUGAUAAUUAGAUGUUAUUUUAGAUAUCUGUAUCUGUUAAUGUUCUUUCAAGUCUGAUUCCAAUGCAUAUUUAGUUAAACUGCUCUUUACUGCAUUUUGGAUUAGUUGAUAUCUUCCUUUCCUAAAAACAGAAUCAUUCAGGACAUAUGCCAUGCUUGGCUGCAAUUUGAAUGGGAAUUUUGUAUAAAAUUUUUAAUGAAUUUAUGGGUUUGAUGAGUAAAAUUAGGGGUUCAUAUAGACUCACCCAUAAAUUGAACCCUUAUUUUAUGUUGAUGCACAACUUAACUUAACAAAAAUAAUGUUCAAAUUGUCACAAAAUUUGAAAAAAAAAUCAUACAGUUAAUUUUUCUUCUACUUUACUCCAUUAUUCAAUGGGCAUAUAAUAAAUUAGGAGAGGGGAGAAAUAAAGGGGAAAAUUAGAGUAUUGUCGCAAUGAUACACUGAUACAAAUGCCCAUUGAGUGAUUGUCAAUGGGCAUAUAAUAAAUUAGGAGAGGGGAGAAAUAAAGGGGAAAAUUAGAGUGAUUGUCACAAUGAUACACUGAUACAAAUGCUUAUGUAUGUGUAGUGUGUGUGUGGGGCGUUCUUUAAUUUGACCAAAAAUAAAUGCAUUUAUUUGUAUUUUUAAUCAAAAUCGAGGGAUAUAAACAAAAAUUUUACCACUCCAGAGUCCAGACAUGUAUCAUUGCCUCGUUAAAAAAAAUUGCAUAAAAUUAAAAAACCAUUAGUGGCUGAAAGAGAGAAACAAAUUAAGAAAGGGUUCAAAAGAUGGAACCCGAAGAGAAAACCCUAGCAACAAUCCCAGAAGAAGAAGAAGAAGAUGGAGACACGGCCAUGCCCGACGUCAAGAACAACCCUAAACCAACAACAACAGCCAACUCUUCGGACUCGAGCGAUGCCUCUGACUCAGACUCGGACUCUGACUCAGAAGAUGAAGCAAAACAGAACAUGGAGCUUCAAACCCUAGAGUAUCAGCUAUCCAAUGAACCCUCCAAUUACGACACCUAUGUUCAAGUAACUUCAAUACACAUAUUUAUUGAGUGAUUUUGUGGAUAACCGUUUGCUUGUUCUUUCUUGGGUUGUGAUAAAAAUGGUUUUUAUCUUUUUUUUUUCAGUAAAUAAAGGUUUUGAGAAAAAUGGGUGAGAUAGAGAAAUUGAGACAAGCUAGGGAAGCCAUGAAUGAGAUUUUUCCAUUGACUCCUGCUAUGUGACAAGAAUGGGUGAGAGAUGAAGCCUCUAUUUCAACUGGGCAUCUGUCAUUUCCUAUUGCAAUGGUUUUUUAUUUUGUGAGCAAAUGUUUUUUUUGCUUAGAGAUAUAGAUGUUUAUGUUAGUUAUUUGCUAAUGUAAGAAGGAACAAAACCUGCUUAAAAGGUAUUAAAGAAAGAAAAAAGGAACCAAUUUAAAGAAGGGGAUACUUAUAGUGGGAGUUCUACUUUGGGGUUUAAUUGAUGGAAAGAAGAAAUAGCUUAUAUGUUUACAGAAUUAGACAUUUGAUCGCUGAGUUAGUUGAGGAAGAUGGUUAAUCACAAUGUCUGAUGUUGUUUCUGUUGGCCUGAACUAGUUGUUAAGAUUUCAUACUUUCAUUCAACAAUACAAUAGACUUUGAUUGGGUCCACCGUAGUUGGGUGUUCUGAGGAAUCAAUGAGUGUCUUGAGAAAACUUGGGUGGAGUGCUGGUCAUUUUCAGGAUUCAGUUUCCAAGAAAACAAAAAUGAAGUCGUAGUUGUAGUUUAAAUUAAUUUAUGUUUUUAUCUUUUUCUGUGAGCCCAGUGAGCUUUUAUUUUCACUUUGUUCGCUUUUGUUUCUUUCCCUUCUUUUCCUACAGUUUCUUGAUAAUCAAACAGAUCAGGAUUAAGUGUUUACUUUUGGUUAGGGGUGGGCGUUCGGUUCGGGUUAACCCGAACUAAACCGAACCUGAAAUUUAUUUCGGGUUCGGUUCGGUUUGGGUUAACUCGUGCAACCCGAACGGAUUCAAAGCUUCAAUCUGUUCGGGUUAAAUUUCGGUUCGGGUUCAACCCGAACCGAAUUUUCAACCCGUUCGGGUUGAAGCUUUUUUUUUUUUAAAGAUUUAGCUUUUAAAUUAAAAAUAUAUAUACAUUAAUUAAACCAAAAAAUCCCUAAAAAUGAAAAAUCCCUAAACAAAAAUCUCUCCCUCUCGGCCUCCCCCUCCUUGCUCCCUCUUCUCACUUCUCAGUUCUCACUUUCUGUGAACUGUGGUUGAUGACAUCAGCACUUCAGCAGCAGCCACAGCAGCCCCGUUCAGCUCCAACAGACACCAGCCGGCCUCAUCGUCUCACUCCCUCCCCCUCCUUGCUCCAUCGUUUCACUCCCUCCCACGACGACAACACUCACAGGCCACAACAGCAGCCAGCAGCCCCGUUCACAGCAGCCCACUCGCGUCAGCCAGCACGCCUCGCCCGCAACUGCGCUGUGCGUUCAGCUCGCGUCCCACUCAGCCCAGGAAGUCUCGAUCUGCCAACGCUGUAGCUGCUCUGACCUCCGAGAUUAAGGUUUGUCUUGCCUUGCCGACGGCGACGCUGUAACUUGCUGACUUGCACGCAACUGAUGGCAACAACCCGAAUUGAAUUUUAAGUUUUUAACAGCCUGUUGCUAUUAAUUAAAUUGUAAAUUUUUAAUUAAUUGAUUGACAAUUAUUCAAUUAUUUGAAGUGGGUUUGUUGUUGUUGAUUGAUAAUUGAACCCGAACUAAUCCAAACUAACCCGAAUUAACCCGAACCGAAAUUGUAACCCGAAUUAUCAACCCAAUCCGAUCCGAAUUGUCAAUCCAAACCGAACCGAACCGAAUUGGUUCGGGUUGGCGUUUUCAACCCGAUUGGGUUCAAUUCUCCAACCCGAACGGGUUGAAACCCAAACCGAAACCCGAACAACCCGAACCGAAACCCGAAACGCCCACCCCUACUUUUGGUGUAAUUAUUCACUCUAACUCGAAUAGUACUUAGGUUUAGUGCUAACAAAAUAGGAAGUGAAUUAAUAUCUGAAGUUGACCUAGGAGUGGAAUGAAUGUUACCAAAAAUAUACUAUAUGGUAGAUAGAAUUUGCCUUUUAGGUAAGACAAAAAUAAUUACAGCUGUUAAUUUAUUUCAAUAAGUUCGUACAUCAUUGAAUAAUAAGUCCAAGAUUUUAAUGGUUUUGUUUCCUGAAAAUUUGUCACGAGUGCAUGAACAAAGUUCUAUGGAUGAACUUCUCUUAGUUAAUUUGAGUUCAAUGUCGCAGUUCCUCAUAUUAACUAUAUAAAACACUAAUCUUGCUCUUUACUUUGGAGCAUUUUAAUAAUUGAUGCUAAUUCCUUAGCCAUUUUAUUCAUCUUGUGCAUAAAUUAUGCAAUCAAUAAGCCAACUCCACUUUCAUCUUUAUUUAGUGAAAAAUUUGCAAGGUCACUAGGAGGUUUUUGUAUGUCUCAUGCUAACAUGGACGCCAUGGUUUCACUAUGUAAAUUUUCCCCACUGAAAUUCAUGAUCCCUCAUAUACCACUCAUCACUCAUGAAGCUGUUUCUGGGGCUUUAAAAGCGCCAAAUUUUAGUUUUAUCCUUUCUAGCUUAUUAACCUGUCCGCAUCUGCAUUAUUAUCUUUCCUGUCAUACGAAAGUUUCAUUUAUCAUCUUCCCAACAUAAACAUCCGUAGGUCAUUGUUGACUUUUUUGCUUUGACACUUAUUGUUUCUAAGUAUAGGCUACCAAGGGAGAAAAAAAUUGACAUUGAUGGUCAUCCCCAGCAUUUUUAUCCCAGGAGACUGGUCAUUCACUUUCUAUGAAGGACUAUAUAGACAUCCAGACUCUAUUUUGAAGGACAAAGCUGUGGCUGAGCUUGGUUGUGGAAAUGGAUGGAUAACCAUUGCCAUAGCUGAGAAGUGGUUGCCUUUGAAGUUUUGUUGGUUUGUCGUCCUUAUGCCAUGUGAGAGCUUUUAUUUCCUUCCCUACCAGUGCCUUCAGGGGCUCCAUCAUGAUUUCUCUCAUCAUUUUCUAUCUCUGUGUUUUGCAAGGCCAUUUGAUAUUUAUAACAGCAUUGGCACCAGGUUAUGGUGAUUUAAUGCACUCCUAUUAGGAAAAAUUACAUAAUUAUCAACUCUGUCCUUGUCCAAAAGUCUUUGUUGGAGUAUGUUGAAAAUAUAACCUUGUAGGAGUUCUUUUAUGCUGUCUGAAUAUCCUAUUGCAGGUCUAUGGCCUUGAUAUUAAUCCCAGAGCAAUAAAGAUCUCUUGGAUAAAAUUGUACUUAAAUGCAUUAGAUGAAUCUUUUUCUAAGCUUUUCUGUCACUGUCACUGCAAAAGGUCUUUUGUAUUGAGGGUUAUCUGUGGGGCUAGGAAAGGUCAGCCCAUCUAUGAUGCGGUGAAGAAAACCUUACUGGAUAGGGUGGAGUUUGAUGAAUCUAAUCUCCUAGCAUAUUGUAGACAUCAUGACAUUCAACUUGAAUGAAUAGUGGGGUGCAGACCUCAGGUACUCUCACUUUCUGCAACUCAUGAUAUUUCUAGGGGAUUAAAUUUUAGUGAAGUUUGUUUACCCAACAUCAAGUUGGAAUUUUAGUGUGCCCACAUGGAUUACUUUUAACUCCUAGUUUAACUUAUUCUGUUGUCUCCAUGCAGGUUCUCAACCCCAAUUCCAAUGCAAUGUCGAAAAUAAUCACUGAAAAUGCAAGCGAGGAAUUUCUGUAUUCAUUGAGUAACUAUUGUGGAUUGCAGGUUGGAAGAUAUUCUAAAUAAUUUAAUUGUGAUGCGCAAUUGCAAUUGCCGGGAAGUUAGCAAUUAAGUUGAUAGGCUUCUUCUGGUUUCACAUAUUUCUAAGUAACAACUUUGGUUUGAAGCUUGCAUACCUUAGGUAAGGUUGAUGUCUUUAGUUGGUCAAUAUCAAUUGGGAAAUAUAGCUAACCAGUGAAGACAGUGGGAAAAGGAUGAUGUGAGUUUGACAAAUGCUGGGAGGAGAUAGGGAAACUUAAUCUGAAAGAUUUCUUUUUUUUUCUUGGUUUAUUUAUUUAUUUACUCGUGUGACCUCUUCACAAUGCCAUUGAUUCCCAUAGUUCAUGUUGCUAGGUGAACUUAACAACAACCAUCUAUUAUGCCUUGUGGAUAACUGAGAAAAUUUAUUGCUUUGGACAAGUUGCUUUUUGAAAUAGAGUGCAAGUAGAUUGACUAAUAAUGAACUUAUUGUAUCAAGUUGUUACAUUUGAAUAUAUUAAGGUCAUAUAAAGCUUACUUGUUAUACUUCUUUUUUUCUUUUUUCCCUCCCCAUUUCCCUGUAUGGAGGGUUUCUUGGACGAUCAGUUUGGCUUAGGUCUAAUUUUCUCGAGCAGUUAAGGAAUUACUGUUAUCAAAAUAAAGUUUCCUCUCACUCACUAGCCAAUUGAGCAGCUCGUCACCGGUCGGAUUCAUUGCCGAUUGCAGCCCACCUCCAUCAUGUCAGUUCAGUAGCUUGUCGCUGCAGUCAUGAUCGGCCUCUUUGUUGUCGUUGAAGAACCAAUCAAUAAUGAUGAUGAUUGAUGAUGAUGAUGAUUACCAUUGUUGAUGAUUAAUAUUAUUGAUGAUGAUGAUGUAGAUGAUGUAAUUGCGGUGAGAUGAUGAAGAUGAAACUGAAUUGUGAUGUUGAUAAUGAAAUUGACAGAAGGAAGAAGAAGAUUGUGAAAAAUCUGACUUCUUCACUCGUAUUACAUUAGAGAAGAAUACAUAUUUAUAUACAUUACACCCUAGGAAUAAAAUGGUAAAAAAAAAACAGCUAAGAUAUUGCAAAUCAGUAUCCCUGAAAAUUAGGGAUUAUAUAUCCUAAAAUCUAGUAUUUAAGUCAACACAUAGCUGUAAAAUACAGCUAACAUCUACAACAAUAGUCAACACACAGCUGUAAAAUACAACUGACAUCUGCAACACUCCCCCUCAAGCUGGAGCAUAGAUAUUCUUCAUGCCUAGCUUGCAUACAAACUCUUCAAACUUGUGUCCAUGCAUUCCUUUUGUCAACAUAUCUGCAGUUUGUUGUCCUGUUAGAAUAUACACCAAACAGAUAACUCCAGUUUCCAAUUUCUCUUUAAUAAAAUGUCGGUCUACCUCCACAUGUUUUGUCCUGUCAUGAUGGACAGGAUUAUGGGCAAUAUUAAUUGCUGCCUUAUUGUCACAGUAAAGUUGCAUAGAACUAUUUUUUAUUAACUGUAGUUCUUUGAGAACACGUUCUAUCCACAUAAGCUCACAUACCGCAUGUGCUAGUGCUCGAAAUUCUGCUUCUGCACUGCUUCGUGCCACUACAGUUUGCUUCUUGCUUCUCCAAGUUACAAGGUUUCCCCACACCUUAGUACAAUAACCCGUUGUAGACUUCCUAUCCAUGAUGUUUCCAGCCCAAUCCGCAUCAACAAAAGCUUCUACAUUCCUUUUUUCUCCCUUCUCAAAAUAAAGUCCCUUUCCCGGUGUUGACUUCAGGUAUUGAAGUAUUCGGUUUACUGCCACUAAGUGAGCUUCUUUUGGGGCGUGCAUAAACUGGCUCACUAAGCUAACCGCAAAAGCAAUAUCAAGUCUAGUAUGGGAAAGAUAAAUUAAUCUCCCUACUAGCCUUUGAUAUCUCCCCCUCUCCACGGGUGCACUAUUUUCUUCAAGACCCAACUUGCUAUUUGGUUCAAUUGGUGUGGCAGCAGGUUUACAGCCAAUCAUACCAGUAUCCUUUAGCAAAUCUAGGGUGCAUUUCCGUUGUGUAACUAGAAUACCUUUAGCUGUUCUAGCUACCUCCAUUCCCAAAAAAUAACGUAGUGGUCCAAGAUCCUUGAUUUCAAACUCACCAGCUAAUUUUUCUUUUAAUCCUUCCAGCUCUUCUUUGUCAUCUCCUGUUAGUAUAAUGUCAUUAACAUACACGAUCAAAAUAGCUAACUUCCCUUCUUUAGACCGUUUGUAGAACAUAGUAUGAUCGGCUUGCCCUUAAGAAUAACCAUAGUUCUUCAAGACUUUCCAAAUCGAUCGAACCAAGCCCUAGGGGACUGUUUAAGGCCAUAGAGAGACCUUUUUAACCGACAAACUCUUCCAGCAGGUCCUUUUUCUUCAAAACCAGGCGGCAUAUCCAUGUAAACUUCCUCUUCCAAUUCUCCAUUCAAGAAUGCAUUCUUGAUAUCAAGUUGGUUGAGAGGCCAAUCUAAAUUUGCAGCAAGAGAGAGAAGGAUCCUUACAGUAUUAAGCUUUGCCACUGGAGCAAAAGUUUCUAGAUAGUCCACCCCAUAGGUUUGUGUGAAACCUUUCGCCACGAGUCUUGCUUUAUACCUGUCCACACUUCCAUCAACCUUAAAUUUGACUGUAAAUACCCACUUGCACCCCACAGUCCUCUUGUCUUUAGGUCUUGGUACAAGCUUCCAUGUGUUAUUCUUUAUUAAGGCUGCCAUUUCUUCUUAAACAGUUUUCUUCCACUCAUUUGACUCUAGGGCUUCAUGGAUGUUUCUUGGAAUAGUGGUAUUAGAUAGACUGGCCACAAAAUUCCUAUACUCCUUAGAUAGAUUUGCAUAUGACAAGAACUUGUUGAUAGGAUGUUUAGUGCAAUUUCUUACCCCUUUCCUUAUCGCAAUAGGCAAAUCUGUGGACUUCUGAGCUUCGUUCUCAGCAUAUUCAGUAGGUGGGUUUUGAUCCUCCCUUAGUUCAGAUCUCGGUUCUGCUUGGUCUAUAAGUGGCUGUACCUCUUGAGUUUUAUUCUUCUUUCGUGAAUAGACAUGAAACUCGCCUAUAGGUUCCUCCAAAUGUGAAUUGGUUUUUAUUCCUUCAUUCCUUGGUGACACUAUUGGUUGAUUAAGUUCUAUGGUGUUAGGUAGGUUAGGAUGAAUGUCUGGACUGAGGAAGGAGGUAUUUGGUAGAUUGAGUUCUAGGCUGGAAUUACUGGACAUAUUAGGUUCUAGGCUGGAACAUCUGGACAUAUUGGGUUCUAGGCUGGAACUACUGGACAUAUUGGGUUCUAGGCUGAAAUUACUAGGCAUCUUAGGUUCUAAAAUGCCAAGAAGAUCCCAGGAAUUAUCUUCUCUCAAAUUCUGCCCCUGAAGAGAAUUACUCGUGUAAAAAGGCUGAUUUCAAAGAACUUGACAUCCAUUGUGACGAAUAAUUUUUUGGUAAGAGGAUUAUAACACUUGAACCCUUUCUUGGUAGGAGAAUAUCCUAGAAAUAGGCACUUGAUGGCUCUAGGAGACAACUUUGUUCUUUGAAGACUCGGAAGAUAUACAAAGGCUGUACAACCAAAAGUUUUGAGUGCAAAAUUAGAGGUAACAAGGUGAUUUUGUGGGUAGCUGUCAAGAAAAACAAAAAUAGGUGUCUUGAAUUUAAGAACUCGAGAGGGCAUACGAUUUAUGAGAUAAGAUGCUGUAAGAAUGGCCUCUCCCCAAUAUAUUUUUGGUACAUUAGUUGUGAACAUAAUGACCCUAGCAACCUCUAAAAGGUGUCUGUUUUACGUUCUGCAACCCCAUUUUGUUGUGGUGUUUCGGAACAAGAACUUUGGUGGACAAUUCCUUGUUGUGAUAGGUAAUUCCCUAAAAUAGAAUUGAAAUACUCAGUUCCAUUAUCUGUACGGAGUACACGAUUUUCAGUUUGAAACUGAGUUUUUACCAUGACAUGGAAUUGUUUAAAAGUUUGUCCAGCUUCAGAUUUUUCCUUCAAAAGGUACACCCAAGUGGUCCUAGAGUGGUCAUCUAUGAAUGUUAUGAACCAUUUUGCUUUUGACAGGUUGUUAACCCUUGAGGGGCCCCAAAUAUCACUAUGAAUCAAAGAGAAAGGCUGGGAUGGUUUAUAAGUACGGGUAGGAAAUGAAACACGUGUUUGUUUAGCCAUUUAACAAAAGUCACAAUAUAAUAAACUCAAAUUUUGAUUUUUAAAUAAGGAAGGAAACAAGGUUUUUAGAUAUGGAAAGCUAGGGUGGCCUAACCUAUAGUGCCACAACAUUAUUUCAGAAGAAACAAAUUCACAUUGAGAGACCUGAGCAUGUCCUUUCACGAGUCUUUUAUUCUCGAGAUAGUACAGUCCCUCAUAUUCCUUUGCAUUCCUAGUCAUCCUCCCCAAGAUUGGAUCCUGAAAUAGACAUUUAGAACCACAGAAUUUAGCUACACAGUUUGUGUCUUUAGUAAGUUUACUAACUGAAAGAAGAUUGCAUUUAAGAUUUGGGACAUGUAAAACUGAAAAAGAGUCAAACAAUUUGAUAGUUUUACUGUUCCUUUUCCAGCAACAGUGGAUAAUGAUCCAUCAGCAAUCCUCACUUUAUAAUUACCUGGACAUGGAGUGUAACUAGAGAAAAAUUGAGAAGACCCUGUCAUAUGGUCUGAGGUCCCUGAAUCAACAAUCCAAGAACCUUUUUCAAGGGAUUGGAUGCUAAGGGCUGAUGGGUUACCUGUAUGGACUGCAUUACAACUAGAGGAGGUCAAGUCAUUUUUAUUUGCUUGCUGAUUUUGUAUAAGGAGCUGUUGCAGCAUCUCAAAUUGAUCUUUUGCGAGGGCAAACUGAUUAGUUUUCUCUGUCACCAUUCCCUUUGCUUCUUGCUGCCGUUUUGGUUUCCAAUCUGCUGGCUUUCCAUGAAGCCUCCAGCAUGAGUCUCGAGUAUGCCCUUUCUUGUGACAAUAGUCGCAAUAGGGACGUUCUCCAUGUUUUUGUCCCUUUUGGUUAGCUGACUGAUCUGUCUUUUUGGUCACCAGCGCUGAUCUCUCCGCCUCAGGUUCCUUCACCAGUCCCAUCAUGACUCUCUUUCGACUUUCUUCACGCCCCACCUCAACAAAAGCUUCUCGGAUGGAGGGUAGAGGAUUCUUUCCUAAUAUUCUGCCACGAACUUCAUCAAGUUCUUUGUUGAGUCCAUAAAGGAAAUCAAAGAGACGUUCUUUAUCCAACAUCCUCUUAUUUUGAUGGCAUCCUCAGAGCAAUGCCAUUGCGAUUCAUAGUAAAGGUCAAGUUCAUGCCAUAUAUUGUUUAGAGAAUUGAAAUAUUGAGUCACUGAAAGACUCCCUUGCUUUUGGUCACGUAAUUGUGACUUGAUUUCAAAGAGCUGAGCUGCAUUCCCCAGGUCAGAGUAAGUUUCUGUCACGGCUUCCCAAAGCUCCUUCGCAGAUGGUAGGAAGAGAUAAGUCCUACCAAUAUCCACGUCCAUCGAGUUGAUCAACCAAGUUUGCACCAUUGAAUUUUCAGCAUCCCACUGUGGAUAACCUGGAUCCAAGACAUCAGGGGCUUUGGUUUCCCCUGUAAUAUACCCUAAUCGGCCUUUGCCACGAAGAAAUAGGGUGACAGAUUGAGACCAUUGCAAAAAGUUUCUGCCAUUUAACUUGUGCAAAGUUAUUUGCAAAGAGGGGUUUUCGGUACCUAAGGAGACCGAAGAGAUGUCCUGCCUUGUUACAGAACUGGAGGAAAUCUCAGAUUCUUGUGUAGGGUUUGUUGUCUUCUCCAUUGGAUGGGUUGAGAGUUUAGAAUGAGAAAAAAAUUCAGAGGCUUAGUUUAAAAGAGUUGCUCUGAUACCAUGUGAAAAAUCAGACUUCUUCACUUGUAUUACAUUAGAGAAGAAUACAUAUUUAUAUACAUUACACCCUAGGAAUAAAAUGGUAAAAGAAAAAAAAGCUAAGAUAUUGCAAAUCAAUAUCCCUGAAAAUUAGGGAUUAUAUAUCCUAAAAUCUAGUAUUUAAGUCAACACAUAGCUGUAAAAUACAGCUAACAUCUACAACAAUAGUCAACACACAGCUGUAAAAUACAGCUGACAUCUGCAACAAAGAUAAUUGUGGUGAUGAUGAUGAUGUUGAUGGAGAAGAUGAAAUUGACAUGAUUGAUGAUGAAGUAACGAAGAAUUUGUAAAACACACACACACACACACACAGAGAGAGAGAGAGAGAGAGAGAGAGAGAGAGAGAGAGAGAGAGAGAGAGAGAGGAGAAGAGGAUAAAAAAAAAGAUAGAGAAAAACAGGAGAGAAAAUAAUAACAAAAACAAAAGAGGAAAAUAAUUAUUAUUGUUAUUAUUAUUAUUAACAAUAACUUUCUUAAUAACCAUAAUCAUAUAAUAGAUAAUAAAAAUAGAAGGUAAUAAUAACUAAGGGUAUUUUAAUAAUUUAAAUAAUUUAUUGUAAUUUCAAGGUAAAGUAAAUAUAUUAAUGAUAAUACAGUUUAUUUUAAUUUUGAUUCUUAUAAUUGAAGUAAAUAAUUUAUUUUAAUUUUUAUUUCACAUUUUAAUUUUAUUCUAUUCUGAAUUAGUAAACGCAUCAUAAAAUCAUGUGAUUCUACUCUAUAUGUGAGAUUGAUUUUUUUCUUUAAGGCCUACGACAUCCCAAUACAAGUCUAUAUAGGACCAAGCUACUAAGUGGACGGUCAUAAAAACUUAAAAAGGCAUAAAAUUGGAUGGCCGUCUAAUUAAUUUCCCGUGACCUACAACAAAAAUUUAAGAAGGAACUCCGAUACCAUCAAUUCUGCAUUUUAAUUUGAAGUUGGAAAACAGUGAAAACAGAAGGAUCGGGUGAUUUAAUUUUAUACAUAUUUAAUCAAGUAAAAAUGGCACGUGCGUUGUAAUUUGCCCAGUUAUCUUACUUUGAAUAAUAACAAAGUUCAAAUUUUGUAUUCAGUGAAAAAUCAAUUCUAUAGUGAAAAACACUAGCUAGAAAAAAAUCUAUGUCCUGAUGUCUUAGUUUAUAAGCUCAAACAAUGAAUAGUAUACAUACAACGCAUGAUAGAACACAAACUCAUAUAGAUUUUUAGUUUUGAAAUUCAUUUCAGAAAAUCUGUUCUGUUCAACAGGUUAUAGAUUAUCAACUAAACUCUGCCCACAUUCUUAGCUCUGCCAUUGGAAGUACGCAACUCAGCUGCCCAUCGACCGCCAAGCCAUCAAGACAAUACCAAGAUACAACAUCAAUAAUAAUAACAUCAAGAAUUACAUAGAGGCCGUCGCACGUUACACCCACUCCAACAGGAAACUAAUUAAUACCCUCCAAGCUCCUCUGUUUCAAAUCCAAAUCCACUGCUCGACCAUUUACUAUGACGUAAGGUAUAUGGAUUAAUUAACAAGUGCCGAUAUUGUCCUCCAUCCUUUUGUGUACCUUUCUUCUGGCAAGGCCUUUUCUGGAAAGUAUUUGAGCUCCAGACAAUUGCAGAAUUUCAAUUUGCUGAGGUUUUGAUGAUCAGCAAUUGAAGAAGACAGGUGUUAAUAAUUAUGAAGAACUGGUGUAAUUUAUAUCAUGUAGGAAGCCCUUCAGUUACUUUUUUGACCGUGCUCAAGCUCUUUUAAGGGCUAAUAUUAAAAUUUCGUGAUAUUGUGCCAAAAGAGCUUCGUACGUCAUUGUAAACUGUUCAUCGUUAUGUGCUGCUUCCCCAUUUAAUUACAUUUAUUUAACAUUUUAAAGAUGGAAGUAGAAAUUAAAACUCAGUUUUUCAGAUAUGGCUCAUAUACAAUGCAAGUAUCAAGAUUUAAUUAGAGUUCAAUAUACAUGCGUCUAGUUUUUAUUGAGAGAAACAAAUCAUAAAUACUCAGGUGUUUCUAAAUGAUUGAAUAACGAUAUUAUUGUUAUUUAUAAAUUUAUAAGGAUAAAUAACUAAUAGUCCACCAUAAAUACCGAAAAGGGUCCCCAGCAUAACUUGAACAACUUUACUUGUGUUUGCUCAUUGAAUAAUGUUAUAAGAAAGAAAUACAUAUGUCAGAAGAUUCAUAGUAUAUUGGAGUGUUUUUUGUACUUGAAUGAGAAUGAAUGAAGGUAUGUUAAUUUACUUUAAAUAAUUGUCUAAAAGGAAUAGAAAUGCUCUAUAACAUACCAAAUACUACCUUAAUCAAAAUUUAUUUGACAAAAAUUUUUAAAAAAUGGAAUAAUUAACCCUAAUUAAAUAAUUGUCUUAUAUCACCAAACUCUUUUUUUUUUAAUUAAGCCAUCACCAAACUCUGUAAAGCAUAAAAUAUAAUAGGCAAAUUUGAGUUAAAAAAAAAUGAAGUUAGGAAAAUGACUUGCAUAUUGUCUUUGAUGAGCGCAUAAUUUUCUUUUAAAAAAAAUGUUGAAAUGAACUCAAACUCGUUAGUGCAACUUGUCGGUUUUAAGUUGUAGAUACGAGUGACAUGUCAUUUUAGCUGAACUAGAUUCCAGAGCUCACAUUUGGGCAGUGUCAUCCAAGAACAUUAAAACUCACGUGACUAUUGCACGCAUGGUUUAAGCUGAAAUGACGUUGCUAGCAGUCGUUUAAGGAAGGCCUUUAAGUGUCACAUGAGUUGCUCGUGAUAGGAGGUUAAAAGCUGUUGGUUUUGGAGGGAAACCCCUGAAGCUGUUACGCCUGCAUCUUCUGGUAUAUAAACGAGCUGGUUCUGGUGUCAUAGUCAGUAAUCAAGGAAAGAGAGAUAAAGCAUCUGUACUGAGAGAAAAUCUUGACAGGGUGGUCUCUGUAUUGUGUAUAAUUUCUCUAUAACCUUGGAAGCUUAAUAAAACUGCUCUCUGUGUUGGUUUUCUCCAGUGGAUGUAGGCACCCUUCAACAGGUGCUGAACCACUUAAGCUCGGUGUGUUCUUUGUCUUUGGGUUAUGAUCUUUGAUCUGUGCAUUGUUCUUUGUUAACGUAAGAUUAGUUCUUGAAUCUUUGAGUCAGAGUUGGGUCUUGGGGUAAGGUUAAUCUAGUAACUAAAGGUUAAUUUCACAACAAUUGGUAUCAGAGCUCUAAACUCUGAUUUCAAGGUUCAAGAAUGGGUUCAAAAGUGGAUCUUGAGAAGUUUACGGGGCAGAAUGAUUUCAAUAUGUGGAAGAUCAAGAUGGAGGCUUUGUUGAUUACUCAAGAGCUGGGAGAAGCCAUAGAUCCAGUCACUAAGAUUGAAGAAGGUGAGGCUUCAUCAUCUAAGAUCCCAGAACAGGUAGCAGAGAUAGACAAGAAAGCCAGGAGCACAAUCAUACUAAGUCUUGGUGACUCUGUAAUUCGAGAAGUGGCCAAGGAAAGGACUGUUGCUGGUUUAUGGGCUAAGUUGGAGAACUUGUAUAUGACAAAGUCUUUGGCAAAUAGACUUUACAUUAAGAAGAAGAUGUUCUCACUGAAGAUGAUUGAAGGGGCAUCAUUAACAGAACAUGUUGAUGAAUUCAAUAAGGUUUGUGAUGAACUGGAGACUAUAGAUGAAGGGCUGAGUGAUGAGAGCAAAGCCUUGCUACUAAUCAGCUCUUUACCAAAGUCUUACGAGCACUUUGUGGAUGCACUGCUGUAUGAGAGGCAAACACUCUCCCUAGAAGAGGUUAAAUCUGCUCUUGGCACAAAGAAGCUGAAAGAUAAGCAAGAUAAUCCAGAAAGUGAAUCAAGUGAGGGAUUGAUGGCAAGAGGCAGGUCUGAGAAAAGAGAUAACAAUGAAAAAAGCAAGGCAGAUCAAAGUCUAAACAAAAGAAUUUGAAGUGUUUUCAUUGCCAUAAAGAAGGGCAUUUCAAGAGAGAUUGCCCUGAAAGAAAGAACAAGAAUAAAGAAACCAAAGAAAGAACAGGUAAUGCAGCCAUAGCCACAGAAGAAGAAUGUAACUUUGAAACAGCCGGAGUACUCAUUGCCACAAGUCAGAAACCUCAAGGUCAGUGGGUCCUUAACUCAGGUUGUACCUUUCAUAUGUGUCCAAAUAGGAGUUAUUUUACAACAUAUCAGCCAUGUGAUGGGGGUAUGGUUCUAAUGGGUAAUAACUCAAUGUGUAAGGUAGCUGGUAUUGGGACUGUUAGCCUUAGGAUGUUUGAUGGGGUGAUAAGGGAAUUGACACAAGUGAGAUUUGUCCCUGAUCUAAAAAGGAACUUAAUCUCAAUUGGCAUGCUAGAUCAAACAGGUUGUGUAAUUAAGGCUGAGAAAUGUGUAUUGAGGGUAAUUAAAGGAUCAAUGGUGAUCAUGAAAGGCAUAAAACAAAAUGGUCUAUAUGUGAUGGAUGGACAUACUGUUGUUGGGGAGGCAAGUGUGACUGACAGUAAAUGGAACAGAUCAAUGAUGUGGCAUUUAAGGAUGGGGCAUAUGAGUGAAAGAGGUUUGAGAGAGUUACAAAAACAAGGAGUGUUUGGGGAUGAUCAAAUAGGAGCUUUGGGGUUCUGUGAGGAUUGUAUUCUAGGAAAAUCCUCCAGGUUAAGGUUUGAGAUUGCAGCUCAUACCACCAAAGAGAAGCUUGAAUACAUACACUCUGAUUUGUGGGGGCCUGUACAAGUAAACUCACUAGGUGGAUGUAGAUAUUUUCUGACUUUUAUAGAUGAUUUUUCAAGGAUGGUUUGGGUCUUUGCACUCAAAAGCAAAGAUGAGGUUCUGGAAAAAUUCAAAAACUGGAAAACUUUUGUUGAGAACCAGACUGGUCUGAAGGUGAAAACUCUGAGGACAGACAAUGGCUUGGAGUAUUGCAACAAGCUGUUUGAAGAAUUCUGUGAAAAGAAUGGUAUUCAGAGGCACAAAACUGUCACCUACACCCCUUAACAGAAUGGCCUUGCUGAGAGGAUGAAUAGGACUCUGGUGGAGAAGGUGAGAUGCAUGUUAAUCUAUUCUAAGCUCCCAAAAACCCUUUGGGCAGAAGCUUUAAACACAGCAUGCUAUCUAGUCAACAGGAGCCCAUCAACUGCUAUAGAUUGUAAAACACCAAUGGAGCUUUGGUCAGGAAGAAGGGCUGACUAUACAAAACUCUGAAUCUUUGGGUGCACAACAUAUGCUCAUGUGAAGUAGGGUAAGCUGGAACCAAGGGCAUUAAAAUGCAGAUUUCUGGGGUAUCCGGAUGGGGUCAAGGGCUAUAGAUUAUAGUGUGUUGACACAAAACCACCACAGUGCAUCAUAAGCAGGGAUGUAAAAUUCCAUGAAGAAGAGCUAUUGAAUAAACCAAAGAGCUCAGAUAACAAUAUGGAAUCAAGCACUGAGACUGAUAUAGUGAAGUUUCAGGUGGAGCCUCAAAACUUGAAAGAACUUGAGCCUGAAAUUGAAGGUACUGAAGCAGAACCUGAAGCUGGUGUUGAACAUGAAUCAGCUGAAAGUGAAGAGAACACCUAUCAGUUGGCUAGAGACAGAAAGAAAAGGACAAUAAAGCCACCUAAAAGAUAUGCAGUAGUUGACUUGAUUGCAUAUGCUUUGAAUGUUGCUCAAGAGCUGAAUGAUGAUGAACCUAGGACCUAUCAAGAAGCUAUCACAGGCAAAAACAAGCUGGAAUGGAAGAGGGCAAUGGAUGAAGAGAUGACAUCCCUGAUUAAAAACAAGACCUGGACAUUGAUUGAAAAACCAGACAAGAGGAAAACAGCAAGCUGCAAAUGGAUCUUCAAAAUUAAAAAUGGUGUACCUGGAGCUGAACCUAGAAGAUUUAAAGCUAGAUUGGUGGCAAGGGGUUUUACACAGAAGGAGGGAAUUGACUUCACUGAAGUAUUUUCUCCUGUGGUGAGACAUGCUUCCAUCAGAGUUAUUCUUGCACUUGUGGCUGUGCAAGAUAUGCAUCUUGAGCAGAUGGAUGUAAAAACAACAUUUCUGCAUGGUGAGUUACAAAAAGAAAUUGUAAUGCAGCAGCCUGAAGGAUAUGUAGCAUCUGGAAAAGAAGACUAUGUUUGCUUACUUAAGAAGUCUCUGUAUGGGUUGAAGCAGUCACAUAGGCAAUGGUAUCUGAGUUUCAGAUAUUUUUGACAUGUCGGUUUAUAACCUUGAUUGUGCAUGCCCUGUCGGUUGCGUGAUGAAACAGGAGAAUAUUGACAUCUGUGUAUUAUCGUUUACUUCCUGCAAUUAAAUCACAUGUUGUUCAUUCCAUUUACACUAUACGGCACAUUUGGCAGUUGUUUUGGUCACUUAUUGAAGCACGGGUUAAGUACUUGAUUCAAGGUUGUUAACUGACCUUUACAAGGCGGGAAAAUUCUGGGUUUGUUAUAACAAACCCCGGAAUGCAGCUAGUGAGUGGGGACUUUUCUAGACUCUUCAUGAUAUGUAUAUAUAGUCUUAGAGGCUAUAGUUGAGACAUAUGAAAAGCUUCUUAAUGUUUGUAGUUUGAUCUCGGUGAUGGAGAUAAGAUUGCUGCCCUGUUCUUCAGUGGAUAUAGGCUAUCUCCAAGCCGAACCACUUAAAUUGUGCCUCUGUUUUGCUUGAUGACUACCAGUGGUGAGAAAACACCUACAGAACAAAUCAAGCUUGAUGACUCAAAUAUUAGGGAAGCCAUAGUCAAGGUAUCUGGUUUAUGCAUCAACAGUGGUUCGUGGACUAGAAUUCCUAUCUAUUGUCGCUUCACAAUUGCACUGGAAGAAAGCGAAUUUGAUCGAGCUUUGGAUCGCAUAGCUAAAUUCAAAAGCAUCGUACAAAUAGUUAACUAAAAGACGGUAUUGUCAUUUGUCAUGAUUUAUUUCUAUUGCCUGAUGAUGAUACCCAUCACGCCUUAGUUGUCGUGAAUAAAUCUAAAAUCAAAUUGAACUGGUUUUUACUGGUUAGCAACAAUUGUGACGUUUUGAGAUUAUAAUAUAUGACAACACUGAUUAGUGUUGUCUCCCAUGUGAAUUGAGACAAAAAUUAUUUUCCCAAUUGCGCUUUCAUUUGAACAAUUCCACUGUAGAUUUAUAAAAUAAUGAUCAAAUUGUGUUUUAUAUUAAGUUACGAGUAAUUGGUUAAACAUUAAUACAAAACUAUUUUAAGUAACAUGUGGCAUAUUCUAAUUCUAGCCAAGCUUCCAACUAAGAUUCCCAAAUCAAAAGAAUUUCAAUCUUCAGAACAUUCUGCAAAACGUUUAGUCUCUACGCAGUGCUAGAAUUUUCCCUAAGUUUCUAUUGCAAAGACUUCUAAAGAACUAUUCAGAUAUCGAGCUAUAAUCCAGUCUAAAGUGCAUAUAUCUCUCUAAUUCACCUCCCUCCAUUUCACCAGAAAAUCAAUAAACACUUAGCUUCAAACAAACACUCUCAAAAAGCUAGCUAGCUAUCCAGAUGGAAAAACCAAGAAUUCUUGCAAUGACAAUGUUGUUUCUUGUUAUGGCAGCAACAUUGAUAAACAUGGCAUCACAAGCAAUAGCUCUGAUGCCGUACACACAAUCACCUUUCUUUGACAUGAUGUUCCCAAUGACGGAAGAGCCUUUCAGGGUUCUUGAACAAACCCCUUUAACAAUCGCAAAAGGAGCUGAUCAUCAUCAAACUCUAGCCCUGGCGAGAGCAGACUGGAUGGAGACACCAACAGCCCACGUGAUCACGCUCGACAUUCCAGGGAUGAAGAAAGAUAAUAUGAAGAUUGAAGUUGAAGAGAACAGAGUACUGAGAGUGAGUGGGGAGAGGAAGAGUAAUGAUUAUUAUAAGGAGGGAGUUGAAGGAGAGAAAUGGCACAAAGCUGAGAGGACAUUUGGCAAGUUUUGGAGGCAGUUUAGGAUGCCAAUGAGUGUUGACUUGGAACAUGUUAAGGCUCACAUGAAAAAUGGGAUUCUGAGGGUCACAGUGCCAAAGCUUGCUGAGGAGAAGAAGAGGCAGCCUAAGGUUAUUAACAUUGAUGAAGAGUCUGGUAAUUCUUCCAAUGAAGAUAUUAAGGCUACCAAGGCUCAAAUGUAAUUAAUUAAAGAAAGAAGUGAUUGCUUUGCUUGAUGUGCUAUUUGUUUAUGAUCUUUUUUUGGUUUUGUUCCGAGAUGUUUCUAUUUGGAUGCUCUAUUUAAUGUAUGUUGAUGGGUUUUUGAGGAAGGCUUGUAUGUAUUGACAACCAUAAAAUACUUUUUAUAAAUCCUAGUCCUACAACACUAAAAGAAAACAAUACGUUUGGUUUAUAGUUAAUAAAAAUAUAUUUUUUUAAAAAAUUCUUUUUCUUUGGCAUAUAGUAUGCGUUUUGAGGGGAAAAAAAUUUAUCCCACUCCUAAUUUGUCAUCUGUGAUAUUAAUGUGUUAGCACGAAGAUUCAUUGUAAUUGCAACAAUUUUGAUGAAUCCAAACGUUCAAUAACUGUUAAAUUGUAUUUUAUAAAUACUAAUAGCGAAGGUACAGAAACGAUUAAUCCAAGAAGUUGCUUAAAGUGCAUUAAAUUAGGGAGUAUAAAUAAUUGUGUGAUACAGUCCAGCCUUUAUCUGCUUAUAAUUAGCAACCAAAAACCAUUUGCAACGCCAUUAAAAAAACAUUUUAACAUUAUUGCUGAGGGAAGAGGCAGCUUAGGCUUAUUAACUCGUAUUAUUAAUGCUGAUGACGCAGCUGGUAAUCCUUUUGGUGAAUAUAAUAAGGUAGCUGAAGCUUAUAAUUAUUUAAGCCCACUAAAGCUUAAAACUAAUUCUUCUAGUGACGAUGCUUUGCUUAGUUUGCUUUUUGUUUUUAAUUUUUUUGGGGCUAACAUUUUGCUUAUUUUGCUUUUAAAAUUCUAUUCGCGUUGCUGUGAAAUAUUGUUUGUCCUUCCAUUUUCUGUUUUUGUUGUUAUCGGAUUUGAUGAUGGUUUAUAUGUACGAAGAUUAUGUAAUAAAGUCUUUUUCUUUGGCCUUUAUUAUGCAUUUUAAUACGAAAAAAAAUUAUCCCACUCCAAUUCAUGAAGAUAUUCUCAUUUCUGUCAUAUUGAUGUGUUAAUAUAAAGAUCCAUUGCAGUUGGUGAAUUCAAAUAUUCAGUAACUGAUGAAAUUGUAUUUAUAAAUUCAUAGUAAUAGCAAUUGAAGAUUAUAAUUAAUUUUGUAAUAUGGUCAAGCCCUCGUGUGUUUAAUUAGCACUCAAAAACCACUUUACAAUAGUCAUUAAAAGAACAUUAUAACGUCAUUACUGAUGAGUUCUGGUGAAGAUAUUAAGUUAAGGCCACAAAAAUCGAAAUGUACGUGGCUUCGUUUGUUUUUUGUUUUGAUUUUUUUUGGGGGCAAAUGCUUGGCUUCGUUUUUGAUAUUUUAUUGGCUUUAUUGUGUGGCAUGUUCUUGUUUUCUUUUGAUUUUCUGUUUUUGUUUGUUAUGGGAUUUGAUGACGAUGUACAUGUACGAAGAUUAUGUAAUAAAAUGCUUUUGAUAAAUUGUGGUCGGUUUAGUAUUAAUUAACCAAAUUUAAUUUACUUGAUCAAUUGAUAUUUGUUAGUAUUGUUGUUAUACAAGCACAACAAAAGAAGAACACUAACGUACUAAUUAAUUACUAAUAAGAACAUUAACAAUUUUUGCCGAAGUCUGAUGAAGAGAAAUAUUACACAUACGUAACGGUACCGCGGAAGGAAAAAAUAAAAGAAACUGAAGUUUAUUUCAACAGCUACUCUUUCUUUACCUAAAUCCUGCACCUCUCAUACUACCAACAAGAUCGAAAACCUUAUCGAAUACUCCUACAUCCCAGACUCUGCCCAAAUCAGUGAAUCCACAUACCUCCAAUACAGUACCCCGUUGCUAAAAUAAAGCGAGCGUCUUACUCUACCUAACAUUUUUCUUUUUAUUAAUUUAAAACAGUUUUCAACUGAGAUUGGAAUUUUAAAAUUACGUACACAAACAUACCUGAUUUUAAAGAAAAAAAAUUCUAAUAAUAAAAUAUUUUACAUAUGUAACCAUACGGCGGAAGAACAAAUAUAAGAAACUGAAGUUUCAACAGCUGAGAAUGAGAUAAGCAUAAGAAAUUAAUUCAUUAAUUAAUUAAUAGAGUCCUCCUCCUUUGCUAAAUAAUGCGAGCCCAUUGUUCUUUUUAUUUCGAAAACCCAUUAAUCACCAACACAUAAUAUACGCCCAAUUUAAAAAAAAGAAACUAAUAAUAAAAUAUUUCAGUCCCUCUGUUGAGUCGUCCUCUGUGGAGUCGUCAUCAAAAACCCAUUUACUAGCUAUUUCAACAUAAGGUAAAUGGGUUAACAAGGCCCAAUAUUGUCCUCCAUCCUCUCUGCACUUCUCUUCUAUCAACGGACAAUCAUAGAUACUUAAUUUCAAAAGUGAGGAAGGCAGGCCCUUCUCCGGAAAGUAUUUGAGCUUGGGACAAUUCUUGAGAUACAAUGAAGUGAGGUUUUGAAGAUCAACAAUUGAAGAAGAUAGGCGUUCCAAAUUUGGAAAAUUGUAAAUCUCCAGAGACGUUAGAGAGGCAAGAAGAGGAAGCGCAGCCCCUAAUCUUUUGUCCUCUAGUGGAAUUGACACCAUGUCGUCAUCGCAUUCGCUGAUUUUAAAAUGUCGCAGAGAGGAGAAUCUGUGAAAUCCCCGGCCCCGCUCAAUCAUUGACUUCCAAAUCUCCAUAUUACCCCUGAUAUCAAGUGAAUGAAGGUUGGUGGGAAGGCCAUCUUCUUCAAGGCUUGGAAGCUCAACUCCUCUUCCUAUUGUUAAUUCUUGAAGAGAGGUCAGAUUGUGCAAUCCCUUGGGUAAGGCCUCUAGUCCCUUGCACCAACUGAUAUUGAACUUUAUUAGUUUCGCACAAGGCAAUCCCCCUUCGGGAAAGGACACCAGAUUUUUACAUUCCCAUAUUUCGAUCUCUUGAAGCUGGCGGAGAUUAUGUAAACCACUCGGUAAAAUCUUUAGAUUUUUACAAAAAUCAAUUCUGAUUAUUUCAAGCGAUGUGUUGUUGUCCAACCUUUCUGCUAUUGACUCCAGCUUUGAACAACUAAGAACUUCAAGGGACUUAAGAGACGGAGGUAGAUUGCCAACUUCAAGGGACUCAAGCGUGGCAGGUAACUCGUUUUUUGAAAAUAUACAUGUCAGAGAUGGACAUUCGCUAAUAUGCAAGCCCUCGAGAAGAGAUGAGGUGUACCUUCUGCUGCUGCUGCUGCUGCUACUCUGGAUGCCCUCUUCCACUGUCAAAGUCCUUAGAUUAUCACAAUUAUGGAUGUACAACAUCUUAAGGCUCGGUGGUAGCUGGACUCCAGCAAUAUAUGUCAACGAACGGCAACUCAAAAUCUCCAAGAUCUCGAGAGAUGAAUUGGUGUCGCACAUCCAUGCCUCUGGUAACAAUUUCAGUGCAUCACAAGAACUAAUAUGAAUUGUCUUCAACUUGGAAGGCAGAGCAACCUCAGGAAAGGAAACAAGGGAACUGCAUUGGUAGAUUUCUAUCUCUCUCAAGGAGCUAAGGCUGAGCGAUGAUUGUGGCAGCUUCACAAGGUCUUGGCAAUCUCUCAAUUCUAUAUAUUCGAGUCUGCAUGACAACUCGCAGAGCUGCUGUUGUUGGUCUUUCUCUUCCUCCGCCACCAAGGAUUGAAGUUUGGGACAGCUGCCAAUCGUCAAUCUUUUGAGAGAGCAAAUGUCUUGUAGUAAUCCAUCAUGACUCUUCCAUAUAUAUGUUUGCUCUUUUGUCGACAAAAUUAAUUCUUCCAAUUUCUGUAGUUGUGGUUUCAAUGGCCCCACAAGAAACACUUGAUUUGAUGCAUCUCUACAAACCACUGAAUUCUGUGAUCCGAGAUGACCAGUUGCACUUUCCCACACAACCUUUUUGCAUCCACCAAUUUCCAAUUUGCAAAGAGCUGGAAGACUCGAAACUGAAACUAACAAUUCUUCACAUCCUUCAAUAACAAGCAUCUCCAAUGCAGGAAGGUGCUCUGGAAAUGUUCCUUUCAGUUUAGAACAUUUUAAAAUGUGAAGUUCUCUCAAUUUAGGAAACCCUUCAACUCCUUGACUGGAUCCAUGAGGAAUCCAAUCUUCCCAUUCUUGCAUGUUUUCAAAAAGAAGAGUCUUCAAGCAUGGAAAUGGAAUUGGAGAAACAUUCCCAUAGAACUCUGAACCCAACCUCUUUACUCUGCUCAUUCCACAUACUACAAGAUGCUUUAAAGAGGGUAGUUGCCCGACUGACGGCAGGGCAGUACACAUGUCACAAUUUUUAAAUUUUAGGGUCACCAAAUUUGAGAAUGAGGAAUCUCCCAACCAAGUUGGAAAUUUCAUACCUCCAUAGCCUUUGAUACAAAAUUGCUCCAGAUUUGUAUGAGGUUUCAGCAUGUCAAGCAUGCCCAUUUCAGUUUCUGCCUCCCUUGAAGAAGAACCAUCGGUACUGCAAGUCCAUUUAAGCGAUAAUUCUUUCAGAUUCUUCUUUCCAUCCAUUUGAGCUACCAUGGCAUCACCAACGCAUUUUGCAUUCUCCAAUUUUGAAAUGUUAAGUGUCCCAUGAAGGUGCGUCAACAACUUUAGCUCUCGUAACCCGGAACCACUGCCUUUUCCCACAACAAAAUUACACAACGUCUGAAGACUAGUCAACCUACCAAUUCCUAGUGGCAUUUCCUCCAACGACUUCGUAUUUGAAUUCUUAAGAUGAUGCAAUUUGGCGAGGUUUCCCAUGUCUGCACACAACUUCUUCAGCCGAUCACAAUCUUCCAACAAAAGGCUAUGCAAAUUGUAAAGCUUGUUGACUGAGUCAGGCAGAGUUCUAAUCUCAGUUCCAGACAGGUUAAGGUACCUUAAAUACCUCAAAUCACCAACUGAAUCCGGUAGCUCGAAGAUGUGGUAUCCACGCAGAGAGAACGCCCUCAAGCGUUGGGGUUUGAGCAACUUAGGAAGAAUGCUAGGAGCCAAGUAGCCAGGCCCACUAUUUGUCAACAUUACUGGUAAAAAAGUUCUCAAAUGUUGGAUAUCAUACAAGUCCCCGAACCUUUGAACGCCAUCAUAAUCUCCACGAAUGUAUGAUAGGUGACGAAGAUUUCUGGAAAAACAUUGUUGCUUGUUAACCUCCGAGGUAUACUCCAGUGUGAAGUAUGUCUCCCCUGCAGCCCAACGGGCAAGGUCGUUGAUAAGAUCGUGCAUAACAAAUAGUGAUGCAUCGGUGGCCGAUUGCUGCAAAAAAGAUCUUGAACGUAGCUCCUUAAAGAAAUCACGACCUAAAUCUUCACUAGGAUUCUCAUCUUCUUUGUGAUCCAAAAAACCGGAGGCACACCAUAAUAAAAUUAUCUCCUCCUCUUCAAAUUCAUAAUCCUUUGGAAACAAUGAGCAGUAUGCAAAGCAUUGUUUCAAAGUUGGAGGAAGAUAAUAAUAGCUCACUGCAAGGGCUGGUAUAAUGCCACACCUCUUUUCUGAUAAUUCCCAUAUCUUGCUACAGAGCACACGUUCCCACUCACGUCUGUCAUGUUUUCCACGUAAAAGUCCUCCAAGUGUUUGUGCUGCCAAGGGCAAGCCAUCGCAUUUGGUCACUAUCUUCUUGCCGAUUUCCUCCAAUAACUUAUGUGACCCCAAAGAAUGUUGAGCGAAUACAGCCAGACAAUCAUUAUCUGACAACUUUUUUAAUUGAUAAGAUGGAACAGUACCCAUGAUUUCUGCAACCUCUUGAUUGCGAGUAGUGACAAUAAUUUUACUUCCUGGUGCACCAACUUCAAAUGGACGUCUGAGUUGAACCCAAUCAUCGUAAUUCCGGUUCCACACGUCAUCCAAAACAAGCAAAAAUUUCUUUCCAGACAGUUGCUUACUCAGUUCCUUUUGAAGUGAAUUCAAGCUGGGAUCACCCACGUUCUGGCUAGCAACAAUGGAUGUUAAGAUUGUUUUUGUUAGCCUCUUAACGUCGAAAUCAUCAGAGACACAAGUCCAUGCCUUGAGAUCAAAAUGAUCCUGCACUUGCUUAUCAUUGUAGACAAGCUGAGCAAGAGUGGUUUUGCCCAGCCCGCCCAUACCUAUAAUAGGAAUAACAGAGAAUCCACCAUCGUUGCUUAAAUCAUCCCUCAACAGCAGUUCAACAACAUCCUUCUUUUCUGUUUCCCUGCCAUAUACUUUGGCUUCAUCCACCAAAGAGGUUGUCUCUGGCCUUUGACUGGCUUUUUUGGAUCCCCCAGCUGAACUUUCUUUCAAAUCUAGCAAGUUUUUCUUUGUCACAAUUUCUUGAAAUCUGCUGUCGAUCUCUUUGAUUUUGGACAUCAAGUCAUAAUCGAACUGAGUCGAUUGUGGAGUAAAAAUGGUGAAGCAAGUAUGAAUGAACUUCCGAAGCUUACUUGGUCUCGUAUGACUGCUACUGGGUUGAUCAUGAGCAGCAGCUGGUUCUCCAUUUCCAAGCGGCAACCUCCUCCGGAAAGCCUCGGUUUGAAACUCAUCCAACAAGUCUUCAACAUCAUAAGCCAAGUUCUGAAGCUCGCCAAGCCACAAAUUCACAGACGGAGCCGUCCUCCUCUUCUCCUCAGCAUCAUCAAGCACUGCCUUGAUCAUCUCCAACAUAUUCGCCCACCUCAUCAGAUCGGCCUCGAUCUCCUUUUGGCGUGCAAAAAACAGAACCCCCUCUGAAGCUAACUUAUUGACCAGCAAAUCAACGGACGCCGUAAGGAUUGCCUCUCCGAUCAUUGACAUUUUUUUUUCCUUUUUUGGGGCAAAGGAAGAAAGGAGCAGAAUUAUGCGUUAUGGAAAGCAGAAUGAGAAAUUUGAACGGGUGAGAAAAUGGAUAAUUAAGCAGAAUGAGUUUGUGAUUGUGAAGGGUCUGGCCCAACAAGCUUAGUAGAAAUCACGCGUUUAUACUUUAUUGACCAAUGACUAAUAAUUUGCCAAUUCACUCAUCACCACCACUUGGUGAGCAAAAUGAAAAUGCUUAGUAAUUAAACGUGGCAAGUCUCCCCACUUGUUGUUCCUUGCAGCUAAGAAAAGAAAAAACAGAGCCGUAAUUAAUGACAGAAUUUUAAAAAUAAUAAUAAGAGAAAAACCUACACAUUUUCGACUUAGAGUGGAACCGUAAUUAAUGCUAAAAUUUACUCAGCUAAAAUUUUCAAAAUAUUGUUCUUUAUAAUUUUCAAAACCGUAAUUAAGGUUCAUCUCAAAUGUUUGAAGAGACUCUAUCAAUUCUUCUGCGCUAAGAAUAUUAAAAUUCUUAUUUUUUCUUCAAACGUUGAAUAAUGAAAAAAAAUGUUAAAUAUGGAGAAAAAUAGAAUGCAUCCAUCUUUGCUGUAGAAGUCUUCUACUUAUAAAAGCAAGUUAGAAUAAACGAUUUUAAUCUCUCUUUUUAUUCCUGUAAGUGCACUACAUUUUUUUUGUUUUAAUCUCAAUGUGAAGUCGUAUCAUAAUGUUAUGUUAAUGUUAUAUUCUUGUUGGAAAAUGAAAUUUUAGAUAAAACAAAUUCGACUCAUUUGUUGAAGGUAUAUAUUUAGUAGGUUGCUAACAUAAAGUAAAUGAACUAAAAGACAAUACUACCAGCGAUAAUUUAGCAAGUUUCGCAUGCUCGUCUUUCUUGAAAUAUUAUAUGGGAAUGGGAUCAAACAACAGUGAUACAAAGAGAAAAAUGGUAAUCCUCUGAUUGUAUUUUUUUUUUCUUUUUCAAAAGAGAUGGUGGGGUUGGGUUGUUUGCAAAGUUAUUAGUGUGGGUCUAUUUAAAAUGUUAAGAAAUUUUAUGUCCUUUUUUCAAAGUGAAUUUCCAUUUUUCAUUUCUCAUUAAGUAAAACCCACAGCAAAAUUAAAAAGAAAAAACAGAGCCCACUAUAAAUAUAAAAUCGAAGGAGCUCAUAAUUAUACCUUUGCUUUACAUACUAAAUUAAAUAAAAGCCGAACCAAGAAUCUUGCCUUUACUUAACAUGAUUAAUUAGACACUACUUCAGAGAGAAUACGAAAGCAAAGAACCCUUUUGUUAAUCUUAAAUGUUAGGAAAAUAAUUAGCUUGGAAUAAAGCUGCGUUAUUCUCCUCUUACCGUCUCUUCAGGUUCAUUUCAAAAGUUUGAAGAGAUUUUAUCAAUUCUUCUUAUAAAGGCAAGCUAAAUUAAAAGAUUUUAAUCUCUCUUCUUAUUACUAUAAGUGCACUGCUUUUUUUUUAUAAUCAACAAUGUCAAUUUGUAGUGUAAUAUUAUAUUCAUAUUCCUGUUGCGUCGAAAUAAGGUAAAAUGAAAUUUUAAAUCACACAAAUUCGACUCGUUUGUUAAAGGUAUAUAUUUAAUAAGCUAAUAACAUAAUUAACAUAACGCUAUUAUUACACUAAAUGAAAUAAAAGACGGUACCCUCCACCAAUAAUUACAUUAGCAAGCUUCGCAUGCUCGUGUUUCAGGACCUAGACAUUGGCGAAUUAAUCUAGGAUAACGAAACAAUUUCAAAAAGCAAAAUGGAUACUAUACAUUUUCUUUUUUUAAUUGUACAGAAAACGGGACUAAUUUUCAAAUAUUUUUAAAUUCACUUAUUUACAAAAGCUAUACAAAAUGAUUUCCUUUUUAUUUUUGAUGAGCAUAAUUUACAUACAUAUUUUACUAUUUAUUAUAUAAUUACUAGUUAUUUUUAUUUGUUAUUUUAAUUAAUUGAAUUAUUUUAUUUCAUAGGAAAUUAAUUGGAGAUUAUGGAUGAAAAGUGCGUAAAGAAUAACAAUUUGACAGCAUUGAAGAUCAAAUCAAUUUGCGGAAGGAAUUAAGCAAAUGUGCAAGAAAUUCUAUUCGAAGAAACCGAAGCCAAUAAAUUGAAUAUCCAUACUCGUGCAAACAAAGAAGAAGUUUAAAACUAAAGUGGGCAGCACAUUAAAAAAAGCUUUUAAUUAAGUCUUUGAAUGGAAAGUCAAAAUAGAAUAAAGGAAGGAAAUCAAUAGCUUUUGGCUUUUAUUGUUUUCAAUUACGUGGCAGGCUUAGAGCUUUAGCUUGUAAGAGUUGGUUUGGUUAUUAUCACAAUAGGAUUUGGUGGCCAAGCAAUAUAAAAGGGAGUUUUGCUUUUGAAUUAAAGGCUGGACGGAAACAAAAGGGAGGAGAAUUCGGCUUUGAACAGAGAGCAGCGGCAACGGCAAUAUUUCGGCUUCCAUGGCUGAAUUUAUUUCUUUUGUUGCUCACAAUUUAAGUAUGUCUAGCUAAUUUUCUUAUACUGAGGUUAAGGAUGAAACCCUAUUCAAUGAAAUAAUUAUCUUUUUAUUUAUUUAAUUCCCUAUAUAUGUGCUUUAAUGUUUAUGGUUUUUAUUUCACAUGAUUAAUUGGACGUUAUUAAAAUCUUUUCAUCAAUUCUGUCAUGCAUUAUUAAUUGUUAGGAUUAAUAUUCAAUUAAUUCUAUACUUGGAUCUAUAAAGUUUAUACAUGAUUAUCUUUGAUUUUAUGUCUUUCAUUAAAUUAUUUACAUAGAGUGCUUAGGAAAACUUUGACUCUUUGUUAUUUAAUAUGUUUACAUGAGAUGCUUACAUGUCAUACUAUUAAGUAGAAAAAGAACCUACAUUACAUUUAAUUUUAAUUGGGCUUAAUUGUUAUAUUUAUGAGAUGACAUAGAUUGAUUUUGAGUUGUCACUCUAAAAUUAGGGAUUCAUUAAUAUUUGGAUAAUUACAAAUUAAAUAGUGGUGGAUUCCGAAACCUUGAUAAUUUUUAUUUUAUUGAUUUCUCAUUUGCUUUAAUUGUUUUCUUAGUUUAAUAAGUUUAAUUUCUUUUAAAAAUUCAAAUUACUCAACUAAGUUAGGAUUAAUAUUAAUUUUAGAUUUAAAUUAGACUUUUCAAUUUAUAACAAUCCAUGUGGGAUUGACCUCGUUACUACUAUUCUAUUUCUAGAUUCAUGCGCUUGUAAGUAUAUUAAAACUUUCACAACAAUUUUGAAAGGAAUCAAAUAACAGUGAUACAAAGAGCGCAAAGUUGCAAUUCUCUUAUUAUAUUUUUUCUCUUUUUUAAAAGGAGAUAGUGGGGUUUGGUUGGUUGCUAAAUUAUUGGUGUGAGGGUCUAUUUGUUUUUGUUUUCACUUUAUUAAUUAUACCAAGCAAACAUGUAAUCAUUUGUAAAGGGGUCACUAGCAUUGGAUUAUGUAAGAUGAAUUCAUAAGACUUAUUAAUUUCGAUGAAAAUGUAGCGUUAUUAAGUUGUCAAUUCAUUAACUUGAGGUACUAAUAUUUACUAAUUGUGGUGAUUAAUUUAUUUAACUUGUCAUAAUUUUCAAUUGAGAAUGAAGUUCAAUCAAUGUAUGAAAAAAAUAAUUUUUUUAGAUUUUUAAUUCCUAUGAUUUAAUUUCCCCCUGUUUCGAUUAUUGACGUGUUAAAAGCUUGUAGAAUAUCAUGAAAUGCUUGUAUCUCACCUCGCAAAUUGACAAAUAUUGGUUGGUUUCUCCAAAGGCUACCAUAAUGAAUUGAAAGUAAAAACAACAACCAUUGAAAAUUAAUUUUAAAAUCAUUUUUACUUGAAAUUUUUUAAAAGAAAAAUUAAGCAAAUUAGAUUACAGAUAUCAAUCUUAAUAUUUUGUUGAUGAAAAUUAAUUAAUUUAUCUCAGUACUUUCUUAAUUUUGUGUUGUGCACCGCAUUGGUCACUUCUGAUUGUGUUGCAUAUUUGUUAAUUCAAAGAAAUAGAACUUCUUUAUCGAUCAAACUUAUUUUAUUAGUAUUCUUCAUCAUAUGGUUAAUGGCUUAGCCAAUGAAGGAGAAGGGGUCAGCCAAAACAAAUAAAGUACUUUCUCAUGCAUUAACCUUUAUUAAAAAGCUUUAUUAACUGUUGUAGUUAAAAUAAUUUUAAAACAAGUUAAAACAGUUCCAACUCAAAAUCAGUAGGCUGCAAUUGGGUUGUUACACAUAUUUCUAAAUUUCAGUCUAAUUUAAUUGUGUAUGGACAAACUAACUUUAUCACUUCUUUCAUAUUAAUACUCAUAAAUUUCAACCUUUUUUUAUGAUGAUGGACAAUCUAACUUAACAAAAAUAAUGUUCAAAUUAUCACAAAAUGUUCUUUUCUUAAAAAAGAAAAGAAAAUCAUAUAUAGUAGUUAAUUUUUCUUCUUCUGUACUCCAAGAUCCAACUCCGUACUCCACUUGUUCGUUGUUAUUAUACCCAGCCAUUAGAUUUUAAUUACGUUGAUUUAACGGUUUGGAUUCGUAAAUGAAUAACGACGUAAAGUUUGGCUACCAUCUGAACCCACCGCAUCUAAUUGGUUUUGUGAUUUUUUGCUUUCUUCACUGCAACGCUUGACUAGUUCUGGAAAUAUCGACCGCCAUCAACGGCAAAUCUGAACCAUGUAUUAUUUGCGAAUACAUUCAUUAAACUAUUAAACAUUCAGAGAAGAAAGCAAACCGUGGCAGUAUAACAAAAACUGCGAAUGGUCAUUCCCAACACGAACCCCUAUGGUUGUUUUCCUUUUAAUUUUCUUCUUUGAAUUCUCCUUUUAUUAAUCAUUAGAAAAACUCCAUUUUUUUUGUUUUAAAUCAUGUGUUAUUAACAUUUACAUGGUUAAUGUCAUCGAAAUCGAAUGGUUGUUAUCUACGAAAAGAGAAUUGCUAGAAAUUUUGUUAGUCCCAUUGCAACAAUAUAUUGUUAUAAAUUGCAUUGUUUUCCAUAUAACAAAUAUAAUAAAAUCUCAAUAAAUUAAUAGUUUUUGGGACCAUAAAAAAAUUAUUAAAAUUAAACAAAUAUCAAUUAAUCAGUAAAUUAAUAAAUUAUUAAUUUAUGAAAAUAUUCAUUAUUUUGGAAAAACAUGAUCACGCUUUUAAUAUUGAUUUACCUUGAGUUAGUAUCUAUUAGGUUUUAUUUGUCUAUUAGUUUUCUCUUGGGAAGAUUUUUUAAGAGUUAGCUGCUUUAUAUUAACAGUAAUAAAAUUAUUAUUUAACGGUUUUGUUUUUCCAUGCUAAAGACCGAUUAGUCGUCUUCUUCUCCUCAGCAUCAUCAAAACCAGGGUUUUUAACUCCUAAAACGUUUCUUUUUAGAAAUAUAUUACUUUAUUCAUCUAAUAUGUUAUCUAACAAAUAGACACAGAUGAAAUCACUCUAAAGUGAAGAUGAAAGGGGAAAAAAAACAUUCCAACCACCAAUAAUUUAGCAAGCUUCACUUUUAUUCCACCAAAGUGUAAAUAGUGCCAGCCCCCACCACCAUCAAUAAUUUAGCAAGCUUCACACGCUUGUUGUCUUCUCCUUGACGAACUGGACGUGGGUGGACCAAGAAUCAAUGAAAGAAUUUUAAAAAUAAUAAUAAAAGAAAAACAUAAACAUUUUGGACUCGGAGUAGAACCGUAAUUAAUGCUAAAAUUUACUCCGCUAACGUUUUCAAAAUAUUGUUCUUUAUAAUUGUACAGCAAAUAAGACUAAGUUUUGGACAUUUUCAUAUUCACUUACUUUCAAAAGCAGUAUUUCGAAACAUUUUACAGAAUCAAGUAACAGUUAUAUAACGAGAAAAGUGCAAAGUUGUGUAAUUCUAAUGUUUUUUUUUUUUUAUCACAGACACUCAGAUAAUUUUUUAUUUGGGUCGCCAACUCGCCAAUUAACCCAUGAUUGAAUGAGUGUUUAGAAAGAAAAUCAAUAAAAAACAGUUUUUUUUUUGGUCGUCGAAAUAUAGUAAGUGAGAAAGAUUAUUCUGUUUUUUUUGUUAAUUAGGUUAGUAAUUAUGAUUGAGUGACUCAGAACUAUAUUCUAGAUUGAGAAUCAACGGUUCUCCCACACUGAGAGGCUGUAAGUUUAAGAUUGUCGUUUGCUAUUUCAUCGACAAGAGAACACUUGAAUUUAUUAAAAGGAGAAGGCCAUAAAGAUUUUCCUUUAUGAGAAAUGUAUCUGAUCAUUCCUUUUUACUUGAAAAUUUCAUAUAUAAAAACUCAUUAAUAAAUGACAGAAUAUACAUAAAUUAUUAAUUCAUUUGAUAGUUGAUUAUCGAAGGACAUGUGACCCAUGGAAGCAUGCAGUCUAUAAAAUAAUUCUUUUUUUUUUUUAACAAAAAAUUGGUGAUGUUGAAAAGCAAAAUUAUUAUUUCUCUAAUUAGGGUGAACAUUCAUAAAAAGAAUGCCGUAUGAAACUAAAUUAUUAAUUCGUUUGACAUGUGACCCACAAUAAAUAGUUAAAUUUGGCGGCAACAAUAAUUACAAGACGAACUUAAAGCAGCGCAUAGGUUUUUCUUAAAAAUACAUAAACAAUUCGAUAUUUUUUAUUUGACAGUUUUUAAGAAAUGUCAAACAUAUAUGACAUUUUGUGAAAAACUGAGUAAUUGUGAAAUAUAAAUGAUAAUUUAUUUAAACGUCAAAUAAUUGUGACGUUUUAUCAAAUAAGUGAUAAAUAUCUUACAUAUUUAUUGAAUAAUUAUCAUUUACCUUUUCCUUUUAUUGACUCGAGCAAAAAAAACAAAAAAACUGACUAUACUGCUUUUAUUUUCGUUCUUAGAACAGAUUUUAGUUUCUUUUGAGAAAAUUCAAACUCAUUCCCAUUACUUUCUUUUCAAUAAUCACCUCUCAGUUUUUCAUCAAUCACUCAAUUCCGAAUUUCAUCUCCAUUCUCUUUUGAAGAAGAACGCACGAAGAAUUUUAGCUUGCUUUUGCUGCUUCUCGAAUAUUGGGUAUUGUUUCCUUUAAUUUAGAUAAUUGUUUUUUAUAUCUCUCUUUCUAGUUUGAUAAUUUAUGGUUAUACUUGAAUUAAUUGUAUUUUUAAUCAACCAAGGUUGAUUUAAUUGAUUCCAAGUCUCAAUUUCCUGUUCAACAAUUUUCAUACUCAAUUUUGAAAGAAUCAAUGUAUUUUAUCUUUGGUUAGUACACUUCUGUUCAAUUUUUGUUUAUUUAACUUAAGAUAUCUUUUUCUUUCUUUUCUUCAAGCAAAUUAUAGAUUAUAUUGAGAACAGAGUUUUCUCCUUAAUUCCGCCAAGAGCAACGUUGAUUUCAGGUGAUAAUUGAAUGUGUAAUAUUUUCAAUUGAAAUUAAUUGAGUCUCGUGAUAAUAAUAGGGAUUUGAGAUUUACAUCCUGUUGAAAUGAUUUUAGAGUGUUCUGUUAUUUGAAUGCGCAUUAAUUGUUUGAUUAAAUGUCUCUUUAAAAGAUUAUUUUUGUUUUUAGCAAACAUCUUAAUGCACUUUACAAAUUGAAUCCAACAAGGGAAAAUUAUAGAACUGCAGCAGUUUUCAAAUUGAUUGCAUAUUAGAAGUAAUGUUAAUUUAUGCUGCAACAGUUCAAUGGGCUGGGCACAAGUUUAGGACUUCAGUUGCUCAAUUAAUGAAUCCACCACUCAUCAGACUUGGAACUUAUAUCUAUUGAAUCAAUAAAAAUAGUUGAUGGAAUCAAUGCCGAAAGCUUCAUUUGAUAUUUAUUUAUAACAUCUGUUAGAUUCUGGACAAUCACAAAGAUAUAGUAGCAGAAACUAUGUUAGAGACACUAUAGUUGCUUAAUUAGUGAAAUUGUGCUCUCAUUGCCCCCUUUUUUUGGUUGAUUCUAUAAUUUUAUUAGUUGUUCUUGUGGUUGUAAACAAUAUCAAUUUCUAAUAUUAAUAAAACUGAAUGAAUAAAAUGCGAUGCAUUUGCAGGAAAGUUAAUAGUUUAAAUAUGGAUAAAUCUUGGAUGUUGAUGGAUAGAAGGUCUAUAGAAUAUGAGAACAUGGUAAAUGAGUUUCUCAAGUUUGCAGUACUUCAUGCUAGUCAUCUUGAGCUUUUGAGAUGUCCAUGCCAAGCAUGUCUUAGUUUAUAGGCUCAAACAAUUAACAGUAUAGAAAAUGCAUGAUAGAACACAGAACUCAUAUUUUAGCAACAAUCCUCAGCUCACUGGCCCUUAGUUCAGAAUGACAAUUCUUAUUAGCCAAAGGUUCAAAAUGAUUUUUAGUUGUUUAUAAGUAGAGAACUAGAUCAACAAAUAAUUGAAGACCUGCAGCUUGGCUAUUGAACUAUACGAUGAUGCCAAUUCGAAGACUACAACUUGGCUCUGCCAUUCGAAGUAAGCAACGCAGCUGCCCAAAGUCUGCCAAACCAAGAAAAAUAAAGACUUCUCCUUAGCAAUUAAGUUAAUAUAAGGAAUGUUGCAUGUCCACAAAACUAGGUAGACGCAACUGGGACUUCAAUAUAUAUAUAGAUAUAUAUAUAUAUAUAUAAGCAUUUCCUAGAUCAAUAUUAUUCUCAGUAACUGAAUAUUGAAGCUGACCAUCACAUUUAAUAAUAAAUCAAUAUCAGGAAUGUUGUUGAGGAGUAUUUUGAUAUUUACAAAAGUGUUCAAAGUAAAAAUUGAUUUCUUAAAACCCAUUAGCUAGCGCACAUAAUAAUGGGGAGAAAAUUUUAGACUACGAAUAGUCCCACCCAUUUAAUAAUAUUCUUCAAUCAAUUAUGUUUACUUCAAAAAAAAAAAACCAUCUCUUUAUUACUUUCUAACUAUUCAUAUUAAUGUGUUCAUAAUUAUGAAGAACCGGUGUAAUUUAUAUGAUGUAGGAAGCACAUUAGUCAAAAUCAUCAGAAUCUCAAAAUUUCGUGAUGUUGUGCCAAAUAUGCAAACCAAAGCUUCCUACAUUCUUUGUACGUUUGUGUUAGUUACAAGCAAUCACAGUGGUAAACGAAAAAAAACGAAUUAAAACACAUGAGGAGAUUUAAAUGAAAAUGUCUUAAUCAUAUAUCGCAUGUAAGACCUUUUGUACUCAAAACUGAUCAGCACCCAUUCUGCCCGCCGUGUGAUCACAUCUUGAAGGGAGUGUUGCUUCAGCAUUUUUAUCAUUUUUACUAUUUCUAGGAUCCAUUUUGUCACCUCCCUCCCUCCCCCCGGUUUCUAAAAUAAUUAUAUAAUAACCAUAUAAUUAUUGGUUGUUCUAGCAAAUAAAAAAAAUAUAUAUAUAUAUAUAUAUAUUAAUCUUUUAAUAACAUUAUCACUUUGUCAAAAUAAAAAAUCUCCUCAUUAAAUAAUUAUAUUAUAUAUAUUCAUUUAUUUAUCCAAAUAAAAAAGUAUGAAGUCAAAUAGUACACAAUAAUUUAACUAAUUUGAAUUGGUUUAUUUUUAAUGAAACAAAUAACAUUCCUAAAUGCUUCUCUUGAUCCUUAAUUUAUUGAUAAUUUUGUCAAUUUAAGGUCGGCUAUAUAUUGAUUAAAUUACAAGCUUAGACUAUCGAAAGCUGGUUACAGUUAUGGAGGCAGGAAAAAUUUUAUUGUACCAGAAAUUUUUUCUACAACAGUCCAUGCAAAGUAAACAUUUGUAAGGAAAUUGGAGAAUAAUUACAAAGCCAACUAAAUUUUAUGAGAAUCAAUUUGGAGUUUUUGUUAAUCGCCAUUUUGCGUUCAUACAAAGCAAGUGUAGAUACCGGCACAAUAAGCUAAAUGCAAAAUCCAAUGUAGGACAGUGGGGUUGGGACAACGAAAUGGGGAAAUGGGAAUCUAGGUAAUUGCACUGAACCUUAAACUGAGAGUACGGGCACUUAAAAUUUUUAAAGUGUCUAAUAAGUUUCAGCUAAAAAGGAAAUAGGCUGUAAAAUUGCUAAAUUCAUUUUGAUUUCUAAAUUCAUAAAUAACCUUAAAAGUUCUCUGAUACAACUUGUCAAUAAUGGUGAAAAUUCAAUUUCAGAAUGACAAUUCUUAUUAGUGAAAGAAUCAAAAUGAUUUUUAGUUGUUUAUAAAUAGAUCACUAGAUCAACAAAUAAUUGAAGACUGGCUUGGCUAUUGAACCAUACGCGGCAAUUCGAAGACUGAAACUUAACUCUGCCGUUCGAAGUAAGCAACUCAGGUGCCCAAAGGCUGUCAAGCCAUCAAGACAAUACGAAGAUACAACAUCAAUAAUAAUUACAUAUUACACCUACCCCAAUAAGAAAUUAGUUAAUACAGUCCUAGAAAGAAAUUUACAAACCCAUGCUGUAGGAAUAAUUAAUUAAUUUAUACAGUUCGGUACUCAUUCCUCUUCUGUUUCAAAUCCAUAUCCACUGCUCUGCCAUUUAUUACUACGCAAGGUAUAUGGGUUAGCAAGUGCCGACAUUGUCCUCCAUUCUUUAUGUGCCUUUCUUCUAUCAAGGGACAACCCAAGAUCUCUAAUCGCAAGAAAAAUAUUUCAAAGUAAAAAGUGAUUUCUUAAAAUCUAUUAGCUAGUGCACAUAAUAAAAGGCCAUUCAUGGUAAAUUUUAGAUUACAAGUAGUCCCAAUAAUAUUCUGCAAUCAAUUCCGUUUAUUUUAAAAUAAAAGAAAUCCAUCUCUUUAUUACUUUCUAAUUAGUCAUAUUAAUGUGUUAAUAAUUGUGAAGAACCAGCGUAAUUUAUAUGAUGUAGGAAACCCGUUAGGCAAAAUAACCUGAAUUUUUUAAAGUAGGGGCUAGACAUAUUGGGCAUAACCUCAGUUUCUGUUACUUCUUUGACCCUGCCUAAGCUCUUUUAUGGGCUAAUAUCAAAAUUUCGUGAUAUUGUGCCUAAAGAGCUUCCAAUUCAAGGAGCUCCCCUGUUUUUGACUGAAACAUAUGUAAUCCGAAAAAUUUAUAAUUAGAUAAAUCAUUCAAAAUCUCCCUGAAUCUAACCCACAUUUCUAUGGUUUAAUAACAUAUCACAAAGGUGCCUAAUAUAAUGAAAUUAGCACUAGUUCACGAGAUUGCCAUUAUAUAUUACAAGUCUUUUUAUGAUGUAGAUUAGAAGGGAAAAUACGAAGGACAUAUUAUAUAUUAUAUAUGAUUGAAUUUAAUCCAUGAUAAUUAGACAAAAUAACACUAAUCUAGCUAACUAAUCCACCCAUCAUAAUAAUUUGAUUUUCAUUAUUUUAUUGUGUCCAAUCAUGCUAAUUUAAUAAAAAAAAUACAGAACACUUGAGGAUUUAGAUAUUCAACAACUUUGGCCAAGUUUGAAAAAGAUUAGAGCUUCCUUCAUGCUUUGUGUUCUUAUGUUACACAUGAUCAUAUUAUGUUACAUUUGACAGAAAACUGAAAAUUAUUGAAAAAAAAAAAUCUUAGUUAGCACAUGAUCAAAAUGAGAGAUUAAUGCACACACAUCACAACAAUGUUUCAUUCAUUUUGAAUCUAUAUUUACAAAACUUGUAUCCGAUGGUUUACAUUUGUUUAAUCUAACUGCUAUGACAUGUGUACUGUCAAAACGCUACAGCUGCCAUCUCUGUUUGUCCUUGUUGCAUCCUUGAUCUUAUAUUAUCCUGGAGAUUAUUGAAUGUUCUUCUCAUUCUCAUGUGCUCGAGGGUCCUUUCUUGAGACAUUUCAGCAAACACCUGAUUCAUCCUAUUAAACAUUAGCAUCAUUAAUCAGUAAAUGAUGUAAGGUAGCCCUGUUUCGUGAAGUCAACAUAAAUCAGUCACCUUAGAUUUUCUGAGUCUCAGAGCACAAUGGGUGAUGAUUUGAUGAGAAAUAUUAAUAUGCCUUCAUCCCCUGAAUUAGCUAGAGCUGGUUGUCAUUUUCUUCUUUCUUUUGGUACGGUUUUAGAUUUUUAAUCAAUCAGAUUCAGCUGCAUGUUUGCUUUUAGUCCAAACCAAAAUAAGAUAUUAAGUACUUUUGCCAGAAUAGACGCAACCAAAAUUCUAUGGGAUCUGUAGUUCCUAGUUCAUGCAGAAGCGACCGAAUGCUUCCUGCAACUCAGGCAGAUAGAACCUUGGUUGAUUCGUUUUUCUUCAUCUGAAAUUCUACCUAAUGCCUAUCCUCUUAAUUGGUUUAAAUUCUUCUUUUUUUUCUUUGAAUUGUUGAUUUAUAAUGUCUUGUAUGCAACAUUUAUAAUUUCGGAUGAUGAUAAUCUUGUUUAAGAAGAGAUUUCUAGUUACGGCAGCAGCGUUCUUGAUCAUGGCAUCACAAGCACGUGCUCUGGUUUGCUUAGUUUCCUUUUUGUCUCUGAUAUUUUCUUGGCAUUGUGGGAUAUUGUUUCUCUUUUGAUUUUCUGUUUUUGUUUGCUUAGUUUCCUUUUUAUGUCUGAUAUUUUCUUGGCAUUCUUGUUCUCUCUUAUAAUAAAGUGCUUUUGAUAAAUUCGCCUGGUCGGUUUACUUCACUAACCAUUAAUGAGCAAAUCCUCCCAGUGACUCUCAAACUCUUCUACACAAUUAUAAUAAUUUCAGUUUUACAUAUACAAAAAUGAACAGCUCUCAAACAUAUCAUUUGAUAAUGACAAAAACAAUAAUUCACUCCAAUAAAUCUCAUAAUAAAUACAUGAUCUACAUUGCAAGUCUUUUUAGGACGCAUUCAAAGAGAAAACAUAAGGAAUGGCAAUGCAAGAAUAUGGAAUCAGAAUAACAGUGAUACAAAGAGAAAAAAAAAGGGGAUGGUCGGGUUGGGUUGCUUGCAAAAUUAUUGGUGCGGGGGUCUACUUGUUUUUGUGUCACUUUAUUAAUUAAUUACCGAAGCAAACACGUCAUCAUUUGAAAAAGAAUCACUAGCACCAGCUUAUGAAAAAUAAAUUUGUAAGACAUAUUAAUUUGAAAAUAUUUUGGAAUUUCAGUCUAAGUUGAUUUGUCUAAUUAUGUAUGCACAAACUAGCUUGACCACUUCUUUCAUAUUGAUACCUAUAAAUUGCAACCUUAUUUUACGUUGAUGCACAAUCUAACUUAACAAAAAAAAUAUUCAAAUUGUCACAAAAUAUUUUCUUCUUAAUAUAUAUAUAUAUAUAUAUACAUACACACAGUAGUUAAUUUUCCUUAUUCUUCACUCCAGGAUCCAGCUGCAUACCCCUCUUUUUUGUCGUUAUGUUGCUCAACCGUUAGAUUUUAAUAACGUUAAUCUAACGGUUGAGAUUUGUAAAUGAAUAAUGAAGUGGUGUUUGGCUACUAUCUGAAAAUAUCGGCAGCCAUCGACGGCGAAUCUGAACAAAGGCAACAGGAGGUGAUCGUGGUGAAAUUGUUUUUUGGCAUGCGAAUCUAACGACUUUCAAAUACGUUCAUUCAAAUAUUAAAUGCAAUUCAGGCAAAUAGAAACUUGGUUGAUUGAUUGCUUUUCAUGUGAAAUUCUACCUAAGGGCUAUCCUUUUAAUGGUUUGUACUGUCUUAUAUGCAAAUUAAAUUCGGAAUUCGGGUGAUAAUAAUCUUGAUUUAGAACAGAUUAGGUAACAUGUGGCAUUCUACAUUCUUGCAAUGCCAUUUCUUUUUAUGGCAGCACCAUUUUUUAUCAUUGUUUGUGUGGACCUAUUUGCUGAAUUCAAAACUUGGCGUGUUAAAACGGCAUCGUUUUGUCCAUUAAGAUGUUUCAAGUUGUCCCCGGCUGGACAUAUGACUCACUUAAUGAUACCAAAACGGCGAGGCAUGAAGGUGUUUCGGCUAAGGGCUUAAGUUCUGCAUGUGACAAGCACGUGAGAGAAGAAUCAAGUUAGUUAUAAGUUGUUAUACACGUGGCUGGAUCUGGUGCAAUCUGGGGUAAUGAACAGCCGUUAUAUAAGCUGAGCUUUCAGGCAGUUUCAGCAAGAUGUAAAGAGCUUCUAGAGAGAAUGAAGAGAGAGAAAAUGUAUCAUCUUAUUCCUUGUUAGUUUCUCCGUGUGAGCUCUGUAAAAUACUUUGAUUCAUAAAUAAAACUCAUUUUAGUCGAUUCUCCCUUGGAUGUAUGUUCUGCCUCAUUGCACAGCCGAACCACGUAAACAGUGCUGGUUUCUUUUUUUUUCAUUUGUGUCUAUCACUAAAAAGCAGAGCACUUGCUUGAUUGAAUAAUGUCAUAUUACAUCACAUAAACUCUCUCAAUUAUUGAAAAAGAAAAUCGUAAAAGAGAUGUGUUGAAUUGAUAACUGAAAAAAUCUUAAAAAAUCUUCAAAGUUUUCAAUUAUUGAUAACUGAAAAUUAUUGAAAAAAAAAAUCUUAAAAGAGAUGUGUUGAAUUGUGAAAUUAAAACUGAGUUUCAGACAUUUCUGACAUGUCGGUUUAUAUUCUUGAUUGUGCAUGCCCUGUCGGUUGCUUGAUGAAACAGGAGAAUAUUGACAUCUGUGUAUUAUCGUUUACUUCCUGCAAUUAAAUCACAUGUUGUUCACGUGAUUCCAUUUGCUCUAUGCGGCACAUUUGGCAGUCGUUUAGGUCACUUACUGAAGCACGGGUUAAGUACUUGAUUCAAGGUUGUUAACUGACCUUUACAAGGCGGGAAAAACAAACCCGGAAUGCAGCUAGUGAGUGGGGGACUUUUCUAGACUCUUCAUGAUAUGUAUAUAUAGUCUUAGAGGCUAUAGUUGAGACAUAUGAAAAGCUUGUAACUUCUUCUUAAUGUUUGUAGUUUGAUCUCGGUGAUGGAGAUAAGAUUGCUGCCCUGUUCUCCAGGCCGAACCACUUAAAAUGUGCCUCUGUUUUGCUUGAUGACUACCAGUGGUGAGAAAACAGCUACAGAACAAAUCAAGCUUGAUGACUCAAAUAUUAGGGAAGCCAUAGUCAAGGCAUCUGGUUUAUGCAUCAACAGUGGUUCGUGGACUAGAAUUCUUAGCUAUUGCCGCUUCACAAUUGCACUGGAAGAAAGCGAAUUUGAUCGAGCUUUGGAUCGCAUAGCUAAAUUCAAAAGCAUCGUACAAAUAGUUAACUCAAAAACGGUAUUGUCAUUUGUCAUGAUUUAUUUCUAUUGCCUGAUGAUGAUACCCAUCACGCCUUAGUUGUCGUGAAUAAAUCUAAAAUCAAAUUGAACUGGCUUUUACUGGUUAGCAACAUUUGUGACGUUUUGAGAUUAUAAUAUAUGACAACACUGAUUAGUGUUGUCUCCCAUGUGAAUUGAGACAAAAAUUAUUUUCCCAAUUGCGCUUUCAUUUGAACAAUUCCACUGUAGAUUUAUAAAAUAAUGAUCAAAUUGUGUUUUAUAUUAAGUUACGAGUAAUUGGUUAAAUAUUAAUACAAAACUAUUUUAAGUAACAUGUGGCAUAUUCUAAUUCUAGCCAAGCUUCCAACUAAGAUUCCCAAAUCAAAAGAAUUUCAAUCUUCAGAACAUUCUGCAAAACGUUUAGUUUCUACGCAGUGCUAGAAUUUUCCCUAAGUUUCUAUCGCAAAGACUUCUAAAGAACUAUUCAGAUAUCGAGCUAUAAUCCAGUCUAAAGUGUAUAUAUCCCUCUAAUUCACCUCCCUCCAUUUCACCAGAAAAUCAACAAACACUUAGCUUCAAACAAACACUCUAAAAAAGCUAGCUAGCUAUUCAGAUGGCAAAACCAAGAAUUCUUGCAAUGACAAUGUUGUUUCUUGUUAUGGCAGCAACAUUGAUGAACAUGGCAUCGCAAGCAAACGCUCUGAUGUCGUACACACAAUCACCUUUCAGGGUUCUUGAACAAACCCCUUUAACAAUCGCAAAACGAGCUGAUCAUCAUCAAACUCUAGCCCCGGCGAGAACAGACUAGAUGGAGACACCAACAGCCCACGUGAUCACGCUCGACAUUCCAGGGAUGAAGAAAGAUAAUGUAAAGAUUGAAGUUGAAGAGAACAGAGUACUGAGAGUGAGUGGGGAGAGGAAGAGUAAUGAUUAUUACAAGGAGGGAGUUGAAGGAGAGAAAUGGCACAGAGCUGAGAGGACAUUUGGCAAGUUUUGGAGGCAGUUUAGGAUGCAUAUGAGUGCUGACUUGGAUCAUAUUAAGGCUCACAUGGAAAAUGGGAUUCUGAGGGUCACAGUGCCAACGCUUGCUGAGGAGAAGAAGAGGCAGCCUAAGGUUAUUAACAUUGAUGAAGAGUCUGGUAAUUCUUCCAAUGAAGAUAUUAAGGCUACCAAGGCUCAAAUGUAAUUGAUUAAAGAAAGAAGUGAUUGCUUUGCUUGAUGUGCUAUUUGUUUAUGAUCUUUUCUUGGUUUUGUUGUGAGAUGUUUCUAUUUGGAUGCUCUAUUUAAUGUAUUUUGAUGGGUUUUUGAGGAAGGCUUGUAUGUAUUGACAACAAUAAAGUGCUUUUUAUAAAUCCUAGUCCUCCAACACUAAAAGAAAUUAAUACGCUUGGUUUAUAGUUAAUAAAAAUAUAUAUAUUUUUAAAAAAAGUCUUUUUCUUUGGCAUAUAGUAUGCGUUUUGAGGGAAAAAAAAUUAUCCCACUCCUAAUUCGUCCUCUUCUGCGAUAUUAAUGUGUUAACACGAAGAUUCAUUGUAAUUGCAACAAUUUUGACGAAUCCAAACGUUCAAUAACUGUUAAAUUGUAUUUAUAAAUACUAAUAGCGAAGGUACAGAAACGAUUAAUUCACGAAGUUGCUUAAAGUGCAUUAAAUUAGAGAGUAUAAAUAAUUGUGUGAUACAGUCCAGCCUUCAUCUGCUUAUAAUUAGCAACCAAAAACCACUUUGCAACACCAUUAAAAAAACAUUUUAACAUUAUUGCUGAGGGAAGAGGCAGCUUAGGCUUAUUAACUCGUAUUAUUAAUGCUGAUGACGCAGCUGGUAAUCCUUUUGGUGAAUAUAUUAAGGCAGCUGAAGCUUAAAAUUAAUUAAGCCCACUAAAGCUUAAAACUAAUUCUUCUGGUGACGAUACUUUGCUUAGUUCGCUUUUUGUUUUUAAUUUUUUUGGGGCUAACGUUUUGCUUAUUUUGCUUUUAAAAUUCUAUUCGCGUUGCUGUGGAAUAUUGUUUCUCCUUCGAUUUUCUGUUUUUGUUGUUAUCGGAUUUGAUGAUGGUUUAUAUGUACGAAGAUUAUGUAAUAAAGUGCUUUUGUAAAAAUACUAAGGUAAUAUACAUUACACAUUUGUACUCAAUAAGAAAUCAAUUCAUUAAUAUAAGCAUUAAUACCCCUGGUUUAUUGUUAAUGAAAAUUAAAAAAGAAAAAAAAAAGUCUUUUUCUUUGGCCUUUAUUAUGGAUUUUAAGAGGAAAAAAAUUUAUCCCACUCCAAUUCAUGAAGAUAUUCUCUUUUCUGUCAUAAAGAUCCAUUGCAGUUGGUGAAUUCAAAUAUUCAGUAACUGAUGAAAUUGUAUUUAUAAAUUCAUACUAAUAGCAAUUGAAGAUUAUAAUUAAUUUUGUAAUAUGAUCUAGCCCUCGUGUGUUUAAUUAGCACUCAAAAACCACUUUACAUAAAUGAGGUUUCAACAGCUGAGAAAGAGAUAGCCAUUAUACAUUACACAUUUGCACUUAAUAAGAAAUCAAUUCAUUAAUAUAGCCAUUAAUACGCCUGGUUUAUUGUUAAUGAAAAUUAAAAGAGAAAAAAAAAGGUCUUUUUCUUUGGCCUUUAUUAUGCAUUUUAAGAGGAAAAAAAUUUAUCCCACUCCAAUUCAUGAAGAUAUUCUCGUUUCUGUCAUAUUGAUGUGUUAAUAUGAAGAUCCAUUGCAGUUGGUGAAUUCAAAUAUUCAGUAACUGAUGAAAUGGUAUUUAUUUAUAAAUUCAUACUAAUAGCGAUUGAAGAUUAUAAUUAAUUUUGUAAUAUGGUCAAGCCCUCGUGUGUUUAAUUAGCACUCAAAAACCGCAUUACAAUAGGCAUUAAAAGAACAUUAUAACGUCAUUGCUGAUGAGUUCUGGUGAAGAUAUUAAGUUAAGGCCACAAAAAUCGAAAUGUACGUAGCUUCGUUUGUUUUUUGUUUUUGAUUUUUUUUGGGGGGCAAAUGCUUGGCUUCGUUUGCUUUUUCGUUUUUGAUAUUUUAUUGGCUUUAUUGUGUGGCAUGUUCUUGUUUUCUUUUGAUUUUCUGUUUUGGUUGUUAUGGGAUUUGAUGACGAUGUACAUGUACAAAGAUUAUGUAAUAAAAUGCUUUUGAUAAAUUGUGGAACAAAAGAAGAACACUAACGAACUAAUUAAUUACUAAUAAGAACAUUAACAAUUUUUGCCGAAGUCUGAUGAAGAGAAAUAUUACACAUAAGUAACGGUACCGCGGAAGGAAAAAAUAAAAGAAACUAAAGUUUAUUUCAACAGCUAAGAAUGAAAUAGGCAUAAGAAAUUAACCCAUCAAUUAAUUAAUUAAUACAGUCCCCUGCUACUAAAUAAUGCGAGCCCCUUACUGUACUUAACAUUUUUCUUUUUAAUAAUUUAAAACAGUUUUCAACUGAGAUUUGAAUUUUAAAACUACAUACACAAAUACACCUGAUUUUAAAGAAAAAAAAUUUCUAAUAAUAAAAUAUUUUACAUAUAUAACCAUAUGGCGAAAAAAUAAAUAUAAGAAACUGAAGUUUCAACAACUGAGAAUGAGAUAGGCAUAAGAAAUUAAUUCAUUAAUUAAUUAAUAGAGUCCUCCUUUGCUAAGCUAAAUAAUGCGAGCCCAUUGUUCUUUUUAUUUCGAAAACCCAUUAAUCACCAACACAUAAUACACGCCCAACUUUUUUUUUAAAAAAAACCUAAUAAUAAAAUAUUUCAGUCGUCCUCUGUUGAGUCGUCCUCUGUUGAGUCGUCAUAAAAAACCCAUUUACCAGCUAUGACAGCAAGAGGAAUAUGGGUUAACAAGUCCCAAUAUUGUCCUCCAUCCUUUCUGCACUUCUUUUCUAUCAACGGACAAUCCACGAUUCUUAAUUGCAAAAGUGAGGAAGGCAGGCCCUUCUCCGGAAAGUAUUUGAGCUUGGGACAAUGAUAGAGACCCAAGUGAGUGAGGUUUUGAAGAUCAACAAUUGAAGAAGAUAGGCGUUCCAGAUUUGGAAAAUUGUAAAUCCACAGAGAUGUUAGAGAGGCAGGAAGAGGAAGCGCGGUCCCUAAUCUUUUGUCCUCUAGUGGAAAUGACACCAUGUCGUCAUCGCAUCCUAUGAUUUCAAGAUGUCGCAGACAGGAGAAUCUGUGAAAUCCCCGGCCCCGCUCAAUCAUUGACUUCCAAAUCUCCAUAUUACCCUCAAUCCAAAGUGAAUGAAGGUUGAUGGGAAGGCCAUCUUCUUCUUCAAGGCUUGGAAGCUCACCUCCUUUUCCUAUUGUUAAUUGUUGAAGAGAGGUCAGAUUGUGCAAUCCCUUGGGUAAGGCCUCUAGUCUCUUACAAUCAAGUAUCGUCAGCCUCGUGAGUUUCGCACAAGGGAAUGCCCCUUGGGGAAAGGACACUAGAUUUCCACAAUACGCUAUGCUAAUCUCUUGAAGCUGGCGGAGAUUAUGUAAACCACUCGGUAAAAUUUUCAGAUUUCCACAAUUAGAAAUGUCGAUUGUUUCAAGAGAUGUGUUGUUGUCCAACCUUUCUGCUAUUGACUCCAGCUUUGAACAUCCGCGAACAGAAAGGGACUUAAGAGACGGAGGUAGAUUGCCAACUUCAAGGGACUCAAGCGUGGCAGGUAACUCAUUUUUUGAAAAUAUACAUGUCAGUGAUGGACAGCUGUUAAUACGCAACUGCUCAAGAAGAGAUGAGGUGUACCUUCUAUUGCUGCUGCUGCUGCUACACUGGAUGCCCUCUUCCACUGUCAAAGUCCUUAUAUUACUGCAAUUGUUAAUCACCAACUGCUUAAGGCUCGGUGGUAGCUGGACUCCAGCAAUAUAUGUCAACGAAUGGCAAAAGCAAAUCUCCAAGAUCUCGAGAGAUGAAUUGGUGUCGCACAUCCAUGCCUCUGGUAAUGAUUUCAGUGCAUCACAUUCCCUAAUCUCAAUUGUCUUCAACUUGGAAGGCAGAGCAACCUCAGGAAAGGAAACAAGGGAACUGCACUUGUAGAUUUCUAUCUCUCUCAAGGAACUGAGACUGAGAGAUGAUUGUGGCAGCUUCACAAGGCCUUCGCAAUAUCUCAAUCUUAGAUAUUCGAGUCUGCAUGACAACUCGCAGAGCUGCUGUUGUUGGCCUUUCUCUUCCUCCGCCACCAAGGAUUGAAGUUUGGGACACCGUCUAAUCGUCAGUCUUCUGAGAGAGCAAAUGUCUUGCAGUAAUUCGUUAUGACUCUUCCAUAUAUAUGUCUGCUCUUUCAUUUCAUUUAUCUUCAAUUCUUCCAAUUUUGGUAGUCGCGGCUUUAAUGGCCCUGCGAGAAACACUUGAUUUGAUCUAUCUCUACAAACCACUGAAUUCUGUGAGCCGAGAUGAUCAGUUGCACUUCUCCACACAACCUUUUUACAUCCACCACUCUGUAAUUUGCAAAGAGCUGGAAGACUCGAAACUGAAACUGACAAUUCUUCACAUCCUUUAAUAACAAGCUUCUCCAAUGCAGGAAGGCGUUCUGGAAAUGUUCCUUGCAGCUUAGAACAUCUUAAAAUGUGAAGCUCUCUCAAUUUAGGAAACCGUUCAACUCCCUGACUGGAUCCAUGAGGAAUCCAGUCUUCCCAUCCUUGCAUGUCUUCAAAAUGAAGAGUCUCCAAGCAUGGAAAAGGAAUUGGAGUAUCAUUCCCAUAGAACUCUGAACCCAACCUCUUUACACUAGUCAUUCCACAUACUGCAAGAUGCUUUAGAGAGGGUAGUUGCCCGACUGACGGCAGGGUAGGACACAUGCCACAAUAUUCAAAUUUUAAGGUCACCAACUUUGAGAAUGAGGAAUCUCCGAACCAAGUUGGAAAUUUUGCACCUCUAUAGCCGCUGAUACAAAAUUGUUCCAAAUUUUUAUUGGGUUCUAGCAUGUCAAGCACGUCCUUUUCAAUUUCCGCCUCCCUUGAAGACGAGCCAUCGGUACUGAGUGUCCAUCGAAGCAAUAAUUCUCUAAGAUUCUUCUUUCCAUCCAAUUGAGCCUCCUUUGCAUCACCAACGUCUUUUACAUUCUCCAAUUUUGAAAUGUUAAGUGUCCCAUGAAGGUGCGUCAACAACUUUAGCUCUCGUAACCCGGAACCACUGCCUUUUCCCACAACAAAAUUACACAACGUCUGAAGACUAGUCAACCUACCAAUUCCUACUGGCAUUUCCUCCAACGACUUCGUAUUUGAAUUCUUAAGAUGAUGCAAUUUGGCGAGGUUUCCCAUGUCUGCACACAACUUCUUCAGCCGAUCACAAUCUUCCAACAAAAGACUAUGCAAAUUGUAAAGCUUGUUGACUGAUUCAGGCAGAGUUCUAAUCUCAGUUGUAGACAGGUUAAGGUACCUUAAAUACCUCAAAUCACCAAUUGAAUCCGGCAGCUCAGGGAUGCAGUAUCCACGCAAAGAGAAGACCCUCAAGCGUCGGAGUUUGAGCAACUUAGGAAGAAUGCUAGGAGCCAAGAAGCCAGGCGAACUUUUUGUCAACAUUACUGGUAAAAAAGUUCUCAAAUGCUGGAUAUCAUACAAGUCCCCAAACCUUUUACCGCCAUCAAAAUAUUCAGGAAUGUAUGAUAGAUGACGAAGAUUUUCGGAAAAACUUUGCUGCUUGUAAAUUUCUGAGGUAUACUCCAUUGUGAAGUAUAUCUCCCCCGCAGCCCAACGGGCAAGGUCAUUGAUAAGAUCGUGCAUCACAAAUCGUGAUGUAUUGUUGCUUAAUUGCUGGAAAAAAGAUCUUGAACGUAGCUCUUGAAAGAACUUUCGACCUAGAACUUCGUUAGGAUUCCCACUCUCUUUAUGAACCAAGAAACCCGAAGCACUCCAUAAUAAAAUUAUCUCCUCCUCUUCAAAUUCAUAAUCCUUCGGAAACAACGAGCAGUAUGCAAAGCAUUGUUUCAAAAUUGGAGGAAGAUAAUAAUAGCUCACUGCAAGAGCUGGUAUAAUGGGACAUCUAUCUUCUGGUAAUUCCCAUAUCUUGCUACUGAGCACAUCUUCCCACACACCUCUGUCAUGUUCUCCACAUAAAAGUCCUCCCAGUGUUUUUGCUGCCAAGGGAAAGCCAUUGCAUUUGAUCACUAUCUUCUUACCAAUGUCCUCCAAUGACUUGUGUGAACUGAAAUCUCUUGUCCCCAAAGAGUGCUGAGCAAACACAGACAGACAAUCCUCAGUUGACAAGUUUUUCAAUUCAUAAGCUUGAUCCGGCCUCAUGAUUUUUGCAACCUGUUGAUUGCGAGUAGUGACAACAAUCUUACUUCCCUGUGCGCCAGCUUCAAACGGACGGCUCAUGUCAACCCAGUCAUUGUAAUUCUCAUUCCAAACGUCGUCUAAAACGAGCAAAAAUUUCUUUUGAGAUAACUUCUUCUUCAGCUCCUCUUGAAGCAAAUUUAAAUCACUGUCAUCAAUAGUCUGCUUGGUAAUGGAUCUUAGAAUUUUUUUUGUUAGCCCCUUAACGUCGAAAUCCUCAGAGACACAAGUCCAUGCCUUGAGAUCAAAAUGAUCCUGCACUCGCUUAUCAUUGUAGACAAGCUGAGCAAGAGUGGUUUUGCCCAGGCCGCCCAUACCUAUAAUAGGAAUAACAGAGAAUCCACCAUCGUUGCUUAAAUCAUCCCUCAACAGCAGUUCAACAACAUCCUUCUUUUCUGUUUCCCUGCCAUAUACUUUGGCUUCAGUCACUAAAGAGGUUGUCUCCAGCCUUUGACUGGCUUUGUUGGACCCUCCAGCUGAACUUUCUUUCAAAUCUAGCAAGUUUUUCUGUGUCACAAUUUCUUGAAAUCUGCUGUUGAUCUCUUUGAUUUUGGACAUCAAGCCAUAAUCGAACUGAAUCGAUUGUGGAGUAAAAGUGGUGCAGCAAGCAGGAAUGAGCUUCCGAAACUUACUUGUUCUGGCACGACUGCUACUGGGUUGAUCAUGAGCAGCAGCUGGUUCUCCAUUUCCAAGCAGCAACAUCCUCCGGAAAGCCUCAGUUUGAAACUCAUCCAACAAGUCUUCAACAUCAUAAGCCAAGUUCUGAAGCUUGCCAAGCCACUUCUUCACAGACCGAUUAGUUGUCUUCUUCUCCUCAGCAUCAUCAAGCACCGCCUUGAUCAUCUCCAACAUAUUCUCCCACUUCAUUAGAUAGUCUUGGAUCUUCUCUUGGCGUGCAAAAAACAGAAUCCCCUCUGAAGCUAACUUAUUGACCAGCAAAUCAACAGAUGCCGUAAGGAUUGCCUCUCCGAUGAUCGACAUUUUUUUUCUUUUUUUUGGGCAAAGGAAGAAAGGAGCAGAAUUAUGGGUUAUGGAAAGCAGAAUGAGAAUAUUGAACGGGUGAGAAAAUGGAUAAUUAAGCGGAAUGAGUUUGUGAUUGUGAAGGGUCUGGUACAGCAAGCUUAGUAGAAAUCACGCGUUUGUACUUUAUUGACCAAUGACUAAAUAAUUUGGCAAUGCACCCACCACCACCACUUGGUGAGCAAAAUGAAAAAGUUUAAUAAGUGGAGGGGUCCAGCAAAAUACGACGUAAAAUGUGGCAAGUCUCCCCACUUGUUGUUCGUUGCAGCUAAGAAAAGAAAAAACAGAGCCCACCACCCAUUAAUAAUUUAGCAAAUCACCAAUCAUCACAAAAUUCCAUUAGAUAUUCGUCGAUCAAGUAGUUAAUCCAGUGUCUGCUACGUAGAGCCUUCACUUUACAAAUCUUCAACUCAUAAACCAAGUUAAAUCAAGACGUUUCUCUCUCUGUAUAUAUAUUUUUUAACUCCUAAAACGUUUCUUUUUAGAAAUAUUUUACUUUAUUCAUCUAAUAUGUUAUCUAACAAAUAGACACAGAUGAAAUCACUCUAAAGUGAAGAUGAAAGGGGAAAAAAAAAACAUUCAACCACCAAUAAUUUAGCAAGCUUCACUUUUAUUCCACCAAAGUGUAAAUAAAGCCAGCCCCCACCACCAUCGAUAAUUUUGCAAGCUUCACACGCUUGUUGUCUUCUCCUUGACGAACUGGACGGGGUGGACCAAGAAUCAAUGAAAGAAUUUUAAAAAUAAUAAUAAAAGAAAAACAUAAACAUUUUGGACUCAGAGUAGAACCGUAAUUAAUGCUAAAAUUUACUCCGCUAACGUUUUCAAAAUAUUGUUCUUUACAAUUGUACAGCAAAUAAGACUAAGUUUUGGACAUUUUCGUAUUCACUUACUUUCAAAAGCAGUAUUUCGAAACAUUUUACAGAAUCAAGUAACAGUUAUAUAACGAGAAAAGUGCAAAGUUGUGUAAUUCAGAUCAUUUUUUAUUUGGGUCGCCAACUCGCCAAUGAACCCAUGAUUGAAUGAGUGUUUAGAAAGAAAAUCAAUAAAAAACAGUUUUUUUUUUGUCGUUGAAAUAUAGUAAGUGAGAAAGAUUAUUCUGUUUUUUUUGUUAAUUAGGUUAGUAAUUAUGAUUGAGUGACUCAGAACUAUAUUCUAGAUUGAGAAUCAAUGGUUCUCCCACACUGAGAGGCUGUAAGUUUAAGAUUGUCGUUUGCUAUUUCAUCAACAAGAGAACACUUGAAUUUAUUAAAAAGAGAAGGCCAUAAAAGUUUUCUUUUAUGAGAAAUGUAUCUGAUCAUUCCUUUUUACUUGAAAAUUUCAUAUAUAAAAACUCAUUAAUAAAUGACAGAAUAUACAUAAAUUAUUAAUUCAUUUGAUAGUUGAUUAUCGAAGGACAUGUGACCCAUGGGAGCAUGCAGACUAUAAAAUAAUUCUUUUUUUUAUUAAACAAAAAAUCGGUGAUGUUGAAAAGCAAUAUUAAUUCGACUGAUAAUUGGGGUGAACAUUCAUAAAAAGAAUGCCGUAUGAAACUAAAUUAUUAAUUCGUUUGACAUGUGACCCACAAUAAAUAGUUAAAUUUGGCGGCAACAAUAAUUACAAGACGAACUUAAAGCAGCGCAUAGGUUUUUCUUAAAAAUACAUAAACAAUUCGAUAUUUGAAAUUCUAAUAUCUCAAUAAUAUUGAUCAUGAUUCAGUUACCAAUUAGAUCCACUUACAAUUUCUUUUUUUCUUUUUUCUGGUUUCCAAUCUUUACCUAAAGAAAAUAUUUAGUGAUCCCUUUUAUCAACUUGGUUUUAUUGACUUUCUUCCAAUCAUAGAAGUGAAAAGAGAAACAGAGGCCAGCACCAAUCAGUGUUACCAGAUUCUGUAAAGGCAAAAUCAGUGCCCAGCAAAAAGAAGCUAUGUUUUCGUUAUAUGCUGCUUCCUAUUUAGUACAUGCAUAUAAAGAUAUACACGUGCACAUGCAGUACAUCUAUCUAAAAUUUAAAAAACGGAAUUAGAAAUACAGGAUUAAUGGUAGAAAUACAACAGGAAUAAAAGUGAAAUAAGCAGAAUGAGUUUGUGAUUCUGUCUAGCAAGCCUAGAAAUCAAGCAAAACCCACCAUAAAAGCGAAAAGCAAAACGGAGCCCACCACAAAUAUAAAAUCAGAGGAGCACAGAAUUUAAAAAAAAAACAAAAGAAAAGAAAAAGCCAAGCCAAGAAUCAUAUGCCUUUGCUUUACAUAUUAAAUUAACAUAAAAGCCAAGCGAGGAAUCCUGCCUUUGCUUGAUAUUUGACAAGAUUAAUUGGACAUUACACAUUAUUUCACAGAGAAUAAAACUUGUAUAGAACCAAACCCAUCAAACCCUUUCUUUAUCUUAAAUGUCAGAAAUAUAAUUAGCUUGGAAUAAAGCUAUACUCUUCUCCCUUUUCCAUUGCUACAGGUUCAUAUAGGCAUAUCAUAUGGAUUUUGUUUUAUGCUAGGUAAUUAUUAAUUUAUAUAAUAAUAUAUUUCCCUCAAAAUAUACUACUUGAAUUUGAAAUAAUUUUUUAAAAUAAUUUAAUAUCACAAUAAUAGUCAUGAUUCAAUUCGGUUUAGUUUAAUUUUUUUAGAGAAAAAAUUUGAGAAAAUAGACAAAUAAUGAAGACGCAAUUGAAGCACAACCAAUAAACAGGGUAAAGUGAAUUGCGUCCUGUCCUUGAGCACUCAAUUCUCUUCAAUCUCAAAUUUAUACGUACAUUUUUGUAAAUUCAUGUCAUAUACUAGAGUCUUUUGGGUUCUGUUAUAUCAAUUGUUUCGUGUUUAUCUUGUUUUAUUAAUUUAUGGAGCAAGAUUGCUAGUAGCGAUAAACCUGGAAUAAAACGAUUUAUUUAUUUUAUAUAUAUUUUGCGUUGUUAUCAGCAAAAAAUAUGAUGGGUUUCGUUUGUAACAACUAGCUAAUUGCUUAAUACAUUUUUGUACUUCUCGUCGUGAAGUCACGAGGAACUUGUAAAUAAGAUCAUAGACGUGGUACGAUGUGACGUGAUAAAUUUAAAUCAAAUCUAAACUAAGAUGGUUCAUAUAUAGUUAAAUCAAAUCUAAACUAAGAUGGUUCAUAUAUAGUUACAUACUGAAUAAAGAUAUUUAAACAUAAGCAUUCAAUUUUAUGAUAUACCUAAUAGUCAUUGGCUUAUAGUUAUUAAAGGAACUGAAUAGAAAUAGACGAAGAAAGUGAAAAAGAUGAAUUAGCGCACAUGAUGAUUUCUCAGAUAAAAAGUUAAAUUUAUAUUCUUUUUUUUAAUAAGUGUGAGAUGAUUUACACCCUAAAAUUUAUUUUGAGCACUCAUAUUUUUAUUACAAAAAACCCUAUAAUUCAAUUUACUGGUAUGGACAAUUCAAUAAAAGUAAAUAGAACAAUAAUACUUUCGACACCAUCAGGCUAUAGCGCGCACGCACGCACCCACAUAAAAAUGAUACAAAUUUAAAAGCAUAUUUAACAAGUUGGCUAUAGGCAACAAUAAUACUUUCGACACCAUCAGGCUAUAGCGCGCGCGCACCCACAUAAAAGUGCUUAAUACAGUGAAAUUAACGUUCAGCUCACGAAGUCGCCAUUAUAUUUAUUGAAAAAGAGAUUAGUACAAGACAUUGAAAAUUAAUUGACAUUGGAUUAGUUGUUAAUUAUGAUCUUGGUCUUUUAAUUAUCAUCUAGCCAACACAGGUCCACUAGUUUCAUUUGUGUCAAUCACUGAAAAGUAGAGCUUGAUUGAACAGCGCAUAUUACAUCACAUAAACUCACUCAAUUUUCAUUGCCAUACGUGUAGCUCAAAAGUACAUAUUAUAUCAGUGAACAUGGAACAUUCAGCUAACCUACACUAAUUAAUACAUACGACCAUCAGUUAAUAGUACCCAGCAACAUCCAUCCAUUAGAGUGGAACUCCCAGUGAUUUCGUACGUACAAAAGACAAUAUUUGACAAUCACAAAAACAAAAACAAUUUACUCCAAUAAACAACAUAACAAAUACAUGGUUGAUAUUGCAAGUUUUUUUUUUAUGAUUUUAGUUAAAACAGAAAGUAUGAAGGACAUAUUUAUAUAUAAUAGAAUGUUAUAUAUAAUGUUAUCCUUGAUAAUUAGAUAAAAUAAGACUAAUCUACCUAACUAAUCCAAUCAUCAUACUAAUCCAAUUUUCAAUAUUUAAUUAUGUCCAGUCACGCUAAUUUAAUAAAGAACACUGAACACUUGAAUAUUUAUAUAUUCAACAACAUUGGCCAUGGUUGAAAAAGACCAUAGCUGCAUCUAUGCUUUGUGUUGUAAAUUAGGACAUGAUCAUAUAAAUAUUGAUUGUUUCAAAUUAGAUUAUACAAAGAUGAAAAAAUGCUAAUCUAGAAAAUUCAAUCAUAAUAAUUUGAUUUCCAUUAUAUUAAUUAUGUUCAAUCAAGCUAGUUUAAUAAAGAACACUCGAGCAUUUAUAUAUACUCAACUUAUGAAAUUUAAUUACAAAACAAUCUUUAACAAAGUCUGAUGAAAAGAUCAUAUUAUAGGUACAAAGUUAGACUUCCCAAUCAAGCAACUAUCCAUCAAAUUGUGUGUUGUGUUACCGUUGAGCUCUUAUGUUAAUUACGGCCAGACCGCGCUUUGGCUAACAGUGAGACAUAUGCGGACAUAAGAUCUGCAAAUGAGGUGCUGCGAACGAGCGAUGUACUGUUUUUAUGCGACAUGCUAUGUACUCUGUUUUUAUGGUCUUUCUUUUUGUGGUUGUUGGACUAACUGUAAUGUGAAUUUCUAUCUAAUGAACAUCCUAAUCCUUUGAGUUAUUUUGGGAUUGUUGAUUUAUAUAUAAUGUUUAGUAUCCAAAAUUCAGAUGAUGAUAAUCUUCGCAGUAGUUUUGUCAAGUUUUCUUUUGUGUUGGUUUUGGUAUUUUAAUUUUGUACGUACCUAAUGUUAAGGUCAAUAGGGACCUAAUUUAAAAACUAUUAUAAUUUUACAUAUAUAGAUACAAAUUCAUGUUUAAGAAUCCUUUUAAUCAACCAUUCCAGUGUUUUAUAUUGAGUAAUUGGUUCAAUAUUAAUACAAACUAUUUUAAGUAACAUGUGGCAAAUUCUAGUGAGCUCCAACUCCGACGAUCGAUUUAUUUUUUUCUUUUUUUUAGGACAAAGAAAGAAACCAAAUUACGAGCUUGUGAAAAGCAGAAUGAGAAAAGUGAGUAAGCAGAGUUUGUGAUUGUGUCUAGUAAGCCUAGAAAUCAAGCAAAACCCACUAUAAAUAUAAAAUCAGAGGAGCACAGAAAUUCUAAGGAAAAAAAAAAGGAAAAAGCCAAGCCAAGAAUCAUAUGCCUUUGCUUUACAUAUUAAAUUAAAAUAAAAGCCAAGCCUGGAAUCCUGCCUUUGCUUGAUAUUUGACAAGAUUAAUUGGACAUUACACAGAGAAUAAAACUUGUAAAGAACCAAACCCAUCAAACCCUUUCUUUAUCUUAAAUGUCAGGAAUAUAAUUAGCUUGGAAUACAGUUAUACUCUUCUCCUUUCUCCAUUGGUACAGGUUAAUCUCAACUGUUUGAAGAGAGUCUAUCAAUUCUUCUUAGCUAAGAAUAUAAAAAAUGUAUAAACUUAACAGCUAAUGACAUAAUUAACAUAACACAAUUAUUACACUAAAUGAAAGAAAAGAAUUUAACAAGCUUCCGCACAGUCUUGUUUCAGGCUGGACAUUGGUGAAUUGACCAAAAGAUCAAUAAAAGAAUCUCAAAAAACCAAAUGGAAAUGGGACUAAUUUUCAGAUUUUUUCAAAUUACACUUAUUUACAAAAGCAAUACAAAAUGAUUUCCUUUUCAAAUUACACAUAUUUACUAAUAGUGGUGAUUAAUUUAUUUAGCUUGUCAUAGUUUUCAAUUAAGAAUGAAGUUCAAUCAAUUUAUUUGGGGGGGGCGGGGGGGGGCAAAGAUAUUUUUUAUUUUUUUGGGGCAAAAAAAAACAUAAUUUUAUUUUUUUUUCUUUUAGAUUUUAAUUCCUAGGAUCUAAUUUCACUAUGUUUCGAUUAUUGAUGUUGCUGAAGAGGGCAGUACAAGCUUGCUGAAAGUCAUCAAAUGCUUGCAUCUCAUCUCACAAAUUGGGCAAAUAUCGGUUGGUUUCUCUACGGUUUGCCAUCAUGAAUUGAAAGUGACAACAACCACCAACUUAAAAAUAAUUUCAAGUAUCUUUUUUACUUGAAAUCCUUGAAAAGAAAAAUUAAUCAGAUUGAAUUAUACAUAUAUGUUUGAGGGAAAGAUAGGAAAGGUAAUAGAGCGCCACGUGUCUGCCAAUGGAAUGAUAUCAGCACAAUCGGAGGUACCCUGCAUAAUCCGAGGUGCCCGACAUGACUUGAGGUACCCCGUAUAAAUAGAGGUACCCUGCACAAUUAGAGGUAUCCCACACAAAUAGAGGUACCCCAUACAAAUAGAGGUACCCCAUACAGAUAGGGGUACCCUGUGUAAUAGGGGUACCCUGCGUAAUAGGGGGUACCCCAUGUAAUUCGAGGUACCAGGCAAAGCGGAUGCAAGAGAAUCCACCGAAAAUACCCGCCAUGAGAAACGUCUCCGCCUCCUAAAAGAUAUCAUUUGAUUUUUUCAGAAUUAGGAAUCAAAAGCGACGUGCUAAAAGGAGGGACAGCCGCCUGCUACCUCUGCCAAAAGUGAAGGACACUGUCCCAAGGACAGUGGUCCCUAGCCGCCUACCUGACAGCUACUGCAGAGGUACCCUGGACCACUCUCCAGCGCGCGCCACGUUUCCAAAAGAUGAGAUACGCCGCGAAUAUGCAAAUAACGGCCCAAAAAUAAUUAUAAAGAGGUAAAAGGACGUUAGCCAAAAAGGGUACGCCACGUGGCAGCUGAGGUACUCCAUAUAUAAAGGUGCCUAGAUUUCAUUCUCCAGGAUGCUCUCAUUCGCCCAAAAAUACUCACACUCCAAAAAAGAGGUUUUCUUCAACCUUAAACCCUAAUUUACAGAGGGCUAGCUAGCUCUCUUUGCCAUAAAAGCUUGAGUUUGCUAACUUGAGCGUCGGAGUGUGAACGCCGAGGUACCCCGGCUUCACCUCUAACCUCCAUUUCACUGUUUUGCAGGCGUGAAGCUCAUUUUGAAGGACACCUCUCUUGUUUCUGACCUUCCACCAUUGUUACCACUCUCUCUCCCCUUCUCACCUCCCACGAAUUUCAGAUACACCGCACCGCGCACAACAAACCAGUGAGGUACCCCAUCUCCCCUCAAAAUAACAAAUUUAUUGUUCUAGAUUGGUUUGGUUUUUCUUACCCCAAAAUCAGUUGAAAACAAUAUACAUAAAUUCGAUACCAGUUGAAAAUGUGAGUAUGAUUAAUUAAUAAGAGAGAACAAGAAUUGAUCAUGUCCCAAAACAGAGAAAACUAGAUUGUGCAAACUUGCGUGCGCAUAUCAUAUGUUAAUCUUAAUAUUUUGUUGCUGAAAAUUAAUUAAUUAGUUCCACUACUCCCUUUCUUAAUUUUGUGUUAUGUACCCCAUUGGCAACUUCUGAAAUAUGUUGCAUAUUUGUUAAUUCAAAGAAAUAGAACUUUUGUAUCAAUCAGACUUUACUUUAUUAACAUUCUUCAUCAUUAUGAUUAAUGGCUUAGCAAAUGUAGGAGGAGGGUCAGCCAAAAUAAAUAAAGUACUUUCUCAUGCAUUAACCUUUAUUAAAAGGCCUUAUUAAUUGUUGCAGUUAAAAAAAAAANNNNNNNNNNNNNNNNNNNNNNNNNNNNNNNNNNNNNNNNNNNNNNNNNNNNNNNNNNNNNNNNNNNNNNNNNNNNNNNNNNNNNNNNNNNNNNNNNNNNUACUCUAUUUUUUUGUCGUUAUUCAGCCGAGCCGUUAGAUUUUACUUACGUUGAUCUAACAGUUGGGAUUUGUAAAUGAAUAACGAAGUGGCGUUUGGCUACCGUCUGAACCCACAACGUCUAGUUGGUUUUGUGAUUUUUUACUAUCUUCUCUGUAACGCUUGACUAGUUCUGGAAUUGUCGACCGCUAUCGACAGCAAAUCUGAAGCAUGCAUUAUUUUUGGGCAUCGAUUUUUCUUCUUUGAAUCUGAUAUUCAUUUCUUUUCUGUGGCAAUAAUAUCAUAAACUAAUAUUUCCUAUUUUAUUACGAAGGUUUAAAGUUCACCUUUCACACUAAUGUCAUUCAGUUCUUGAAUUCUUGAUAGGUUAAAGUUUUUGUGAAGCGCUAAUCAAAUAUGUCAUACAUCAAAAUGCAGGUCUUGCAUUUCAAUCGUUGAAUACUGCCCCUUCUCUUACUAAUUUUCAAAUUCGUACUAUCUUAUAAUUGGAUCAUCGAUAUUUUAAGCGCCAGACCUUAAUAAAACUAAAAUUGUCCUUAAUAUUAAUAAUAUUAAUCACUUAUAUAAUAUUGGCUUAAAUUUUUUAGUAGAUAAUUAAAUUAACUUUUACUAAUUUACUAACAACCCCUUAAAUUAAUUAUGUAGUUCGCGACCUAUUUUCCUCAUAAAUAAGAGUAGAUGAUUAAAGCCUCCUUUAGUCGAUGGGCCAUAAUCAUUUGAAAUUUGCGUUGCUUUUUCUAUGUAGGACUAAGAGAUGUACCUCAAUUCUUUUGAACGCAUGUAAAGUAAAUUCAUAAGCUUCGAAGAAGUAAAUUAGUCAAACUAAUCAAAACAUCCAUUAAGCUGGUCAGAGGAUCAGACCGCUCUCUAUCCACCCUUAUCACCGCCUGGUCCAAACUCAUUUUUCUUUGAAAAUAGACAAAUAAUAAAGCCACUACAAGUUAAGCAGAUCAAAUAAACAGAGGAAAUAGCUGAUCAAUUCUUUGUGCAAUGGCCACAGCAACAACAAAAAUAUGUCUACAUGACUACAUUAAUCCGACUGGCGUGGUACCAUCGCCAUGCAGCAUUACAGCAACAUUUGAUCAUCUAUCAAUUUUCAUGAUAUGAGAUUAGAAACAUUGAGUUUAUAAUUUUAUGUAAUUUCAUAGAAAAGAUAUAAUUGAUUUGAGUUAGUUUAACAUAUAAGGAAGGAGUAAUGAGGAAUGAUAUCGCUGUGGCAUGUGCUGAGUAAAGAUAGACAACAAAUAUUGAUCAUGUAAUAGUGAAAUAUGUAUUUAUAGAAAAAUAUUUGGCAAUAAAAUGAUGCUAUAAGAAUUUAAUAUUAGUUGCAAGAAAAUAAAUUGACAAUUAAAUUAAUAGAUAUAUAUGCAAUGCUUCGAGUUUAUCUUAUCAAUUUGAUAACCAUUUUGUAACUACAUAUUAAUUAGAAGUUCAAUUAAUUUUGACCAAAGACUCCAGAGAAUGUGGAGAAGAGAUUUGAUUUUGGUAUUAAUAAAAAUAGAAAUGAAAUAAGUCAAAAACAAUUACAAGAACAACAAUAAAAGCAUAUUUUAUAAAAGCCACAAAUACAUAAUAUAAAUUUGAUUUUGAAUUACGCAAUUACUAAUUUAUAUAGUAAGAGGGUCUUAUAGAAAAAUAGGAAUUUUUUAAAAGAGAUUUGUUAAAGGAAAAAGUUUAGUUUGGUCUAGUUCGUGAAGGCUCAAGUAAUUGAAUGCAAUGCAAGUGAAAGAAACACAAACUUCUAAUUUUUACGAAGUAAUCGCUAAAAUAUUUGACAAGUUUGAGAUUUUAAAAAGGCUGGGAAAAUAGACCAAUAAUAAAGACCCUACAAGUUAGCAUAACAAAUAAACAGAUGAAAACAGGGUAGAUAUUUACCAUUAUACAUAGAUAUAUAACGAAUGUUGCGAAUUUUUUAUAAUAGAGAACAUAACUCAUGGUUUAGCAAUAAUCAUCGGCUCACUGGCCGUUAGUUCAGAACGACAAUUCUUAUUAGUCAAAGAAUCAAAAUGAUUUUUAGUUGUUUAUAAGUAGAGCACUAGAUCAACAAAUAAUUGAAGACUUGCUUUUGCUAUUGAACCAUGGGAUGGCAAUUCGAAGACUAGAGCUUAAGUCUGCCAUUCGAAGUAAGCAACUCAGCUGCCCAAAGACUGCCAAGCCACCAAGACAAUGCGAAGAUACGACAUCAAGAAUUACAUACAGGCCAUCUCAUAUUACAUCUCUCCUCUGUUUUAAGAGAGAUUUACGAACCCACGCACUAGGAGUAAUUCAUUAAUCUAUACAGUUCAGUACUCAUUCCUCCUCUAUUUCGAAUCCAAACCAUUUAUUAUGACGCAAGGUACAUGGGUUAGCAGGUGCCGAUAUUGUCCUCCAUCCUUUUGUAUACGUUUCUUCUAUCGGAACAAUUUACAAUUAAAUAAAUCAUUCAAAAUCUCCUUUAGUCGAACCCCCAUUUAUAUGGUUUAAUUAAAUAUCACAAAGUUGCCUAAUACAGAGAAAUUAACAAAUUCAGCCCAUGAGAGUGCCGUUUUAAUGCAAGAAAUUGAAAGUUAAUUAACACUGGAUUAUGUUGGAUUGUUACUUGUUAAUUACGAUGGGAAUAUAAUCUUGGUCCUUUUAUUAUCAUCUAGCCAACCCAUGCGCAAUAGCUUCAUUUGUGUUUGUCACUAAAGAGUAAAGUUGCUUGAUUGAACGGUAUCAUAUGACAGAAACUCAAAACUCUAUCAUUGUCCGAGUAUACCAUGCCACAUAUGUAGCUCAAAGGUACAAUAACAUUGAACAUUCAGCUAGCUAGCUCAUACUAAUUAAUUUAUAGGAUUGUUAGUUCUUUAUGAUUAACUAAAAGUGAAAAAAAAUUGACAAUCACGAAAACAAUAACAAUUCACUCCCAUAAAUAACAAAAUAAAUGCAUAGUCUAUAUUGCAAGUCUUUUUAUGAUUUUAAUUAAAAGAGAAACUACGAAGGACAUAUUAUAUAUAAUUGAAUGUUCUCCUUGAUAAUUAGACAAAAUAACAUCAAUCUGGCUAGCUAAUCUGAUCAUCAUAAUAAUUCGAUUUUCAAUAUUUAAUUAUGUCCAAUCAUGCUAAUUUAAUAAAGAACACUAAAAACUUGAGUAUUUAUAUUUUCAACAACUUUGGCUAAGUUAAAAAAAAAAUAUUAGAGCUGCAUUUAUGCUUUCUGUUAUUAAGUAGGCCAUGAACAUAUUAUGUUGCAUUUGUUUGAAAAUUAUUGAAAAAAAAUCUUAAAAGAGGUGUGUUGAAUUGUGAGCCGGAAACUGAGUUGUACACGUUUCUGAGAUGUCGGUUUACAGCCCUGAUUGUGCAUGCCCUGUCGGUUUCUGGAUAAAACAAAAGAAUAUUGACAUCUAUGUAUUGUCGUUUACUUCCUGUAAGUAAAUCACAUGUUCUUCACGUGAUUUCACUUACUCUAUACGGCACAUUUGGCAGUCAUUUUGGUCACUUACCGAAGCGCGAGUUAGUACUUGAUUCAAGGUUGUUAACUGACCUUUACAAGGUGGGAAAAUUCUGGGUUUGUUAAUGUAGCUGGUGAGUGCGGGACCUUUCUAUAUUCUUCAUGAUCUGUAUAUAUAGUCUUAGAGGCUAUAUUUGAGACAUAUGAAAAGCUUGUAACUUCUUGGUGAUGGAGAUAAGAUUGCUACCUUGUUCUUCAGUGGAUAAGAUCGUCCAAGCCGAACCACUUAAAUUGUGCCUCUGUUUUGCUUGUUUCUGUUCUUAUUCUUGGGAGGUGUGUGAUUUGCUAGCAAUUAGAGAGUUUAGUGAGAUCUUUCUGGUUUUAGGUUGAGUUUAAUGGAUCAAGAAUCAACAAGAUGUAAUGAAAACAAAAUGAGAGAAUAAUGCACACACAUCACAGCAAUGCUUCAUUCAUUUUGAAUCUAUAUAUACAAAAUUUGUAUCGGAUGGUUUACGUUUGUUUAAUCCAAUGGCUAUAACAUGUGUACCAUCAAAAGCUACAGUAGCCGUCUUUGUUUGUCCUCGUGGCAUCCUUGAUCUUAUAUUAUCCUGGUGGUUCUUGAAAGUUCUUCUCAUUCCCAAGUGCUGAGUUGCUUGCUGAGAUGAUGAAUACUUGAUGGUCCUUCCUUGAGACAUUUGAUGAGAAAUGAUGUAAUCAAUAUAGAUCUAUUUUGAAAAAUCAAUAUAAAUCAAUCCCCUUAGAUUCUCUUUGUCUCGUAGCACAAUGGGUGGUGAUUUGAUGAGAAAUAUUAGUAUGCAUGCAUCCCCUGCAUUCGUAAGAGCUGCUCGUCUUUUUCUUCUUUCUUUUGGGUACUUUUUUAUUUUCAUUCAGUCAAAUUCAGUUGCAAUCAGAUAUUAAGUAUAUUUGCCAGAAUGGAUGCAACAAAAAUUCUAUCUGAUCUGUAGUUCAUGAAAAGCGGCCGAAUGCUUCCGGCAAUUCAAGCAGAUAGAAGCUUGGUUGAUUGAUUGCUCUUCAUGUGAAAUUCUACCUAAUGGCUAUACUUUUAAUGGUUUAAAUUCUUCUUUUUUUCUUUUAAUUGUUGAUUUAUACUGUCUUGUUUGCAAAUUAAAUUCGAAAUUUCGGAUGAUGAUAAUCUUGAUUUAGAACAGAUUAGGUAACAUGUGGCAUUCUACAAUCUUGCAAUGCCAUUUCUUGUUAUGGCAGCAGCAUUUUUUUCUCAAUUGUUUGUGUGGACUAAUUUUCUGAAUUCAAAACUUGGCGUAUUAAAACGGCAUCGUUUUGUCUAUUAAGAUUUUUCAACUGUUCAUGAAUGUGUUUUUGCUAAGGACAGCCUAAGUUUUAAGUUCUGCACGUGACAAGCACGUGAGAGAAGAAUCAAGUUAGUUAUAAGUUGUUAUACACGUGGCUGGAUCUGGUGCAAUCUGGUGUUAUGAACAGCCGUUAUAUAAGCUGAGCUUUUCAGGCAGUUUCAGCAAGAUGUAAAGAGCUUUCUAGAGAGAAUGAAGAGAGAGAGAAACUAUCAUCUUAUUCCUUGUUAGUUUCUCCGUGUGAUCUCUGUAAAAUUACUUUGAAUCAUAAAUAAAACUCAUUUUGGUCGAUUCUCCCUUGGAUGUAAGUUGUGCCUAAUUGCACAGCUGAACCACGUAAACAGUGCUGGUUUCUGCGUGUGAUUGUUUGUUAAUCUUGCUUAUUUCUUGUUUCCUAAUGGCUGAAAUCUUGCUUUAAGUUCUCAACUCAUCUAUUGAGUUCAUCGAGGUCAUUCAAUUGUUCAUAUGUAGCUAGUUUGAUCUUGAACAAGGUCUUGGGCAGUGUUUUGAUAGCUUGAUUAGCGGCUAUCUUGACAGUACAAUUGGUAUCAGAACUAGUUCUUCAGAUCAAGAUCCAAGUAUGGCUACAUCAAAGAUUGAUCUUGAGCUUGUAGACUCAGUGAUAAGGGAAGUGGCAAAAGAAUCCACGCUUGCUGACUUAUGGGCUAAGUUGGAGAGUAUGUACAUGAGAAAAUCCCUUGCUAACAGAUUGUACAUAAAGAAGGGGAUGUUUACCUUAAAGAUGAUUGAAGGCUCAUCUCUUGAUGAUCAUAUUGAUGGGUUCAACAAAGUCUGUGACACUUUGAAAAGCAUUGAUGCAGAAUUAAAUGAUGAAGAUAAAGCCUUGCUAUUAAUGAGCUCUCUUCCCAAAGUCCUAUGAGCAUUUUGUUGAUGGCUUGAUGUGUGCAUAUAUGCAUAUCAUAAAUUUUAUUUUAUGAUCGCGGCUAAUCCGACGACUUUCGAGUACAUUCAUUCAAAUAUUAAACGUACCAAGUCUACAGAUUUACGUUUUGCCAUUUGUGGCAGGAUAGCAAAAAUUACAAAUGGUCAUUCCCAGCACGAACACCUAUGGCUCUUUUCCUUUAAUUUUCUUCUUAGAAUUUUCCUUUGAUUAAUCAUUAGAAAAACUGCUUUCUUUUUUUUUUUCUUUUUUUAAACAUGUGCCGUUAACAUUUACAUGGUUAAUCUCAUCGAAAUCAAAUGGUUGUUAUUCCCAUUGCAACCAUAUAUUGUUAUAAAUUGCAUUGUUUCCUAUAACAAAUAUAAUAAAAUCUCAAUAAAUUAAUAGUUCUGGGACCAAUGAAAAAUUAGUUAAAAUUUAACGAAUAUCAAUUAGUCGAUAAGUUAAUAAAUUAUUAAUUUAUGAAAAUAUUCAUUAUUUUGGGAAAAAAAUGAUUACGUUUAUAGUAUUGAUUUACCUUGAGUUAGAAGCUAUUACGUUUUAUUUGAAUAGUAGUUUUCUUUUAAGAAGAUUUUUUAAUUAUAAAGACUAUUGUAUGAUUUUUAUUUUUCCAUGUUAGAGAUGAUAGUUCUGCUAUACAAGCUGUUUCGAUCAAAGGAUUAGAUGAUAUUGACAUUGAAUAAUUUUUUGUUGCAAAAUGACAACACCAAUUAGAAUUUCUUUUCGCAUUACAAAAGUAAAAAAUGAAAUCCAAUUCUAAAUUAAUUUACAAAGAAAUAAACUAUGCUGAGAAUAUAUUUUACACAAGCCAUAUAGACAUAUCAUAUGGAUUUUAUUUUAUACUAGGUAAUUAUUAAUCUAUGUAGUAAUAUAUUUCCUUCAAAAUGUACUAUUUGAUUUUGAAAUUAUUUUUUAAAAAUUUAAUAUCACAAUAAUAGUCAUGAUUCCAUCGGUUUGAGGUUUUUUUCUUUUUUUUGUUUAAGAAAAAAGAUGGGAAAAUAGCCAAAUGAUGAAAACACAAGCUAAGCAGAGCCAAUAAAUAGUGGAAAGUGAAUUACUGUCCUUGAACACGUUCUCUAAUAAUCUCAAUAUUCUACAUACAUUUUUGUAAAUUCGUGUCGCAUACAAAAGUCUUAUGGGUUUUGUUGCAUCAAUUCUUUGGUGAUUUAUCUUGUUUUAUUAUUUUACGACGCAAGAGUCCUCGAAGCAAUACAUUUGGAAUAAAACGAUUUAAUUUAUUUUUUGUUGUUAUUAACAAAAACUAUAUAUUAUUAAUUAAUCAACUCAUCGAGAUAUUGGUUUCAUUUGUAACAAGUAGCUAAUUGCUUAGUACAUUGUUGUACUUACUCGUUAUCAUAUCAAGAAGAACUUGUAAAUAAGAACAUAGACGUGGUACGCUGUGAUGUGAUAAAUUUAAUUCAAAUCUAAAUUAAGAGAUGAUUCAUAUAUAUAGGUACAUACCGAACAAAGAUAUUCAAACAUAAGCACUCCAUUUUAUGAUAUACCUAAUGAUAAUCGGUUUAUUGUCCAUAGGAAAUUGAGUGAAUAGAAACAGAUGUAGAAAGUCAAAAAGACGAAAAAGCGCACAUGACGAUUUAUAAAAUAAUAAAUUAAAUUUAUAUCGUUUUUAAUAAGUGUGAGAUUAUUUGCAUUUUAAAAUUUAUUUUGAAUGCUCUUAUUUUUUAUUACAAAACCUCAUAAUUCAAUUUACUAUUAAGAACAAUUCAAUAUAAAUAAAUAGAACAAUAAUACCUUUGACACCCACCUAGAGCGCACACACCCAUGUAAAAUUAUUAAACCUUAAACCGAAGAACGUUCUUCCUCAACAUUAAAACUCGUGCAUUAUUUAAAAGUAUAUUUAACAAAUUUUCACAAAGAGACUCCAUGAUUCUAAUUUCUUUGACUUACAUUUCAAUUUUUGUGGAAUAUAUAUCUAUUCCAUAUUAAGAGAUUCUGAAUUUUUCACUCGGCUGUCAAGGAGAUUGCACUGAAUAAACAACAGCAGAAAAACAAAUAAAAAACCUGAUACACAUGUAGAAUAUACUCAUUAAAUUUUAAUUUUCGGCACAAUUAUGAGCUGCAUAUUUACACACACACACAAAUAACUGUUCUGCAAAUAUGUACAAAGCAAUUUCAGCCAUCCAACUUUUUUUGGAAUUUUAAUGAAUAUAAAUUUUAUAAGUUGGACAACUAUGAAACAUAAAAUUAGCAAAAUGAUAUUAUUAACAAAUAAGGAGAGGAAAAGGUAAUUAUAUCUUGGUGUGCUAAAUAUUUUUAUGGGUGUAGUGAAAAAACUAAAGAUAAUGGAAGAAAUGUUAUUGAGGAGUAUUUUGAUAUUUACAAAAGUGUUCAAAGUGAAAAGUGAUUUCCUAAAAUCUAUUAACUAGUGCGCAUAAUAGAAGGGCAUUUUGAGAAAAUUUUAGAUUACAAAUAGUCCCAUCCUUUUAAUAAUAUUCUUCAAUCAAUCUGUUUAUUUCAAAAUAAAAAAUCCAUCUCAUUUUUACUUUCUAAUUAGUCAUAUUAAUGUGUUAAUAAUUACGAAGAACCAGUAUUAUUUGUAUGAUGUAGGAAGCCCUUUCGACACAAUAACCCAAAUUUCUAAGAGUAGCGGCUGGACUUGAUUGGGAACAACCUCGAUUCAGUUUAAAAGGUUAAUCUCAAAAUUUCGUGAUAUUGUGCCUAAACAGCUUCCUGCAUCCGUAUAACAGUUUCCAAAACUUAAUGAGUCCAAAUAUCCAAUGGUGAUGACACAUACGCAUGGAAGUCCCCUGAUUUGAGUUUGACUAAAAUAAUCUGAAUAAUUUAAAACAACACAUCAGGCCAAAGUCCUUAAGAGAUGAACUGGAUUUCGGUGCAUCACAUUCCGAAAUUGAUACUAACCUUAAUUGGGAAGGCAGAACAGCCUCUCUUUCCUACUAUUGCACAAAAUGGCAAGUCAAGCCAAUGCAAGGAACUUCCCUGUUUUUUUACUGAAAAAUACAUAAUCUGAACAAUUUGUAAUCAAAUAAAUCAUUCAAAAUAUCCUUUAAUCGAACCCCCGUUUCUAUGGUUUAAUAAAAUAUCACAAAGGUGCCUAAUACAGUGGAAUUAACACUCAGCUCAUGGGAUUGAAAUUAUAUAUAUUGAAACAGAAAUUAAUACAAGAAAUUGAAAAUUAGUUGACACUAGAUCACGUUGGAUCGUUAGUUGUUAAUUAUGAUGGAAAUAUAAUCUUGGUCUCUUAAUUAUCAUCUAGCUAACGCAUGUGCACUAGUUUCAAUUGUGUCUAUCACUGUAAACAGUAGAGUUGCUUGGUUGAAUAGUAUCAUAUUACAUCACAGAAACUCACUCAAUUUUCAUUGCCAUAUGUAUCUCAAAAGUGCAUGAACAUUGAACAUUCAGCUAACUUAUACCCAACAACAUCCAUCAGUCAAAGUGAAAACCCAAUUGAUUUCAUAAAUACAAAAGAGCAAGUUUCACACAUGCAUGCAUGUGUCUGACCAACACAACAUGGCUUGUGGCAAGGAUCAAUCAAAGAAAUAUAAACUUACAAUUUUAUAAAUGUUAAGUAGAUAAGAGCACCAGCUCGGCCAUGUCGUCAUCCCCACGCUGAGGUGGACCACCUCAGCCGAGUGGUACGAGCCGAACACUGGUAAUGAGCCUUCUACAAAUGGGCCGACCAGAGACGAGUACCAGCCAGAAGAGUAUACCGAUCAGAGACAUAUACCGAGCCGGUGCCCAUCCCCCAAAGAGCGGGAACACGAUCUCACAGAAUCACGCCAGUUGCGCUUUUCCCAGAACCGUUGAGGGAGACGCGAGAUCCCACGUUUGCCCACAAUGUAGCAGUUAGAAUCCCAUGAGGGGCUGCCACUACCCGAAAAAAGGGGACGGAGGGUGAAUGAAAACGUGGGACAGCGGCUAUAAAAGGGGAAGAAAUCGAUGAAGAAAAGGACAGAAAAAAGGAGAGAGGGGAAAACUCUGCCAAAUUGUAUCCAGACCCUUUUUUAGUACCAAUAGUGAGUCAAUUCUAGGCAAUUAUUUGAACCUUAAUUGCACCGUUUUCCCGUAAAUACUUUGUGCUAACUUAGGCAUCGGAGGGUUUACGCCGGCAAAACCACCGGCGUCUCUGACCCAUUUUUGUGAACGCAGGCUUAGUGAGAAAAAGAAGGAGAAGUCUAACUCUAGCAACUAGAGCGAUCGUUGAAGCAAGGAGAAAUUGACAUCCUCAUUGCUGAUAUUACAAACGUUGGUGUAAAGAUCUGGUCGGGCAUAGGACGAGCAGAUUUCGGCAUCAACAAUAAAGUAAGCAUCAAAAUGUUUGAGAAGUUUUAGAUUUGUAGAAUAUUGGGAAAACAGACAAAUAAUCAAUGAAGAAACUGCAAGUUAAGCAGAUCAAUUAAACAGAGGAAAUAACUGAUCAAUUCUUUGUGCAAUGGCCACAGCAAAUGUGAGGUUAUAAGUUGCUGAUGUGUUGGGCUUAAAUCCAAGAUUCGAAGAGUUCUGUGUGAAGACUGACUUCAGUUGGAGGGGUCUUAUUGUAAAUUUUAUGCUGAUGUGGCAGAGUUCGUUGAGAAUUCGUUAUGCCUUUUCCAGAAAUAUCAGAAUAAAAGGCGCUGGUGAUUAGCCCCUGAUCUGAGAUCAAUAUCUUCUUCAUUUCUUGUUCAUUUUGUUGGAAAUUUGGUUCUCUGUGAUCCUUGUAAUUGCCUCUUCGUAAUCAACCUGUAUCUCGAUUGUUAUGAUCAACAAAAGAGCAGUUUUUUCCUUCAUUGACUUGUGUACUUGAAACAGUGCUCUGUGUUCUAUUCUUGGAAUUGCUUUCGUGUUUGGUUGAUCUGGUUUGAUUCUUUCAAGUCCGAUUCAUCAAGUUCUUCACGAACUAACUUGUGUAGCCAUUAAAGUUUCAACAGCAACAGAUUAAAUCUGUCUACAAGGCUACAUUAAUCCUAAUGGCGUGGUACUAUCUUCAUGCAACAUUACAUUAACAUUUCAUCAUCAAUCAAUUUUGAAGAUAUGAUAUUAAAAACAUUGACUUCAUAAUUUUAUGUAAUUUCAUAUAAAAGAUGUAAUUGAUUUUGAGUUAGUUUAACAUAUAAAGAAAAAGUAAUAAGGAUUGAUAUCAAUGUGGCGUGUGAUGAGUAAUAAUAGACAGUAAAUAUUAAUCAUGCAAUAAUGAAACAUGUAUUUAUAGAAAAAUAUUUGGCAAUAAAAUGAUGCUAUAAAGUUUAAUAUUAGUUGCAAGAAAAAAAAAUUGGCAAUUAAGAUUAACAGAUACAUGUGCAAUGUUUCGAAACAUGUAUUUAUAGAAAAAAAAAAUUUCUUGCCAAUUAAGAUUAACAGAUUCAUAUGCAAUUAAGAUUAACAGAUACAUAUACAUAUGCUUCGAAACAUGUAUUUAUAGAAAAACAUUUGGCAAUAAAAUGAUGCUAUAAAGUUUAAUAUUAGUUGCAAGAAAAAAAAUUGCCCAUUAAGAUUAACAGAUACAUAUGCAAUGCUUCGAGUUUAUUUUAUCACUUCGGUAACGAUUUUGUAACUACAUAUUGAUUAGAAGUUCAAUUAAUUUUGACAAAAAACUCUGGAGAAAGUCGAAAAGAGAUUUGAUUUUUGUAUACAAAAAAAAAGUAAGAAAUGAAAAAGCCAAAAUCAAUUACAAGGACAACAAUGAAAGCAUAUUUUAUAAAAGGCACAGAUACAUAAUAUAAAUUUAGUUUUGAAUUACGUAAUUAUUAAUUUAUAUGGUAAGAGAGUCUUAUAGAAAAAUAGGAAUUUUUAAAAUAGAUUUGCUAAAGGAAAAAGUUUGGUAUAUUUUGUGAAGGCUCAAGUAAUUGAAAGCAAUACAAGUGAAGGAAACAUAAACUUCUAACUUUUACAAAGUAAUCGCUAAAAUAUUUGACAAGUUUGAGAUUUUAAAAAGGCCAGAAAAAUAGACAAUAAUGAAGACCCUACAAAUUGGCAGAACAAAUAAACAGAGGAAAACGGAGCAAAUAUUUACAUAUAUAUAUAUAUAUAUUUUCCAAAACCAAUGUUGCGAUUUCUUUUUGUAGAGCAAGUGAAUCCAAACACAAGCCAGAAUAAACGACAGCGUUUAGAGCAAGGGUUAAGAUUCGUUAUGAAGCCACGUGAGUAAGCUCGUGAUCUCCAUAAGUAAAACGACGCUCAGCCUUGCGUUUUGCUCAUAACAGACUUAACAGAGUUGCUCGUGCCAGUCACGUGUUCAUUUAAACUCUUCUGAAUCGGUUUAACGGCUGGACACGUGGGAAGCAGCUUUGCGUUCUGGGUUCGAAGUUUGUUAUUCUUCUGUUAUAUAAGCUCGUUGUAGUGUGAUUUCGAGGGUAUUCUAGAGUGUUGUUCAGUUAAGAGGAAGGUGAUCCUUGUGCUCUGUAAACUCAUCUCUGGAUACUUUGUUUUUUCUUGUUCACGAAUCAAUAAAAGCAAGCUGAACCACAUUAUCUCUGUGAUUUUGUCUCUGAUUCAUCUCUUUCUUUCUUCUUGAUUCUAUUUCUUGGAAGUUUAAGUCUGGUUUGUUGAAUAUUGAGUUGAUUCAGAUUCGGUUCUGUGCUUGUGCAUCUUGUGUUGGUCUCAUUCAAGAUCUUGGGCAGAGUCUUUGGUUUGACAAGUUAAUUAGAUCGUCCAAAGCUCUACGUUUUUUUUUUUUUUAACAAAAAAGAAGCACAGUCUGCUAUUAAUACUGUAGCAUGUUAGCUACUAUGAAAGCUCGUGUCUAAUUACCAAAUAAAUUCCACUUUAACAAAGAAUAGAAGCUAAUUUUAUUUUUUUCUUUUUGUUAUUGAAGUUACCUCGCAAACUGCUCGGAAGCUUAUUACAAAAUUUCCUUUUACUCUAGGAUCUCUUGAAUGGUCCUGCAAUUUGUAUUCUUUUAUGUGGGAUUGGUUUUUUCUUUAAACAAAACUUCACGGAUCAGAAACCUUACCCAUCGAAUACCAACUUUGAAAUUUAUUAUUAUUCAAACUUAGAAAACUGCAGAAACAAAGUGCCUUUAAACAAAUUUCAAGGAUAAGACAAAAUUAAAUAAGUUAAUUUCAUUGUUACUACAGAAACAAAGUGCCCUCAUAGCACCAGUUAAGCUGUGUCUUGCUACCAUGCUGGUUCUAUUUUUAGUUUAUUAAAUAUAUACAAAAUUAAAUCACCUGAGCCUCUAGUUUCACUAGUUUCCAACUUGAAAUUAAAACGCGAAAUUAAUGGUAUUGGAGUUCGUUAUUUAAUUUUGCUUUGGUUCAUGGGGAAUCAGAUGGCCAUCCAAUUUUAUGUCUAUUUUAUGUACUAUUGGCCACUAAGUAGCUUGCUUAUAUAUGUGUAUUGGGAUGUCAUAGGCCUUAAAGCUGAAAAUCAAUCCCCAAUCUAAAGUGAAAAACAGUAGCUAGAACAGAUUCUAUGUUUUGAUGUCUUUGUUUAUAAGCUCAAACAAAUUAGUAGUGUAUAGAAAAUGCAUGAUAGAACCCAAAACUCAUAUUGAUUUUUAGUUUCGAAAUUCAUUUCAGAAAAUCUGUUCCGUUCAACAGAUUUAACUAAAUUAUCAACUAAACUCUAGCCAUGUACUUGCUUAUCUAUGGGUAGAGCACUAGGUCAACAAAGGAGUCCAUCUUUAAGGCCUUGUCUAAGACUGUGGUUGCCUUUUUCAUGAGCUUCUGGCUUUCCAGCUUGCUGAGCGACGUACACAUAAAGAGGUUAUCCUUCUCUUUUUUUCUUUGUUUUCAUAUCACAGAAUCCAUUUUUGAAUAUAUGUAUUUAGGUACACACACACAUGAAUAUAUAUGCAUGUUUUUAUGAGGAUAUUCAAGUAUAUUAUUUGACAAUCACAAAAACAACGAUCCACUCCAAUAAAUCUCAUAACAAAUACAUGCUCUAUCUUUUUAGGACUAAUUCAAAGAGAAAAUACGAAGGACACAUAAUUGAAUUUUGUCCAUGAUAAAGAACUCUAAACAAAUUCAUAAACUUAUUGCAGUACCUGUUAAAAAUUCAUUUGUUUCUUCUUUUCCUUUGAUCAACAGCUAAAUACAGCCUUGAAAUUUCAUUUAGUUUUGGUUAAUUUUCUGUGGAGUUGUGUUGUGUGUAAUAGUUUUGUUUCACGAAAUCGGUAGGGGAAGAGAAUUUUUAAAAGCAUAUCAAUGUAAUGAUCAAAGAGACGAAAUCAAUACAAAUAUUGAUUGUCUCAAGUUAGAUUAUACAAAGAAGAAAGAAGCUAAUCUAGCAAUUCAAUCAUAAUAAUUUGAUUUCCAUUAUAUUAAUUAUGUGCAAUCAUGCUAUUUUAAUAAAGAACACUCGAGCAUUUAUAAAUAGUCAACUUAUGAAAUUAAUUACAAAACAAUCUUUCGCAGAGUUUGAUGAAAAGACUGUGUAUUGUGUUAUCUUGAGGUCUUAUAUCAAUUAAAGCCAGGCUGCGCUUUGGCUGACAGCGAGAUAUAUCCAAACAUAAGUGCUGCGAAUGAACUGGGAAGACGGUAGGAAGAUUAAGCUGCUGAGGAGAAGAUAUAUGCAAAAGAAAUAAAGCUAAUCUGUUUUUAUGUAACAAGCUAUGUACUCUGCUUUUAUGGUCUUUCUCUUUGCGGUUGUUAGACAAACUUGAACGUAAGUUUCUAUCUUAUGUGUGUCCUAAUCCUUUUAGAUAGCUUGAGAUUGUUGAUUUAUAUAUGACGUUUGGUAUCCAAAAUUCAGAUGAUGAUAAUCUUGGCAGUACUUUUAUAAAAUUUUCUUUUGUGUUGGUGUUGACUUAAUAAAAUAUUACAAAGGUGCCUAAUAUAGUGAAAUUAACAUGAGCUCAUGAGAUUGCCGUUAGAUAUAUUGAAAAAGAAAUUAAUGCAAGAAACUGAAAAUUAAUUGAUACUAGAUCAGGUUGGAUAGUUAGUUGUUAAUUAUUGUUAAGUGUGAACCAGAAUUCAGUGUGCAGGGCAAACAACAAUGUCGACCAUCAGACUUGGCAGAAGACUACAUGUCCAAUAAAAGCUGAUCAGGGCUGUACGACAACCUUCCCAUGUCAAUCAGAAUUCGUAAAGUAAUGCACGUGUGUAACACGUGAUCUCCUAAUAACAUAUUAACUGAAACGGCAACUUUUUUUUUUGAAAAGGCUGAAACGGCAACUUACUACUGUCGUUUUGGGAUAUAUAUGUUACGCACACGCUCAGCACAAGGGGGAUUGGUUACCAGUUAAAAGAAGCGGGAAAAUUCUGGGGUUAACUACUUAACUGUAACAAACCCAGAAUGAUUUGCAGGCUUCUGAGAUAGGUUUCUAGGAGCUUCAAAGCUUGUAUAAAAAGGGUCCUGAUGACUGAAGUUGAGAGUGGUUUUUUCCUUGUAAUCUCUGAAAAGGCUUGAGCCUUGUUUCCUGCAUUAAUAAAUAAUCAUAGCCCUGUUUCUCAAAGAGGAUGUAGGCUGUAAUGGCUGAACCUCUAUAAAUCCUUUCUGUGUUUUUUCUUUCUCUGUUGUGUGUUUCUAUUCUUGUUUUAGAUUGUAUUGAUUCCUAAUAAAACUGUUAAUCAUUCUUCAUACUGAAUUUUAUUAAAUCUCUUCUUCUCUUUUGAAUAAAAUUUCUUUAAAAUUCAAUUCAUAAAAAAGAAAAUCUCCUUAUAAUUUAAUAUGUUUCAGUUGUCUCAGUGGAAUGAUGCUAUUUGUUUCAAUCAAAGUUUUGAAGCAUCCUAAAAUUUUGAGAUCCAAAUGAAAAUAAAUUAAUUUAAUUCGUGGUGUACUCUAAAUUUUCAGCUAUAAAAAAAUAGCGAAAUUGAAGUGCACUUGGGCAAGAAGAAACAGAGACUGCGAUUAUACAAUUUCAGUGUUUGACUCUAUCGGCAAAAAAAGAAAAUAAAAAAGAACUCCCAUUGUUCCAUUGUUUUUCCCAUAAAUAAUAAUAUACAGAGAAUUUUGUUUAACGAGAGAUAUAAUAGGUAUUUAGGUGAGUUUAUAGCGUAAAUUUUAAAAUUUUAAAAUUUAAUAAUGGAUUUAAUAAGUAAUUGGGUUCAAAUAGUAUUUUAGUGGUUUUAAAUAGCCCCACCCUUUUUAUUUUUAAAAAAGAUUUAAUUACAAAAAUAUUACUUCCAAUCGACAGCAUUUUAUAUUUUAUUUUAUUAAAUAUUAUUUUAUUUUUGAAUUACUAAUAAUGCACAAAACGGCAUCAUUUAUUGAUAUUUUUAAAUUGUUUAAGAUUUGUUUAAUUAGAAAAUUUCCAUUGUUGAUAUUUAAAUAAUUUUAAAAAAUAAAAUAAUAAAAUUGGUGUCGUUUAGUUUUGUUAAAUAUACUAAGGGCUCGUUUGGUAUGCCGGAUUGGAUUGGAUCAGAUUGGAUAAGAUAAAAUUGGAUUGGAUAAUAAUGGAUUAUAUAUAAUACUAUAUUGGGUUUGGUCCAAUUUUAGAUUGAACUAUAAAUAAUCAUCUCUUAUAUUAUAAUAUUAUAAUUUACAAGUUAUUAUUAUUAUUAUUAAUAAUAUAAACUAAAAUUUUGUAUUAUUAAUUAUACAAAUCAACCUCAAUGAUAUUAAUGAAAUAUAAAUCAUAAUUUAAAUAAUUUUUAUUUUUUUAAAUAUAUUUAUGAUAUUUUUAUUAUUUUUAUUCAAUAAUCUAUUAUUUUAUAAAAAUUUAUAUUUGUGAAUAUUAAUUUAAUAAUAAUUUAUAAUGUAAAUUUGAAAUUAUAAAAAUAUUUAAUAAAUAAAUAAAUUAAAAUAAAAUUUUCAUUCAAUGUGAAAUUAAUAAUGAUUUUUAGUAUAAUUUAUUAUUAAAAUUAUUAAAAUCAAUAUUUUUUAUUACAUUUAUCACAUAUUACUAUAAUUUUAAUAUUUAUAAAUUAUUAUGUUUAAUUGAAUUAUUAAUAUAAUCUAAUACUAACUAAUCCCAUAGUCCCCUUGAAAUAAUUUCUUUUACAAAAUUGAAAUUAGCUUUGGGGCUCACGAUAAAUAAAUUCUAAUACUUUUGACAGAACUAAAUAUAGGAAUAGGAUAAAAUUUUAACAAAGAGUUUAAUCUCCACUUUUAAUCCUCCUCCAACCAAACAUGCCCUAAGCUAACGGAUCAUGGCAAAUUUGUAGUAAGUGAUGAACGAUUUGAUAAGCUCUACUCCAUCAGUUCCUUAAUUGAGAAAAUUCCCAAGCCCGUGCAGCCUCACAAUUGAUAGAGACCCGAAGCCACCAAACUCGACAAUCAUCACUCAACGUCGUUGCAGGCUACCGGUCGCUCAACAAGCACCAGUUCCUCACUCUACAGCCAUCACUCAAGCGCUGCCAUUUCCUGUUAAUUAUUCGCUCGAAUUAGGGUUCUGAUAUUUGGGGAUUUUUUCUUAAUUGUGGAAUUAUGAAGUAAUGAUGAUGACGACGAAGAUGUGGUGGUUGACGACGGCAAAGGCAACGUUGAAUAUUGAGGCACUGGAGAAACAAGCAUUGGCUAUUAUCUUGGUCGAUUUGCCUCGAAUUGAUCACUAAAAAUGGGGAUAUCGUGGGCCGAGCUUCAACGCAGUCGCAAAUUUCAUUUGGAUAACUGAAUUUUAUUUUAUUUUUGUGUUUAAUUUGUUUAAAGUUUAAUUGUUUAGAUCUAGGCUAAAUUUUAAUGAUCAUUUUUAUGAUUAAAUGACAUGAGUAUGCUUAAGUUUUUUUCCUUCAAAUUGAUUUUCUGAUGUUACAUUUUGUUAGCAAAAAGUUAAAAAAUAGUAGAAACUGUCUGAAUUUUUGUUAUGAAGAUGUUGUUUUAGUUUGAUAUUGGGAAAAUAUCAUUAUACAUAUUGCCAUCAUAUUCAUGGGAGACCAAAAUGGGAAUGAUGGCAGGCUAUGCAUUGCUCACAACUAAUUUAAAACUCACUAUUUCUGUUUUUGGUGUUUUAGUAAUUCUGGGGGCAUUCCAACUAUAAUUAAUAAGCUAUAAACUUGUUUAGUAAUUACUAAUCAACUUGCUAGAAAGAGUCACAAACUAAUUAGCUUUCUCUUGUAAUUUUUACAGAUCAUCAGUGGAUAAGAACUACAAGGAGUUGAAGACUUAAAGAUAAGAACUACAAGGAGUGAAAACGNNNNNNNNNNNNNNNNNNNNNNNNNNNNNNNNNNNNNNNNNNNNNNNNNNNNNNNNNNNNNNNNNNNNNNNNNNNNNNNNNNNNNNNNNNNNNNNNNNNNNNNNNNNNNNNNNNNNNNNNNNNNNNNNNNNNNNNNNNNNNNNNNNNNNNNNNNNNNNNNNNNNNNNNNNNNNNNNNNNNNNNNNNNNNNNNNNNNNNNNNNNNNNNNNNNNNNNNNNNNNNNNNNNNNNNNNNNNNNNNNNNNNNNNNNNNNNNNNNNNNNNNNNNNNNNNNNNNNNNNNNNNNNNNNNNNNNNNNNNNNNNNNNNNNNNNNNNNNNNNNNNNNNNNNNNNNNNNNNNNNNNNNNNNNNNNNNNNNNNNNNNNNNNNNNNNNNNNNNNNNNNNNNNNNNNNNNNNNNNNNNNNNNNNNNNNNNNNNNNNNNNNNNNNNNNNNNNNNNNNNNNNNNNNNNNNNNNNNNNNNNNNNNNNNNNNNNNNNNNNNNNNNNNNNNNNNNNNNNNNNNNNNNNNNNNNNNNNNNNNNNNNNNNNNNNNNNNNNNNNNNNNNNNNNNNNNNNNNNNNNNNNNNNNNNNNNNNNNNNNNNNNNNNNNNNNNNNNNNNNNNNNNNNNNNNNNNNNNNNNNNNNNNNNNNNNNNNNNNNNNNNNNNNNNNNNNNNNNNNNNNNNNNNNNNNNNNNNNNNNNNNNNNNNNNNNNNNNNNNNNNNNNNNNNNNNNNNNNNNNNNNNNNNNNNNNNNNNNNNNNNNNNNNNNNNNNNNNNNNNNNNNNNNNNNNNNNNNNNNNNNNNNNNNNNNNNNNNNNNNNNNNNNNNNNNNNNNNNNNNNNNNNNNNNNNNNNNNNNNNNNNNNNNNNNNNNNNNNNNNNNNNNNNNNNNNNNNNNNNNNNNNNNNNNNNNNNNNNNNNNNNNNNNNNNNNNNNNNNNNNNNNNNNNNNNNNNNNNNNNNNNNNNNNNNNNNNNNNNNNNNNNNNNNNNNNNNNNNNNNNNNNNNNNNNNNNNNNNNNNAAACCUUUAACCCCUAAACUUUUUUUUUUUUUUUAAAAGGCCAAGGGGGUUUCCCCCCAAUUUGGGGGAAAGAGUUUUCUUUUUUUUUUUUUGGGUUUCCCCCCCCCCCCCCCCCCCCCCCGCCCCCCCAAAGUCAUUUUUUGUUCUCUACUCCAUUGUAAAUUUGUAUUCAAAAGUCUUUUUCUUUGUCUUUAGUUUUUAAAUUUAUGGAGAUGAUCUUAUGAGGUCUUAAAUAAAUAGUUGUAGAGCUUUACUAAAACUAUGUACAAUCUUAUUGAGAUUUGGGUGUGAUUUUGUAAGAUUGCUAAAAAAUUCAUAUUUGGUAUUUGUUUUAUUUUCCUAGUCGAAUUUCUUGCUUGUAGAAGAUAAAAGAAAAGUGCAAUUUCAUGUUGCAAUAAUUUUUUUUCCUUCCCUCUUUUUCUUCCCAUAUAGUCUGGCUCUGGAUUUGGUGCAGUUGAUGGUUUUAAUACAGUGAACCAAUUUCGUCAGAAUCAUCUUAAAGGAUUAAAGUGGCUUCCUUUUGCAACUGGGUAAGUCAAUGUUACUUCCUGAAUUCAGUUUGGAGUUCUUUCGGAAUAGAUUUCCUUCCCUUACAUUACUUAGCUUCUAGUUGCAUCUUCUUGGCCUUCUCCAGCUGACUUUCCUAUUGGCAAAUUCCUUCGCUUCUAUUGUUUUCAGGUGCCAGUGCUGGAUUUGGAGGUAUGAAUCAUGCCUUCAUUUUUACUUUUUAUGAUUAUUUUUUUAAGGUGUAUGGUACUGUAAUAUAGUUCUUUGUAUAGCUAGUACAAAGUAGUUCUUUAACUUCUUACGUUCGGCUAUAAUGGUCUUGACAUAUGAUAGGGCAGCUCUAUCACCAAUUGACGUGGAAUGAGAAAUAGGAGACAAAUGGGAUUAGAAAAAUAAGAAACAUGACAAAAAUAAAAAUCUAAUCUACUCAUAUAAGCAACUCAUCAAAUAAGUGUAUCACAUACUUAAGUGAAUAACAAUCUGUAAUUUCCACGAAUCAAAGUAAAAUUAUAAUAUUCUUUAAAUAAGACUCAUAAGCUUGUUAGGUGUUAUAUUGAAUCAUCUAAGUUGAAUAAUCUUUUGGGUCGAAUAUUUAAUUUCUUAUUCCAUACGUUUCAGUCUCUCAAUAGUUGAAUUAGCAAUGAAAAUUUGAAAAUGGAAAAAUCCAAUGCAAUUAUUUUAGCUGCUUAUCAUAGAUAAGAAUUUCAAAUUUGACACUUUAUUGUCUGUUGUCAAAUUCAUAAAGUAUGAACCUGCAUUAGUUUAGUUCUCUAAUAUUUAUAAAUAAGUAAUACUUGAAUUAAGAUGAAAGAAAAUUGAAAAGUAGAGUUGCUUGAUUGAAUAGCGUCAUAUUUUACAUCACAGAAACUCAAUUUUCAUUGCCAUACGUAGCUCAAAAGUGCAUGAACAUUUAAAAUUCAGCUAACUUAUACUAAUUAAUUAAUACGAGUCUCAGUUCUUACUUCUUAGUACUUGGCAACAUCCAUCCAUAAGAGUGAAACUCCUAUUGAUUUCAUAUAUACAAAAUAAAUAACUUACAAAGGCAAUAUAUACAAUCACGACAAAAACACCAAUUCACUCCAAUAAACAACAUAGCAAAUACAUGGUCUAUAUUGCAAGUCUUUUUACUAUUUUAAUUAAAAGAGAAAAUACGAAGGACAUAUUAUAUAUAAUUGAAUAUUAUCCUUGAUAAUUAGACAAAAUAACACUAAUCUAGCUAACUAAUCCAGUCAUCAUAAUAAUCCGAUUUCCUUUAUUUAAUUAUGUCCAUUGAUGCUAUUUUAAUAAAGAAUACUGAACACUUAAGUAUUUAUAUGCUCAACAACUUCGGCCACGUUUGAAAAGAUCAUAUUAAUUAUUAAUAUAAAGAAAAUAACCCUACAAGGUACAUAUUACAUAUGCAUGUAGUUGCAAUAAAUACAUAAUAAUAAAGAUUGUAAAAGUUCAGGGCCAUUAAUUCAACAAUUACUAAACCAAUAUCCCAAUAAUUGUUUGAUUACUAAUCUUAGCAUUAAAAGAUCUGCAAAUUUUAUUCGGCCAAAACAAAUGCUUCCUUAUUGCUUCCUUGAUCUUAUCCUGCCUGGUGAUUCCUGAAUGUCCUUCCCAUUCUGAUAUGCUGAGUUGUUUGCUGAUUAUAAAUACAAAUCACCUUAAAUUUUCUUAGUCUUGUUCUUCAUGCGAAAUUCUACGUAAUGGCUUAGUUGGUUUAAAUUCUUCUUUUUUCUUUGAAUUGUUGAUUUGUAAUGUUCUUCUCGCUCUCACAUGUGGCAUUCUGCACUCUUCCAAUGCUAUUUCUUGUUAUGGCAGCAGAAUUCUAUAUUUUCUCCCAGUUUCUUUUGUAAAGACUUCUAAAGAACCAUCCAAUGGAAGUUAGAUUAUACAUGGAAGAAUAAAUAAUGCUAAUCUAGCAAGUCCAAUGGUAAAAAUUUGAUUUUCAUUAUAUUAACCGUGUCCAAUCAUGCUAUUUUAAUAAAGAACACUUGAAUAAUAUUUUCAUGUCCAGCAUGUAAAAUUUCAAAACAAUUUUUGCCAAAGUCCUCCUCGGCUAAAUUAAUUUAUGCAUUAAUAAAGUCCUCCUCUUCUAAAUAAUACAAAACCUGUUACGUUGUUCUACCAUUUUUUUUUUUAAAAGCAUUCUACUAUUUAAUAAAAGAAUUCGAAAACUCGUUCUAGACAUACACCGAACCAUAUUAAUUUAAAACAGUUUUCAACUGAGAUUUGAAAUUACACACACAAACACACCGAGUCCUUUAUAUAAAGUGCUUUUAAUAAAUUAUGGUCGGUUUACUAUUAAUUAAUCAAAUUUAAUUUACUCAAAUUACUCCUGUACACGAUCAAAAUAAUAUCAAUUCUAUGAUAUAUAUAUACGUGCACAUACAUACAAAAUGUAAAUAACUUUCAAAUAUAAAAUAUUUAAAAUAGACGAAAUAACUUUCAAAUGUUUAUUGUAUUUUGAUGGGUUUUUGAGGAUGGUUGUAUGUAUUAGCAACAACAAGGUGCUUUUUAUAAAUCCGGGUCCUAAUUUUGUAAAAGAAAUUAAUACUCUCGGUUUAUUGUUAAUAAAAAAGAAAAAAGAAAAAGCAUUUUUCUGUGGCAUAUAUUAAGCAUUUUAAGAAAAGAAAAAAUUACAUUCCAAUUCAUGAAAGACAUUCCUUCUGUCAUAUUGAUGUGUUAAUAGAAAGAUCUAUGUAAAUUAUAACAAUUUUGAUGAAUCUAAAUAUUUAAUAACCGAUAAAUUAUAUUUAUAAAUAUUAAUACCGGUGGCACAUAAGCACUUAAUUCAAGAACUCGCCUAUAGUGCAUUAAUUUAAAGAGUAGAAAUAUUUAAUAAAUCAUGCCCGCUUUACUAUUAAUUAAUAAAAUUUAAUUUACUCAAAUUACUCCUCUACAUGAUCAAAGUAAUUUCAAAUAUACAACACACAAAAUGUAAAUGAUUGAAAUAUAAAAUAUUUAAAAUAAUCACCCCACUAACAAUUCACCACAAAGAUUAUAAAUAGUCGAAAUAAUGAUAAUCUAAGGGGUCCGGUCAUAAUAAUUUAAGUUUUAUUUAUAUUAAUUAUAUAAAAAAGAGUACUCGAGAUUAUAUAUAUCCAACAGCUAAAAUUUCAAAACAAUAUUUGCCAAAGUCUGAUGAAGAGAAUACAUAUAUAUAACAUGCACUUGCACACAUUCUAUUGUUUAAUUAAAAAAUUCGAAAGCCCAUUAUAUACAUGAUAAAGACUUACCGACACCGAACCAUAUUCAUUUAAAGGAAUUGUUUUCAACUGAGAUUUGAAAUUUUUUUUUUUGAAAAGAAACUUCUAUUAAUUCUGAGAUGAUAACAGAUACAUGACUUGUAGAGGGUAUGAACCCUUCCAUACAACAGUUUCGCAUUUCUCUAAAGCUAGUUUAGCUAGAGAAUGGGCAAUGGCAUUGCAAGAUCUAUGUGUAUACACACAACUAACAUGAUCGAAGCUUUCUUUCAAUUUCUGAAUUUCCAAUACUACCCAAUAGAUCUCGGAUCUGCUGCCCUGACUGUUGUUUACUAAACAAACUACUUCUUGCGAGUCUGACUCCAAAAUUACAUCUGUCACAUGUGCAUCUUUUGCCACCUGCAAGCCCCAUUCCAUAGCUUCUGCCUCGGCAUAAGCUACACUUCCAUGGAAUUUUGAGACCUUGAUCGCAGCUGCUGUCACUUGCCCCGUUUCAUCUCUAAUCACAGCCCCCAGCCCAGCAAGAUUCUUUUCUGAGUUGGUAGCGGCAUCAGUGUUGAUCUUAACAAAACCUUCUUGAGGGGGAUUCCAUCCCAGCUGCGCCACUUUCUGCUGCUUUCCAUGGCUUACAGCAACUGAAGGCUGCACUCUCUUAUAAGCCUCCAUCACAGCUUCAGCUUUAGCCACAACAGAUUGGGGGUUCUCUCGCUUGCCUUUGAACAGCCAUUGGUUCCUUGCAUUCCACUUUGCCCAGAGAAUCGCGGCAAACAAAUCUACAUCAGCUUUGCUUCUCAAUCUUUUCACGCCAUGCAACAAGCUCAAAACAUCCUGCCCAGGGGCUGCUUGAAUAUCAUUAUCAAAAAGGGAUAGUCUCCAAACCUUCUUGGCUGCUUUACAAUCAACUAAGGCAUGAAACAAAUUCUCUAUUCCCAUUUUACAAAGCUGGCAGGUAGGCUCUUGGACAAUCUUCCUCUUCCACAAAUUCUCAGCUGAAGGAAGUAAGUUUUUGGCUGCCCUCCAAACAAAAAUUCUGAUCUUCUUCGGCAAAGCAAGAGACCCAAUUUUUUCUUUUUUAAAAAAAUUACUAAUAAUAAAAUAUUUCAGUCGUCCUCUGUUCGGCUGUCAAAAACCCAUUAAGAUCGAUUUGAACAGAAGGUAUAUGGGUUAACAAUCCUCCAUCCUUUCUGCACUUCUCUUCCAUCAACGGACAGCGAUAGAUACUUAAUUGCAAAAGUGAGGAAGGCAGGCCCUUCUCCGGAAAGUAUUUGAGCUUGGGACAAUCCACGAGAUUCAAGUGGGUGAGGUUUUGAAGAUCAACAAUUGAAGAAGAUAGGCGUUCCAGAUUUGGAAAAUCUACAAUCCUCAGAGAUGUUAGAGAGGUAGGAAGAGGAAGCGCGGUCCCUAAUCUUUUGUCCUCUAGUGGAAAUGACACCAUGUCGUCAUCACAUCCUUCGAUUGUAAGAUGUCGCAGAGAGGAGAAUCUAUGAAAUCCCCGACCCCGCUCAAUCAUUGACUUCCAAAUCUCCAUAUUACCCCAAAUAUGAAGUGAAUGAAGGUUGGUGGGAAGGCCAUCUUCUUCAAGGCUUGGAAGCUCAACUCCUCUUCCUAUUGUUAAUUCUUGAAGAGAGGUCAGAUUGUGCAAUCCCUUGGGUAAGGCCUCCAGUCUCUCACACCCAUAGAUCCUGAGCUUACUCAGUUUCGCACAAGGCAAUCCCCCUUCGGGAAAGGACACCAGAUUUUCACAUUCCCAUAUUUCGAUCUCUUGAAGCUGGCCGAGAUUAUGUAAACCACUCGGUAAAAUUUUCAGAUUUUCACACCCAGAAAUAUUGAUUGUUUCAAGAGAUGUGUUGUUGUCCAACCUUUCUGCUAUUGACUCCAGCUUUGGACAAUACCAAACAAAAAGGGACUUAAGAGACGGAGGUAGAUUGCCAACUUCAAGGGACUCAAGCGUGGCAGGUAACUCGUUUUGUGAAAAUAUACAUGUCAGUGAUGGACAAUCCCUAAUUUCUAACUUCUCAAGAAGAGAUGAGGUGUACCUUCUAUUGCUGCUGCUGCUGCUACUCUGGAUGCCCUCUUCCACUGUCAAAGUCCUUAUAUUAUCACAACUAAGGAUGUCCAACCUCUUAAGGCUCCGUGGUAGCUGGACUCCAGCAAGAUAUGUCAACGUACGACAAUGCUCAAUAUACAAGGUCUCGAGAGAUGAAUUGGUGUCGCACAUCCAUGCCUCUGGUAAUGAUUUCAGUGCGUCACAACCUUCAAUCUCAAUUAUCUUCAACUUGGAAGGCAGAGCAACCUCAGGAAAGGAAACAAGGGAACUGCACUUGUAGAUUUCUAUCUCUCUCAAGGAACUGAGGCUGAGAGAUGAUUGUGGCAGCUUCACAAGGCCUUCGCAAUAACUCAAUCUUAGAUAUUCGAGUCUGCAUGACAACUCGCAGAGCUGCUGUUGUUGGUCUUUCUCUUCCUCCGCCACCAAGGAUUGAAGUUUGGGACAGCUUGUAAUCGUCAGUCUUCUGAGAGAGCAAAUGUCUUGCAGUAAUUCGUUAUGACUCUUCCAAAUAUAUGUCUGCUCUUUCAUAUCAUUUAUCUUCAAUUCUUCCAAUUUUGGCAGUCGCGGCUUUAAUGGCCCUGCGAGAAACAGUUGAUUUGAUGUAUCUCUACAAACCACUGAAUUCUGUGAGCCGAGAUGAUCAGCUGCACUUCUCCACACAACCUUUUUACAUCCACCAAUUUCAAAUUUGCAAAGAGCUGGAAGACUUGUAACUGAAACUGACAAUUCUUCACAUCCUUUAAUAACAAGCUUCUCCAAUGCAGGAAGGUGCUCUGGAAGUGUUCCUUGCAGUUUAGAACAUCUUAAAAUGUGAAGCUCUCUCAAUUUAGGAAACCCUUCAACUCCUUGACCGGAUCCAUGAGGAAUCCAGUCUUCCCAUUCUUCCAUGUCUUCAAAACAAAGAGUCUCCAAGCAUGGAAAAGGAAUUGAAGCAACCUUCCCAUAGAACUCUGGAUCAAAUCUCCUUACGCUGCUCAUUCCACAUACUACAAGAUGCUUUAGAGAGGGUAGUUGCCCGACCAACGGCAGGGCAGUACACAUGCUACAAUAUUCAAAUUUAAGUGUUACUAAAUUUGACAAUGAGGAAUUUCCUAACCAAGUUGAAAAAUUUGUGCCUCCAUAGCCGCUGAUACAAAAUUGUUCCAGAUUUUUAUGGGGUUUUAGCAUGUCAAGCACGCCCUCUUCAGCUUCUGCCUCCCUUGAAGAUGAACCAUUAGUAUUGCGAGUCCAUCGAAGCCAUAAUUCUUUAAGAUUCUCCUUUCUAUCCAAUUGAGCGUCCUCGGCAUCAAUAAUGUGUUUUACAUUCUCCAAAUUUGAAAUGCAAAGUGUCCCCCCAAGUUGUGUCAAGGACUUUAGCUCUCGUAACCGGGAACCACUGUCUUUUCCCACAACAAAAUUACACAACGUCUGAAGACAAGUCAGCCUACCAAUUCCGACUGGCAUUUCCUCCAACGAAGAUGUAUUUGAAUUAUUGAGAUGAUGCAAUUUGAUGAGGUUUCCCAUGGCUGCACACAACUUUUUCAGUCGCCAACAGCCCUCCAACAGAAGGGUGUGCAAAUUGUAAAGCUUGUUGACUGAUUCAGGCAGAGUUCUAAUCUCAGUUCCAGAUAGGUUAAGGUACCUUAAAUACCUCAAAUCACCAACUGAAUCCGGCAGCUUGGGGAUGAAAUAUCCACACAGAGAGAAGACCCUCAAUCGUUGGAGUUUGAACAACUUAGGAAGAAUGCUAAGAGCAAAGUAUCCACGCGACCUAUUUGACCGCCUUACUGGUAGAAAAGUUCGCAAAUGCUGGAUAUUGUACAAGUCUUCAAACCUUUUACCGCCUUCAUAAUAUUCAGGAAUGUAUGACAGAUGACGAAGAUUUCUGGAAAAACUUUGUUGCUUGUUAACCUCCGAGGUAUACUCCAUUGUGAAGUAUAUCUCCCCCGCAGCCCAUUGAGCAAGGUCAUUGACGAGGUCGUGCAUCACAAAUCGUGAUAUACCGUUGCUUGAUUGCUGGAAAAAAGAUCUUGCACGUAGCUCUUGAAAGAACCUUCGACCUAGAUCUUCACUUGGAUUCCCGCUCUCUCCGUGAUCCAAGAAACCCACAGCACUCCAUAAUAAAAUUAUCUCCUCCUCUUCGAAUUCAUAAUCCUUUGGAAACAAUGAGCAGUAUGCAAAGCACUGUUUCAAAGGUGCCGAGAGAUAAUAGUAGCUCACUCUAAGCGCCGGUAUAAUGUCACAUCUCUCUUCUGGUAAAUCCCAUAUGUUGCAACUGAGCACACCUUCCCAAUCACUUCGGUCACAUUUACCACGUAAGAGUCCACCAAGUGUUUUCGCAGCUAAGGGCAAGCCGUUGCAUUUGAUCACUAUCUUCUUGCCAAUUUCCUCCAAUGACUUGUUUGAACUGAAAUCUCUUGUCCCCAAAGAGUGUUGAGCGAACACGGACAGACAAUCAUCAAAUGACAACUUUUUCAAUUCAUAAGCUGGAGCAGUUCCCAUGAUGGCUGCAACCUCUUGAUUACGAGUUGUGACAAUAAUCUUACUUCCCGGUGCGCCAGCUUCAAACGGACGGCUCAUGUCAACCCAAUCAUUGUAUUUCUCAUUCCAAACGUCGUCUAAAACAAGCAAAAAUUUCUUUUGAGAUAACUUCUUCUUCAGCUCCUCUUGAAGCAAAUUUAAAUCACUGUCAUCAAUAGUCUGCUUAGUAACGGAUCUUAGAAUUGUUUUUGUUAGCCUCUUAACGUCGAAAUCGUCAGAGACACAAGUCCAUGCCUUGAGAUCAAAAUGAUCCUGCACUCGCUUAUCAUUGUAGACAAGCUGAGCAAGAGUAGUUUUGCCCAUCCCGCCCAUACCUAUAAUAGGAAUAACAGAGAAUCCACCAUCGUUGCUUAAAUCAUCCCUCAACAGCAGUUCAACAACAUCCUUCUUUUCUGUUUCCCUGCCAUAUACUUUGGCUUCAGUCACUAAAGAGGUUGUCUCUAGCCUUUGACUGGCUUUUUUGGACCCUCCAGCUGAACUUUCUUUCAAAUCUAGCAAGUUUUUCUGUGUCACAAUUUCUUGAAAUCUGCUGUUGAUCUCUUUGAUUUUGGACAUCAAGCCAUAAUCGAACUGAAUCGAUUGUGGAGUAAAAGUGGUGCAGCAAGCAGGAAUGAGCUUCCGAAACUUACUUGUUCUUGUACGACUGCUACUGGGUUGAUCAUGAGCAGCAGCUGGUUCUCCAUUUCCAAGCAGCAAGAUCCUCCGGAGAGCCUCAGUUUGAAACUCAUCCAACAAGUCUUCAACAUCAUAAGCCAAGUUCUGAAGCUUGCCAAGCCACUUCUUCACAGACCGAUUAGUCGUCUUCUUCUCCUCAGCAUCAUCAAGCACCGCCUUGAUCAUCUCCAACAUAUUCUCCCACUUCAUUAGAUCGUCUUGGAUCUUCUCUUGGCGUGCAAAAAACAGAAUCCCCUCUGAAGCUAACUUAUUGACCACCAAAUCAACGGACGCCGUAAGGAUUGCCUCUCCGAUCAUUGACAUUUUUUUCUUUUUUUUGGGCAAAGGAAGAAAGGAGCAGAAUUAUGGGUUAUGGAAAGCAGAAUGAGAAAAUUGAACGGGUGAGAAAAUGGAUAAUUAAGCAGAAUGAGUUUGUGAUUGUGAAGGGUCUGGCCCAGCUAGAAAUCACGCGUUUAUACUUUAUUGACCAAUGACUAAUAAUUUGGCAAUUCACCCAUCACACCACCACUUGGUAAGCAAAAUGAAAAUGCUUAGUAAUUAAUAAGUGUCAAGGGUCAACCAAAAUACGACGUAAAAUGUGGCAAGUCUCCCCACUUGUUUUCCUUGCAGCUAAGAAAAGAAAAACACAGCCCACCACCCAUUAAUAAUUUAGCAAUUCACCAAUCACCACCACUUGUUACGAAAUUCCUUCCGUUAGAUAUUCGUAUAGGUCAAGCAGUUAAUCCAGUGUCAAUUACUUAGAACCUUCACUUUACAAAUCUUCAACUCAUAAACCAAGAUAAAUCAAAACGUUUCUCUCUCUCUAUUUUUUUUUUUAAACUCCUAAAACGUUUCUUUUUAGAAAUAUUUUACUUUAUUCAUCUAAUAUGUUAUCUAACAAAUAGACACAGAUGAAAUCACUCUAAAGUGAAGAUGAAAGGGGAAAAAAACAUUCCAACCACCAAUAAUUUAUUCCGCUAACGUUUUCAAAAUAUUGUUCUUUAUAAUUGAACAGGAAAUAAGACUAAGUUUUGGACAUUUUCAUAUUCACUUACUUUCAAAAGCAGUAUUUCGAAACAUUUUACAGAAUCAAGUAACAGUUAUAUAACGAGAAAAGUGCAAAGUUGUGUAAUUCUAAUGUUUAUUUUAUCACUGACACUCAGAUCAUUUUUUAUUUGGGUCGCCAACUCACCAAUGAAUCCAUGAUUGAAUGAGUGUUUAGAAAAAAAAUCAAUAAAAAACAGUUUUUCUUUUGGUCGUCGAAAUAUAGUAAGUGAGAAAGAUUAUUCUGUUUUUUUUGUUAAUUAGGUUAGUAAUUAUGAUUGAGUGACUCAGAACUAUAUUCUAGAUUGAGAAUCAAUGGUUCUCCCACACUGAGAGGCUGUAAGUUUAAGAUUGUCGUUUGCUAUUUCAUCGACAAGAGAACACUUGAAUUUAUUAAAAGGAGAAGGCCAUAAAGAUUUUCCUUUAUGAGAAAUGUAUCUGAUCAUUCCUUUUUACUUGAAAAUUUCAUAUAUAAAAACUCAUUAAUAAAUGACAGAAUAUACAUAAAUUAUUAAUUCAUUUGAUAGUUGAUUAUCGAAGGACAUGUGACCCAUGGAAGCAUGCAGUCUAUAAAAUAAUUCUUUUUUUUUAUUAAACAAAAAAUUGGUGAUGUUGAAAAGCAAUAUUAUUAUUUCUCUAAUUGGGGUGAACAUUCAUAAAAAGAAUGCCGUAUGAAACUAAAUUAUUAAUUCGUUUGAUAGUUGGUUAUCGAAUGACAUGUGACCCACAAUAAAUAGUUAAAUUUGGCGGCAACAAUAAUUACAAGACGAACUUAAAGCAGCGCAUAGGUUUUCCUUAAAAAUACAUAAACAAUUCGAUAUUUUUUAUUUGACAGUUUUUAAGAAAUGUCAAACAUAUAUGACAUUUUGUGAAAAACUGAGUAAUUGUGAAAUAUAAAUGAUAAUUUAUUUAAACGUCAAAUAAUUGUGACGUUUUAUCAAAUAAGUGAUAAAUAUCUUACAUAUUUAUUGAAUAAUUAUCAUUUACCUUUUCCUUUUAUUGACUCGAGCAAAAAAAACAAAAAAACUGACUAUACUGCUUUUAUUUUCGUUCUUAGAACAGAUUUUAGUUUCUUUUGAGAAAAUUCAAACUCAUUCCCAUUACUUUCUUUUCAAUAAUCACCUCUCAGUUUUUCAUCAAUCACUCAAUUCCGAAUUUCAUCUCCAUUCUCUUUUGAAGAAGAACGCACGAAGAAUUUUAGCUUGCUUUUGCUGCUUCUCGAAUAUUGGGUAUUGUUUCCUUUAAUUUAGAUAAUUGUUUUUUAUAUCUCUCUUUCUAGUUUGAUAAUUUAUGGUUAUACUUGAAUUAAUUGUAUUUUUAAUCAACCAAGGUUGAUUUAAUUGAUUCCAAGUCUCAAUUUCCUGUUCAACAAUUUUCAUACUCAAUUUUGAAAGAAUCAAUGUAUUUUAUCUUUGGUUAGUACACUUCUGUUCAAUUUUUGUUUAUUUAACUUAAGAUAUCUUUUUCUUUCUUUUCUUCAAGCAAAUUAUAGAUUAUAUUGAGAACAGAGUUUUCUCCUUAAUUCCGCCAAGAGCAACGUUGAUUUCAGGUGAUAAUUGAAUGUGUAAUAUUUUCAAUUGAAAUUAAUUGAGUCUCGUGAUAAUAAUAGGGAUUUGAGAUUUACAUCCUGUUGAAAUGAUUUUAGAGUGUUCUGUUAUUUGAAUGCGCAUUAAUUGUUUGAUUAAAUGUCUCUUUAAAAGAUUAUUUUUGUUUUUAGCAAACAUCUUAAUGCACUUUACAAAUUGAAUCCAACAAGGGAAAAUUAUAGAACUGCAGCAGUUUUCAAAUUGAUUGCAUAUUAGAAGUAAUGUUAAUUUAUGCUGCAACAGUUCAAUGGGCUGGGCACAAGUUUAGGACUUCAGUUGCUCAAUUAAUGAAUCCACCACUCAUCAGACUUGGAACUUAUAUCUAUUGAAUCAAUAAAAAUAGUUGAUGGAAUCAAUGCCGAAAGCUUCAUUUGAUAUUUAUUUAUAACAUCUGUUAGAUUCUGGACAAUCACAAAGAUAUAGUAGCAGAAACUAUGUUAGAGACACUAUAGUUGCUUAAUUAGUGAAAUUGUGCUCUCAUUGCCCCCUUUUUUUGGUUGAUUCUAUAAUUUUAUUAGUUGUUCUUGUGGUUGUAAACAAUAUCAAUUUCUAAUAUUAAUAAAACUGAAUGAAUAAAAUGCGAUGCAUUUGCAGGAAAGUUAAUAGUUUAAAUAUGGAUAAAUCUUGGAUGUUGAUGGAUAGAAGGUCUAUAGAAUAUGAGAACAUGGUAAAUGAGUUUCUCAAGUUUGCAGUACUUCAUGCUAGUCAUCUUGAGCUUUUGAGAUGUCCAUGCCAAGCAUGUCUUAGUUUAUAGGCUCAAACAAUUAACAGUAUAGAAAAUGCAUGAUAGAACACAGAACUCAUAUUUUAGCAACAAUCCUCAGCUCACUGGCCCUUAGUUCAGAAUGACAAUUCUUAUUAGCCAAAGGUUCAAAAUGAUUUUUAGUUGUUUAUAAGUAGAGAACUAGAUCAACAAAUAAUUGAAGACCUGCAGCUUGGCUAUUGAACUAUACGAUGAUGCCAAUUCGAAGACUACAACUUGGCUCUGCCAUUCGAAGUAAGCAACGCAGCUGCCCAAAGUCUGCCAAACCAAGAAAAAUAAAGACUUCUCCUUAGCAAUUAAGUUAAUAUAAGGAAUGUUGCAUGUCCACAAAACUAGGUAGACGCAACUGGGACUUCAAUAUAUAUAUAGAUAUAUAUAUAUAUAUAUAAGCAUUUCCUAGAUCAAUAUUAUUCUCAGUAACUGAAUAUUGAAGCUGACCAUCACAUUUAAUAAUAAAUCAAUAUCAGGAAUGUUGUUGAGGAGUAUUUUGAUAUUUACAAAAGUGUUCAAAGUAAAAAUUGAUUUCUUAAAACCCAUUAGCUAGCGCACAUAAUAAUGGGGAGAAAAUUUUAGACUACGAAUAGUCCCACCCAUUUAAUAAUAUUCUUCAAUCAAUUAUGUUUACUUCAAAAAAAAAAAACCAUCUCUUUAUUACUUUCUAACUAUUCAUAUUAAUGUGUUCAUAAUUAUGAAGAACCGGUGUAAUUUAUAUGAUGUAGGAAGCACAUUAGUCAAAAUCAUCAGAAUCUCAAAAUUUCGUGAUGUUGUGCCAAAUAUGCAAACCAAAGCUUCCUACAUUCUUUGUACGUUUGUGUUAGUUACAAGCAAUCACAGUGGUAAACGAAAAAAAACGAAUUAAAACACAUGAGGAGAUUUAAAUGAAAAUGUCUUAAUCAUAUAUCGCAUGUAAGACCUUUUGUACUCAAAACUGAUCAGCACCCAUUCUGCCCGCCGUGUGAUCACAUCUUGAAGGGAGUGUUGCUUCAGCAUUUUUAUCAUUUUUACUAUUUCUAGGAUCCAUUUUGUCACCUCCCUCCCUCCCCCCGGUUUCUAAAAUAAUUAUAUAAUAACCAUAUAAUUAUUGGUUGUUCUAGCAAAUAAAAAAAAAAAAAAUAUAUAUAUAUAUAUUAAUCUUUUAAUAACAUUAUCACUUUGUCAAAAUAAAAAAUCUCCUCAUUAAAUAAUUAUAUUAUAUAUAUUCAUUUAUUUAUCCAAAUAAAAAAGUAUGAAGUCAAAUAGUACACAAUAAUUUAACUAAUUUGAAUUGGUUUAUUUUUAAUGAAACAAAUAACAUUCCUAAAUGCUUCUCUUGAUCCUUAAUUUAUUGAUAAUUUUGUCAAUUUAAGGUCGGCUAUAUAUUGAUUAAAUUACAAGCUUAGACUAUCGAAAGCUGGUUACAGUUAUGGAGGCAGGAAAAAUUUUAUUGUACCAGAAAUUUUUUCUACAACAGUCCAUGCAAAGUAAACAUUUGUAAGGAAAUUGGAGAAUAAUUACAAAGCCAACUAAAUUUUAUGAGAAUCAAUUUGGAGUUUUUGUUAAUCGCCAUUUUGCGUUCAUACAAAGCAAGUGUAGAUACCGGCACAAUAAGCUAAAUGCAAAAUCCAAUGUAGGACAGUGGGGUUGGGACAACGAAAUGGGGAAAUGGGAAUCUAGGUAAUUGCACUGAACCUUAAACUGAGAGUACGGGCACUUAAAAUUUUUAAAGUGUCUAAUAAGUUUCAGCUAAAAAGGAAAUAGGCUGUAAAAUUGCUAAAUUCAUUUUGAUUUCUAAAUUCAUAAAUAACCUUAAAAGUUCUCUGAUACAACUUGUCAAUAAUGGUGAAAAUUCAAUUUCAGAAUGACAAUUCUUAUUAGUGAAAGAAUCAAAAUGAUUUUUAGUUGUUUAUAAAUAGAUCACUAGAUCAACAAAUAAUUGAAGACUGGCUUGGCUAUUGAACCAUACGCGGCAAUUCGAAGACUGAAACUUAACUCUGCCGUUCGAAGUAAGCAACUCAGGUGCCCAAAGGCUGUCAAGCCAUCAAGACAAUACGAAGAUACAACAUCAAUAAUAAUUACAUAUUACACCUACCCCAAUAAGAAAUUAGUUAAUACAGUCCUAGAAAGAAAUUUACAAACCCAUGCUGUAGGAAUAAUUAAUUAAUUUAUACAGUUCGGUACUCAUUCCUCUUCUGUUUCAAAUCCAUAUCCACUGCUCUGCCAUUUAUUACUACGCAAGGUAUAUGGGUUAGCAAGUGCCGACAUUGUCCUCCAUUCUUUAUGUGCCUUUCUUCUAUCAAGGGACAACCCAAGAUCUCUAAUCGCAAGAAAAAUAUUUCAAAGUAAAAAGUGAUUUCUUAAAAUCUAUUAGCUAGUGCACAUAAUAAAAGGCCAUUCAUGGUAAAUUUUAGAUUACAAGUAGUCCCAAUAAUAUUCUGCAAUCAAUUCCGUUUAUUUUAAAAUAAAAGAAAUCCAUCUCUUUAUUACUUUCUAAUUAGUCAUAUUAAUGUGUUAAUAAUUGUGAAGAACCAGCGUAAUUUAUAUGAUGUAGGAAACCCGUUAGGCAAAAUAACCUGAAUUUUUUAAAGUAGGGGCUAGACAUAUUGGGCAUAACCUCAGUUUCUGUUACUUCUUUGACCCUGCCUAAGCUCUUUUAUGGGCUAAUAUCAAAAUUUCGUGAUAUUGUGCCUAAAGAGCUUCCAAUUCAAGGAGCUCCCCUGUUUUUGACUGAAACAUAUGUAAUCCGAAAAAUUUAUAAUUAGAUAAAUCAUUCAAAAUCUCCCUGAAUCUAACCCACAUUUCUAUGGUUUAAUAACAUAUCACAAAGGUGCCUAAUAUAAUGAAAUUAGCACUAGUUCACGAGAUUGCCAUUAUAUAUUACAAGUCUUUUUAUGAUGUAGAUUAGAAGGGAAAAUACGAAGGACAUAUUAUAUAUUAUAUAUGAUUGAAUUUAAUCCAUGAUAAUUAGACAAAAUAACACUAAUCUAGCUAACUAAUCCACCCAUCAUAAUAAUUUGAUUUUCAUUAUUUUAUUGUGUCCAAUCAUGCUAAUUUAAUAAAAAAAAUACAGAACACUUGAGGAUUUAGAUAUUCAACAACUUUGGCCAAGUUUGAAAAAGAUUAGAGCUUCCUUCAUGCUUUGUGUUCUUAUGUUACACAUGAUCAUAUUAUGUUACAUUUGACAGAAAACUGAAAAUUAUUGAAAAAAAAAAAUCUUAGUUAGCACAUUAUCAAAAUGAGAGAAUAAUGCACACACAUCACAACAAUGUUUCUUUCAUUUUGAAUCUAUAUUUACAAAACUUGUAUCCGAUGGUUUACAUUUGUUUAAUCUAACGGCUAUAACAUGUGUACUGUCAAAACGCUACAGCUGCCAUCUCUGUUUGUCCUUGUUGCAUCCUUGAUCUUAUAUUAUCCUGGAGAUUAUUGAAUGUUCGUCUCAUUCUCAUGUGCUCAAGGGUCCUUUCUUGAGACAUUUCAGAAAACACCUGAUUCAUCCUAUUAAACAUCAGCAUCAUUAAUCAGUAAAUGAUGUAAGAUAUCCCUGUUUUGAGAAGUCAACAUAAAUCAGUCACCUUAGAUUUUCUGAGUCUCAGAGCACAAUGGGUGAUGAUUUUAUGAGAAAUAUUAAUGUGCAUGCAUCCCCUGAAUUAGCUAGUGCUGGUUGUCAUUUUCUUCUUUCUUUUGGUACUGUUUUAGAUUUUUAAUCAAUCAGAUUCAGCUGCAUGUUUGCUUUUAGUCCAAACCAAAAUAAGAUAUUAAGUACUUUUGUCAGAAUAGACGCAACCAAAAUUCUAUGGGAUCUGUAGUUCAUGCAGAAGCGGCCGAAUGCUUCCGGCAACUCAGGCAGAUAGAACCUUGGUUGAUUCGUUUUUCUUCAUCUGAAAUUCUACCUAAUGCCUAUCCUCUUAAUUGGUUUAAAUUCUUCUUUUUUUUUUCCUUUGAAUUGUUGAUUUAAAAUGUCUUGUAUGCAAAAUUUAUAAUUUCGGAUGAUGAUAAUCUUGUUUAAGAAGAGAUUUCUAGUUACGGCAGCAGCGUUCUUGAUCAUGGCGUCACAAGCACGUGCUCUGGUUUGCUUAGUUUCCUUUUUGUCUCUGAUAUUUUCUUGGUAUUGUGGGAUAUUGUUUCUCUUUUGAUUUUCUGUUUUUGUUUGCUUAGUUUCCUUUUUGUCUCUGAUAUUUUCUUGGCAUUCUUGUUCUCUCUUAUAAUAAAGUGCUUUUGAUAAAUUCGCCUGGUCGGUUUACUUCACUGACCAUUAAUGAGCAAAUCCUCCCAGUGACCCUCAAACUCUUCUACACAAUUAUAAUAAUUUCAGUUUUAUAUAUACAAAAAUGAACAGCUCUCAAAUAUAUUAUUUGAUAAUGACAAAAACAACAAUUCACUCCAAUAAAUCUCAUAAUAAAUACAUGAUCUACAUUGCAAGCCUUUUUAGGACGCAUUCAAAGAGAAAAAAGGGGAUGGUCGGUUGGGUUGCUUGCAAAAUUAUUGGUGCGGGAAUCUACUUGUUUUUGUUUCACUUUAUUAAUUAAUUACCAAAGCAAACACGUCAUCAUUUGAAAAAGAAUCACUAGCACCAGCUUACGAAAAAUAAAUUUGUAAGACAUAUUAAUUUCAAUGAAAAUGUAGCGUGAUUAUGUUAUGAAUUUAUUAACUUCAUUAAUAGUGAAAAUGAAGCGUGAUUUUUGUGUCUAUCACCAAAAAGUAGAGUUCUUACUUGAUUGAAUAGUAUCAUAUUACAUCACAGAAACUCUCUCAAUUAUUGAAAAAAGAAAUCUUAAAAGAUCCCUACUCUCUGCUUAAAAAAAUCUUAAAAGUUUUCAAUUAUUGAUAACUGAAAAUUAUUGAAAAAAAAUUUAAAAGAGAUGUGUUGAAUUGUGAAAUUAAAACUGAGUUUCAGACAUUUCUGACAUGUCGGUUUAUAACCUUGAUUGUGCAUGCCCUCUCGGUUGCUUGAUGAAACAGGAGAAUAUUGACAUCUGUGUAUUAUCGUUUACUUCCUGCAAUUAAAUCACAUGUUGUUCACGUGAUUCCAUUUACUCUAUACGGCACAUUUGGCAGUCGUUUUGGUCACUUACCGAAGCACGGGUUAAGUACUUGAUUCAAGGUUGUUAACUGACCUUUACAAGGCGGGAAAAACAAACCCGGAAUGCAGCUAGUGAGUGGGGGAAUUUUCUGGACUCUUCAUGAUAUGUAUAUAUAGUCUUAGAGGCUAUAGUUGAGACAUAUGAAAAGCUUGUAACUUCUUAAUGUUUGUAGUUUGAUCUCGGUGAUGGAGAUAAGAUUGCUGCCCUGUUCUCCAGGCCGAACCACUUAAAUUGUGCCUCUGUUUUGCUUGAUGACUACCAGUGGUGAGAAAACAGCUACAGAACAAAUCAAGCUUGAUGACUCAAAUAUUAGGGAAGCCAUAGUCAAGGCAUCUGGUUUAUGCAUCAACAGUGGUUCGUGGACUAGAAUUCCUAGCUAUUGCCGCUUCACAAUUGCACUGGAAGAAAGCGAAUUUGAUCGAGCUUUGGAUCGCAUAGCUAAAUUCAAAAGCAUCGUACAAAUAGUUAACUAAAAAACGGUAUUGUCACUUGUCAUGAUUUAUUUCUAUUGCCUGAUGAUGAUACCCAUCACGCCUUAGUUGUCGUGAAUAAAUCUAAAAUCAAAUUGAACUGGUUUUUACUGGUUAGCAACAUUUGUGACGUUUUGAGAUUAUAAUAUAUGACAACACUGAUUAGUGUUGUCUCCCAUGUGAAUUGAGACAAAAAUUAUUUUCCCAAUUGCUCUUUCAUUUGAACAAUUCCACUGUAGAUUUAUAAAAUAAUGAUGAAAUUGUGUUUUAUAUUAAGUUACGAGUAAUUGGUUAAAUAUUAAUACAAAACUAUUUUAAGUAACAUGUGGCAUAUUCUCAUUCUAGCCAAGCUUCAGAACAUUCUGCAAAACGUUUAGUCUCUACGCAGUGCUAGAAUUUUCCCUAAGUUUCUAUCGCAAAGACUUCUAAAGAACUAUUCAGAUAUUAAGCUAUAAUCCAGUCUAAAGUGUAUAUAUCUCUCUAAUUCACCUCCCUCCAUUUCACCAGAAAAUCAACGAACACUUAGCUUCAAACUGAAGAAAUUGUAAAACUGAAUAAAUGCUGCUGUUUGGCAGCUGAGAAAAUGCAGAGGAAAAUUCUUUAUUUCAUUAAUGAAUUGAUAUUUUGUACUUAGAAACAAACACGAAACGUGCAGCUAUUUAUACAUGCUACACUUACUAACUAAUUGCUUACUAACUGAUUAUUAAUCACAAGCUCACUCAGCUAAUCAAUAACAGAACACAGAGUAUGCAUUGUGAGGUUAGUUAGGCUGGUAAUUUCUGCUGACGUGGACCUUCUGACGUGGCACUAAUGACAGCUGAUAACUUGACACGCUGACUCUUCUUCUUCACUUCUGCACAAUGAGCUAUCUUCACAGCCCCCCUUAAACUCAAAGGACAUGAAAAGACAUUGAGUUUGUCCCUUAAAUAAUUGAAUUGAGGAGAAGAUAAAGGCUUGGUUAAGAUAUCUGCAAUCUGAUCUUCACUUGGCACAUAACAGAUUUUGAGAUCACCAGCUAACACUUUGUCUCGAUUAAAUGAACAUCAAUCUCAAUGUGUUUGGUUCUUGAAUGGAACACAGGAUUCUUUGCUAGUUCUGUUGCACUUAUAUUAUCACACCAUAUUGUUGGUCUCUCUACACAGCAUACUUCCAUUUCCAGAAACAAUGACUUCAACCAAGCUAUCUCUGAAGCAGCUGAAGCAAGUGCUCUAUAUUCACUCUCAGGCUGAAGACUUAGUGACUACUGUUUGCUUCUUUAAAGACCAUGAAAUCAGAUUGUUUCCAAGAUACACACAGUAAGCUCCAAUCGACUUCCUAUCAUCCAAGUCACUUCCCUAAUCUGCAUCAAUGAAUGCAGUAAUUUUCAAAUCACCAUCCUUUACAAACUUUAAGCCAUAAUCCUGUGUCUCCUUCAGAUAUUUAAGAACCCUUUUGCAAGCCAUGAGAUGUUGCAUAGUUGGUGCAGAAACAUAUUGGCUUAACUUAUGAACAGAAUAAGCAAUUUCUGGUCUUGUCAAGAUCAGAUACUGGAGACUACCUACAAUGCUUAUAUAAUGAGUUGCAUCUUCAACAUAGUAACCCAAUUCUCCUUUAACUAUCUUCUGCAACUUUGAGUCCUUGCCACUGCACAUUGGUGUUAUCACUCCUUUACACUCAAGCAUGUCUACUUUAGCAAGCAAAUCUCUGAUAUACUUCUUCUGAGACAAAUAAAUGCAAUCCUGACCAUACAACACUUCUAUACCAAGGAAAUAGGACAAUCUUCCUAGAUCUUUCAAUGCAAAAACAAUAUUAAACUGUUGAAUGAAUCUGUCCAAUUCUUCACUGUUAGGUCCAGUAACUAAUAUGUCAUCAACAUAUAUCAAUACCAUAAUGAAUAACACUUUAGUUUUUCUUAAGAAUAAGGAAGAAUCAGAUUUUAAAUUUCUGAAACCCCAUUGAAGAAGACAUCCCCUGAGCUUUUCAAACCAGGCUCUAGGAGCUUGCUUAAGACCAUAUAAAGCUUUGUGUAAUCUGCAAACAUAGUUAGAUUUACUCUUAUCAACAAAGCCUUCAGGUUGCUGCAUAAACACUUCCUCUGACAAUUCACCAUUCAAGAAUGCAUUGUUGACAUCCACCUGUCUAACUAUCCACUGAUUCAUCACUGCAAGACUAAGAACUACUCUCACUGUUGCUGGCUUUACCACUGGACUAAAAGUAUCAAAAUAAUUCACUCCUUCAAUCUGUUGAAACCCUUUUGCCACCAAUCGAGCUUUAUACUUAGCUACACUGCCAUCAGUGUUAUACUUUAUUCUAUACACCCACUUAUUCCCAACAACUUUCUGAUUUUCUAUUCUUGGUACUAGAGACCAAGUUCUAUUUUCAAUUAGUGCAUCAUACUCAUUUUUCAUAGCUAUAAACCAAUUUGUGUCUUGCAAAGCUUCAUCAAUUGAAUCUGGCUCUUUGUGAACUAACACUGCAGUAUACAUUUUUGGCUUAAAAAUACAUGUUUUUCCUCUUGUGGUCAUGGGGUGAUUGUUCUGAACAGGUUGAAUAUUGUUUGAGGUUAUUUGGGACUGAGAUGGUAAUGGAAUUUGAGUAGGAUCUAUUAUGUUUGGUGAGUCUAGAUCAUGAACAGGUUCAAGAGCAGGAUUGAGAUUUGGUGUUUGACAUUGUGUAACUUCAUUUGCUUGUUGAUGAUCUGCUGAUGGGAACAGUUCUGUGCUGCUGGAACAUGCUGGAGAGCAGGAUUCAAAACUGCUGUUACAAGGAUUUGACACAACAGGUAGAUUGGAUAAAUGGAAAACUUGAUGAGGGGACAAAGUAGAGCUGGAUAUUGAUUGUGUUUUGUUCUCAGAAUUGAAAACAGGAUCUGAAGAAAAAGGGAAUGCAUUUUCAUCAAAUAUGACAUGCCUUGCUAUGUAUACACGACUAGAAUGAUGAAGGCAUUUAUAUCCUUUGUGAGCAGGGCUAUAACCAAUGAAUAUGCAUUUACUUGUGUGAAAAUCAAAUUUAUGCUUAUUGUAAUCUCUCAAAUAUGGAUAGCAAACACAACCAAAACAUUUCAACAUCUUAUAAUCAGCUUUAUGUUUGAAAAGUUUUUCAUAUGGUGUCAACAUUUUAAGAGCUGAAGUUGGUAACCUAUUGAUAUGAUAAACUGAAGCAUGGAAAGAAUCCCACCAGAAAUGCAAAAGAAGUUUGGCUUGAGCUAACAAUGUAAGACCCAAUUCUACUACUUGUCUGUGUUUUCUCUCAACUAAGCCAUUUUGAUGAUGAGUAUGAGGACAAGAGUGCCUAAAUAAAAUGCCACACUGAUUUAAAAAUUCAGUGAAUGAUCUGUAUUCUCCCCCCCAGUCAGAUUGCAGUAUCUUAAUGGUUGUUUGGAAUUGGUUUUCAACUUGUAACUUGUAUAGCUUAAAAACCUCUAAAGCUUCUAAUUUCAAUUUCAAUGGGUAAAUCCAAGUAUAUCUAGUGAAAUCAUCAACAAAACUAAUAUAAUAUCUAAAACCUUCUCUUGAAAUAACUGGUGAGGGACCCCAAAGAUCAGUGUGUAUAAGCUCAAGAGCUGAUUUGGUUUUGAUUUCUGUAACUGGGAAAUGCAACUUGUGUAUCUUACCCAACUGACAUGCUUCACAGAAAUGUUGUGUUGCUUGUUUAACCAUAUUCAGAGAAAACUAAUCAGCAUGAUGGAGUUUAAGUAAAUGCAAUAAGCUUUGAGAGUUUGGGUGGCCAAAUCUUCUGUGUAGAAGAGCUAUUUUAUUAGGUUUAUCAGAACAUACAUCAAAACCAUUCUGUAAACAAUUGUUUGAAUUAUUUAUGUACUUUACAGAUGGCAUAUGAGAAGCAAGAUGACAGCAUGAUAACAUUGACAGAGGUUUAUUAGCUUGACUAUGAGACAGGGGAGAUGACUGAAAAUUCUUGGUAGAAGACAUAGGUUUGACCAGCAGUUUAUACAACCCUUUCUCAGCAAUGCCCUGCAUUAGAACUUGUCCCUUCAGCAAAUCCUUCACAACACAAAAUGAUCCAAGAAAUUCAACAGAAAUGUUAUUGUCAGUGGUAAGUUUUGAAAUACUUAUUAGGUUCUUGGUGAUAGAGGGAACAAGCAAGAUAUCUUUAAGUGCAAUAUGUGAAUAUGUAGGUUGAGAUUUUGAAUUCUUGAAUGAAAAAUAAGAGUCACCAAUAUGAGUUAUUGACAAACCUUCACCAUUGCCAAUAAUGAGCUUAUCAUUACCUCUAAACUCAUCUCUGAUGGUCAGAUUUCCCAUGUUGUUUGUCAGAUGAUGAGUGGCACCACUGUCCAGGUACCAACCUUCAUCUGCAGGUCCUUCACAAUAUGCAGCAGAAGCAGUUCCAACCCAGGGCAUACCAGAAUUGUCAGAUGCACAAGGAUAUCCAGACUAUGACAUGUGUAAUCCAUUAUUGUUGACAGGCCAUGGAUCAUCAUUUGUUGGAUAGUAAGGUAUGUAUGCAGGUUCAUAAUUUGCUAUGUAGGCAGACUUUGAACCUUUUCCUCUCUGAAAUUGCCUUGGUGGCUGAGGUAUGUAAUUCUCUUCAAAUCUAUGCCAGCAUUCAACAGCAGUAUGUCCUACUUUGAAGCAAAUCUGACAUGUAUUCAUAGAAUCAUCGCUGUUGGAUACGUGUGACUCAAAAGGGGGUAAAUUUCCAGUACCAUUGAAACCAGUACUGCCAAAAGAGCCUCUUCCAGAAGAACCAAAUCUAUUGCUUCUCAUCAUCAUUUGAUUUCUUCCUUGAUUACCAAAAUGACCAGUUCCAGCAGGAAAACCCCUUGGAUGAGAAUUCAAAAACAUUCCUCUACCAUUAAACAUACCAUUUCUACUACCUGAGUGACCAUUAUAAUUACCUUGGACACCUUCUGUAUAUCCUCCUUUCCUAGCUUGACCUCUUAUUUGAGCAUAGUAUGCAUUCAUCAUACUAUUAUUAUUCCAGUUAGACAUAUUAGCAUAGUUUACAUUAAUCAUGUGCUUUUCACUUUGAUUUUGUUCAAGUCUGGCCUCAUGAGUAAGUAAUAAGGCAUAAGCAUCAUCAUAAUCCAAUUUGCUUGCUGUGAUAAAAGUAGCUAAAUCCAAAUAGCCAGCUCCUAGACCAUUGAGAAUUUGCUGCAACAUAUCUCUAUCUGAUACAGGACUACCAGCACAUGCUAAUUUGUCUGUAACUUGUUUCAUUUUUAAGCAAUAUUCUUCAAUACUUAGUGAAUCUUUUCUUAAGACACUCAUCUCAUACUUAAGUUGAAGAACUCUAGCCUCAGAUUGUACACCAAACCUUUUCUCUAGUGUUUUCCAUAUAUCGAAUGAAGUAGUGCAUGAGUGAACUAAACUGAGAAUACCUUCAGUUAUUGAGCUAAGAAGCCAGCUGAGUAAUGUUUGAUCUUGAGAUCUCCAGAUUGUGUAUUCAGGAUUCUCGAUCUGUUGAGAAGAGCCAGUAGUUGUUUCAGUAAAGCUUGAUGAUGCUAUGAAUCGGUUUGGUGCAAUCCGUUCUCCAUUGAUGUAUCCUUCAAGUCGAUUUCCUCUAAUGGAGGCCAGGACUUGAUUUUUCCAGAGCAUGUAAUUAGAUCUAUCCAAUUUGAUUGGUGUGAUGAAAGAAAAGGUUGUCUAAUUUGUAGCUACUGUAUUUUGAUUGUUUGUAAUUGCCAUGAUUGGCUCUGAUACCAUGAAGAAAUUGUAAAACUGAAUAAAUGCUGCUGUUUGGCAGCUGAGAAAAUGCAGAGGAAAAUUCUUUAUUUCAUUAAUGAAUUGAUAUUUUGUACUUAGAAACAAACACGAAACGUGCAGCUAUUUAUACAUGCUACACUUACUAACUAAUUGCUUACUAACUGAUUAUUAAUCACAAGCUCACUCAGCUAAUCAAUAACAGAACACAGAGUAUGCAUUGUGAGGUUAGUUAGGCUGGUAACUUCUGCUGACGUGGACCUUCUGAUGUGGCACUAAUGACAGCUGAUAACUUGACACGCUGACUCUUCUUCUUCACUUCUGUACAAUGAGCUAUCUUCACACAAACAAACACUCUCAAAAAGCGAGCUAGCUACCCAGAUGGCAAAACCAAGAAUUCUUGCAAUGACAAUGUUGUUUCUUGUUACGGCGACAACAUUGAUGAACAUGGCGUCACAAGCAAACGCUCUGAUGCCGUACACACAAUCACCUUUCUUUGACAUGAUGUUCCCAAUGACGGAAGAGCCUUUCAGGGUUCUUGAACAAACCCCUUUAACAAUCGCAAAAGGAGCUGAUCAUCAUCAAACUCUAGCCCUGGCGAGAGUAGACUGGAUGGAGACACCAACAGCUCACGUGAUUAUGCUUGACAUUCCAGGGAUGAAGAAAGAUAAUGUGAAAAUUGAAGUUGAAGAGAGCAGAGUACUGAGAGUGAGUGGGGAGAGGAAGAGUAAUGAUUAUUAUAAGGAGGGAGUUGAAAGAGAGAAAUGGCACAGUGAGUGGGGAGAGGAAGAGUAAUGAUUAUUAUAAGGAGGGAGUUGAAAGAGAGAAAUGGCACAGAGCUGAGAGGACAUUUGGCAAGUUUUGGAGGCAGUUUAGGAUGCAUAUGAGUGCUGACUUGGGUCAUAUUAAAGCUCACAUGGUAAAUGGGAUUCUGAGGGUCACAGUACCAAAGCUUGCUGAGGAGAAGAAGAGGCAGCCUAAGGUUAUUAACAUUCAUGAAGAGUCUGGUAAUUCUUCCGAUGAAGAUAUUAAGGCUACCAAGGCUCAAAUGUAAUUGAUUAAAGAAAGAAGUGAUUGCUUUGCUUGAUGUGCUAUUUAUUUAUGAUCUGUUCUUGGUUUUGUUGUGAGAUGUUUCUCUUUGGAUUCUCUGUUUAAUGUAUUUUGAUGGGUUUUUGAGGAUGACUUGCAUGUAUUGACAUAAAGUGCUUUUUAUAAAUCCUAAUCCUACAGCAUAUAAGAAUUAAUACGAUUCGUUUAUUGUUAAUAAAAAUAUUUUUUAGAAAAAGUCUUUUUAUUUGGCAUUUAUUAUGCAUUUGAAGGGGAAAAAAAAGUUGUCCCACUCGUAAUUCAUCCUCUUCUGUGAUAUUAAUGUGUUAAUGCGAAGAUUCAUUAUAAUUGCAACAAUUUUGACGAAUCCAAACGUUCAAUAACUACUAAAUUGUAUUUAUAAAUACUAAUAGCGAAGGUAGAAACGACUAAUUCAAGAAGUUGCUUAAAGUGCAUUAAAUUAGAGAGUAUAAAUAAUUGUGUGAUACAGUCCAGCCUUCAUCUGCUUAUAAUUAGCAACCAAAAACCACUUUGCAACGCCAUUAAAAAAACAUUUUAACAUUAUUGCUGAGGGAAGAGGCAGCUUAAGCUUAUUAACUCGUAUUAUUAAUGCUGAUGACGCAGCUGGUAAUCCUUUUGGUGAAUAUAUUAAGGCAGCUGAAGCUUAAAAUUAAUUAAGCCCACUAAAGCUUAAAACUAAUUCUUCUAGUGACGAUGCUUUGCUCAGUUAGCUUUUUGUUUUUAAUUUUUUUGGGGCUAACGUUUUGCUUAUUUUGCUUUUAAAAUUCUAUUCGCUUUCUCCUUUGAUUUUCUGUUUUUGUUGUUAUCGGAUUUGAUGAUGGUUUAUAUGUACGAAGAUUAUGUAAUAAAGUGCUUUUGUAACUAUAUAUAUAUAUAGCCAAUAACACGCCUGGUUUAUUGUUAAUGAAAAUUAAAAAAGAAAAAAAGUCUUUUCUUUGGCCUUUAUUAUGCAUUUUAACUUUUAAGAGGAAAAAAAAUUUAUCCCACUCCAAUUCAUGAAGAUAUUCUCUUUUCUGUCAUAUUGAUGUGUUAAUAUGAAGAUCCAUUGCAGUUGGUGAAUUCAAAUAUUCAGUAACUGAUGAAAUUGUAUUUAUAAAUUCAUACUAAUAGCAAUUGAAGAUUAUAAUUAAUUUUGUAAUAUGGUCAAGCCCUCGUGUGUUUAAUUAGCACUCAAAAACCACUUUACAAUAGGCAUUAAAAGAACAUUAUAACGUCAUUGCUGAUGAGUUCUGGUGAAGAUAUUAAGUUAAGGCCACAAAAAUCGAAAUGUACGUAGCUUCGUUUGUUUUUUGUUUUUUAUUUUUUUUGGGGCAAAUGCUUGGCUUCGUUUGCUUUUUCAUUUUUGAUAUUUUAUUGGCUUUAUUGUGUGGCAUGUUCUUGUUUUCUUUUGAUUUUCUGUUUUUUGUUGUUAUAGGAUCUGAUGACGAUGUACAUGUACGAAGAUUAUGUAAUAAAAUGCUUUUGAGUUUUGAUAAAUUGUGGUGGGUUUAAUUUACUUGGUCAAUUGAUAUUUGUUAUCAUUGUUGUUAACAAUUUACUUGGUCAAUUAACAAUUUUUGCCGAAGUCUGAUGAAGAGAAAUAUUACACAUAUGUAACCGUACAGCUAAAUAAAAGAAACUAAAAUUUAUUUCGACAGCUAAGAAUGAGAUACGCAUAAGAAAUUAAUCGAUUAAUUAAUUAAUUAAUACAUAUAUGUCCCCCACUGCUAAAAUAAUGCGAGCCCCUUACUCUACUUAACAUUUUUCAUAAUGCUAAGUACGUUCGCAAAGGGAAAUUUUCAAUAAUAACCAUUAAAAUUUUCAUUUUUUUCAUCUUAACCCCCCAAAAAUAUUUCUAUCAACAUUAGCCAUUAAACAACUUUUGAGACCAAAACACCCCUCCCUCAUCUCUCCCCCAACACUCCCUUUUUCUCAUCUCUCCCAAACCGAUCCAACUCCCAUCAUCGGCGGCGACAUCAACCCUCGUCGGCGGCGGCUCCAUCUCUCACCGGCAUCCGAUCUACAACCUUCAACAAAACCUAGGUUAGUAAUUUUUCUUAUUUUCAUUAAUUUAAAAUGAGAUUUUAGAAUAAUAAUAGUUAUAGCUUGAGAAUAAUGGUGGUGGUGAUAAUGGUGGUGGUGUUUGUGGUGGUUGAUGGUGUUUGGGAGUAUUGUUUUUUGAUUUUGAUGUGGCUUAAUUUUGGGGAUGGAGAGGGAGGGGGGUACGGCGCGCGCGCGCGCCCAUCGCUGGGCAGCAGCGCGCGCCGAUGCGCGGCCCACUGUCGCACCAAAUCUGGUGCGAGAGCGCGCGCCCGCGCGCCUGUCGCACCAGCUUUGGUGCGACAGGCGCGCGCUGUCGCACCAAUUUGUUGGUGCGACAGGCGCCUGUCGCACCAGCUUUGGUGCGACAGGCGCGCGCUGUCGCACCAAUUUGUUGGUGCGACAGGCGCGCAUGUCGCACCAGCUUUGGUGCGACAGGCGCGCGCUGUCGCACCAAUUUGUUGGUGCGACAGGCGCGCAUGUCGCACCAGCUUUGNNNNNNNNNNNNNNNNNNNNNNNNNNNNNNNNNNNNNNNNNNNNNNNNNNNNNNNNNNNNNNNNNNNNNNNNNNNNNNNNNNNNNNNNNNNNNNNNNNNNGGUGCGACAUGCGCGCCUGUCGCACUUAAAAAUUAUAGUGUUUAUUAUAGUGUUUUUUUUUCCGAUUAUUUUUUUUUUCUGUAAACGUAAUGUAAUAAAUUUAUAAAUAUUACAGAUACAUGGCAAAAUCAGAAUCACCGGAUAUUGAUGUAGGCAAGAUGUAUUUUAGUUAUGCCGAUCACUUUCCUGGUCGAAUUUCGAGCAUGUGUAAGUUAUCUUCGGUCAUAAAAGCCAUCGAGGAAAAAUUAACAAAGCGGCAGUNNNNNNNNNNNNNNNNNNNNNNNNNNNNNNNNNNNNNNNNNNNNNNNNNNNNNNNNNNNNNNNNNNNNNNNNNNNNNNNNNNNNNNNNNNNNNNNNNNNNCUAUGUUCAAAAAGGAUAUAUUUGGGCAUUUCUUGGAGUGGUCGAAGUUUUCCAUUUAGUGGGGUAAUUGUGCACAAUCUUUGCUGAGGCAAGUGGCCCAUGAAGAAGAUAGCCGUGAGGAUCAGUUAUGGUUUCAAAUUGGUGAGCAUUUGAUUCGCUUGUCAAUUGUCGAAUGGUGCUUGGUUACUGGACUUUCAUUUGGUGUUGAUACCAAUCAAAAAAAUGAUCAAAUGGAGCAGAGGCUACGGAGUACGUAUUUUGGUGGAGUUCAUCGUAAGAUUAAUGUGAAGGAAUUCGAUGCAAUAUUUAAUGAGUUGAAAUUCGAGGAAUUGGACGAUAUGGACGCAUUAAAGAUUGCGCUGUUUUAUUUUGCGGACCGAGUACUAAAUGCAAGAAAAAAUCACUGUCAAAUCAAUUUCGAUUGGCUUGACCAAGUUGAUGAUAUACAGUACUUCCGAAAGCGUCCAUGGGGUCUGUUGUCGUGGGAAAUGAUUUACGAGAGUCUUGACAAUGCACUGUUCGAGAAAGACCAGAAAUUUCAGAAGACUCGGUCGAAAAAUCCAGAUCAUAACAUUGAAAAAUACAAUCUUUAUGGCUUUACGUCUGGGGUUCAGGUGCGUAUUUGUUUUUGUUUAUUAAUAAGUUUUAUAGUAUUAAAUAUUUGAUAUGUUGUUUUAUUUGAUUUUUUAAUUUGGUUGUUGUAGGCUUGGAUUUACGAAGCAAUCGGAGGGUUGCCAUCAACAUGGGUCGUCAAAACGAAGAAUAAGAUUCCCCGCAUUUUGCAAUGGAAGCCCAUGGCGUCUUCGAGAAUCAAUUUUGCCGAGGUUUAUUCGUUCUUCAACGACGAAUCUCGUCUUGUAAGUAAUAUGUAUUACUUAUUUUUUUAACUUUACUAAAUUUAAGUUAUGUAUACUUACUUAAAAUUUUCAAUUUAAUUUAUUGCAGGGGGACGUUUUACAAACUCUUGAGCCAAAUUCAAAGGAGAGUAGCAGAAAUUAUUGGGUCUCUGUGAAGGAUUACUUGCCAAGCAUUCCAGGCUGGGUUCUUAAGGUUGGUAUACUCUAAGUACUAAAAAUUUUUUAAUCGAAAUUUUUUACUUUUCAUUUAAUAAUUAUAAAUGAUACUUUAUACAGCACCAACACUCAAUCAACGCGAUGCCGUCGGUUACAAGGCAAUCAGACGAGCAUGACGAUCAUGACGACAAACCAAACCCAAUACCAGAGCAGCGUCAUGACACUUAUGAGGAUGAGGUGGCUGUUGAUGACCACCAGCAGCGUCAUGACACUUAUGAGGCUGUUGAUGACCACCAGCAGCGUCAUGACACUUAUGAGGCUGAUGAUGACCACCAGCAGCAAACAGACAACUCUGAUGACGCACGGGAAUCUGAGGUUAUAAAUAAUAUACGAUAUUGUUUCUUUAUAAAUUAUUUUUUUUUUUGUUAUUCUAAAGUUUUCUGUUUUUUCUUUUGUAAUAGUCGAGGACAAAGCAGUUUCAAGAUUACAUACAACGACGGCUGGAUAAGAUUGAUCGUAACGUUUACGAAAUAAAGUCAGAAUUAAAAGAUUUUAAAGAAACCGUUGUUGGCUUCAUCGACACAUUUUCUAAACGUCCAAAUAAGGAUUCUCCCACUGCACGCUCGUAUGCGGUGAGCAAAUUUUUAUUUAAUAAUUAUGUGCGUUUAACUUUUAAUUUGAUAGUUGUUUAAUAUGUUCUUCUCGGCGAAUGGACAGGCCCCGGAUGACUAUGGAGUGUAUACUAACGUGGGCAAUGAAAAUUUGUCUACGCCCACGUCAUUGUAUAGUUUCUACGGGGAUGUUAGUGGGGAGAGCGUGCAGGUGUUCUCGGAUGUGCCUCCCGGCGUUAGUAAGUUCGGCCGCGCGUACAUACCGUCGUAUGUUUAUAACAGUCCUUACAUGAUUCCUCCAGUCAGGCGAAGACAGAACGUCCGCCCUUUGCCUCGACCCCAAAUCUUGGAGCAUGCGAUUGACAUGAGUACGACAGUGGAUAUAAAUCCACUGAGAGGGUUGGAGGACUCUAGUAUGUUUGCUGAGUUUGAUCGAUGGUUCACUGGUGAUAGCAGAGUCUGCCGGAGAGUCCAGCACCCGCGGUCAUUCUUUCAAAUAAUCUUGGGGACAGCUUCGAUGGGAUGGCUAGGCGAUGAGGUAUUUAUAUUUUCGUCGUGAUGUAUACUGUUGUGGAUUUGUGUUUAAUUUUUUUUUAAAUCGUAAUAUUUCUGUUUCUCUACAGCAUAUUCACGAGUAUCUCCGCUUGAUUAGCGAGAAACAACGGCAGUACCCAAAUGCCUUACUCCAACGUGUCACACAUACUGACACAUUUUUUUGGGUAACGUGCAUACAAAUCGUAUAAAUACUAUUUAAUUUUGUUUUUCAUUAUUGCCUUUAAGUUCUGUUAAUGUAUGCAUUUCUUGGUUAUCUAUGUACUAGGUGUUCCUGAAUCAGUUAUGGAACAACGGGGAUUGUGCGGUCGAUUCAUUAGUAUUCGACGAUCGCGUGAAUAGUUAUCUUUGUGGGCGACAGCACACAAUGUCCAAAUCAAUGACGGAUGUCGAUAUGGUAUGUAUUUUGCUGCAAUUUAUAUACAAGUUGUCAAUUUUUCUUAGUUGUUUUUCAAUUUCAUAUAUAACCAACAUGUUUUUUAAUUUUUAUAUACAGUUACUCAUCCCUGUUAACUUGGACGGCGAGCAUUGGGUACUGGCACGAGUAGACUUUCGGAAAAACAAAGUCUGGAUUUAUGACUCAUUACUCACAUGCCGCGACGACAAAAGAUAUAGGUUGAAAUUCAAGCCACUUGAAGUUAUCUUCCCUCGAUGGUUGGAAUAUGUUGGGUUCUACAACAUCCGACCUGAGUUGCGGAGUGCCGACCCCUGGAAAGUUAUCGCAGUUAGGAGCGCGCCACAACAGGAGCCCGGAACUGGCGAUUGCGGUGUUUUUGUAUUGAUGGUUACGAUGUAUUUAAUGUUCGGGCUUGGAUUGGAGUUUAACGCUAGUCAUGUCGAGUACUUUAGAAAGAAGAUUGCGGUUGACAUAUUUAAUGACGAUAUUGUAUUGUAAACCGUUGUAGUAAUUUGAAUGUUUAAACUUGUUUUUUUUUAAAUUUGCGCACUUAAGUUUAUAUAAUUUUAAUGCUCACAUUUUAAUAUUUAAAAUCAAAUAAAGUUUUAUGAAAUAUAAGUGUACAAUACACAAAACACAAUAACAACUAACUUCGAGUCGACGCUAUGGGAUUCUUACAUCGCUUACGAUUAUGGCCCAGUUCAUGACACCGCCCGCAUCUAACAGUCCGCCUGUUAACGUCCUCGCCAGCCGAGGGUAUUCUGAGCUCUUUACGACGGCCAGGUGGUGGUGCCUCAACUGGUGGGUAUACUUGCAUCUCCACCAUUCAUCUGGAAUUCCCAAUCGNNNNNNNNNNNNNNNNNNNNNNNNNNNNNNNNNNNNNNNNNNNNNNNNNNNNNNNNNNNNNNNNNNNNNNNNNNNNNNNNNNNNNNNNNNNNNNNNNNNNNNNNNNNNNNNNNNNNNNNNNNNNNNNNNNNNNNNNNNNNNNNNNNNNNNNNNNNNNNNNNNNNNNNNNNNNNNNNNNNNNNNNNNNNNNNNNNNNNNNNNNNNNNNNNNNNNNNNNNNNNNNNNNNNNNNNNNNNNNNNNNNNNNNNNNNNNNNNNNNNNNNNNNNNNNNNNNNNNNNNNNNNNNNNNNNNNNNNNNNNNNNNNNNNNNNNNNNNNNNNNNNNNNNNNNNNNNNNNNNNNNNNNNNNNNNNNNNNNNNNNNNNNNNNNNNNNNNNNNNNNNNNNNNNNNNNNNNNNNNNNNNNNNNNNNNNNNNNNNNNNNNNNNNNNNNNNNNNNNNNNNNNNNNNNNNNNNNNNNNNNNNNNNNNNNNNNNNNNNNNNNNNNNNNNNNNNNNNNNNNNNNNNNNNNNNNNNNNNNNNNNNNNNNNNNNNNNNNNNNNNNNNNNNNNNNNNNNNNNNNNNNNNNNNNNNNNNNNNNNNNNNNNNNNNNNNNNNNNNNNNNNNNNNNNNNNNNNNNNNNNNNNNNNNNNNNNNNNNNNNNNNNNNNNNNNNNNNNNNNNNNNNNNNNNNNNNNNNNNNNNNNNNNNNNNNNNNNNNNNNNNNNNNNNNNNNNNNNNNNNNNNNNNNNNNNNNNNNNNNNNNNNNNNNNNNNNNNNNNNNNNNNNNNNNNNNNNNNNNNNNNNNNNNNNNNNNNNNNNNNNNNNNNNNNNNNNNNNNNNNNNNNNNNNNNNNNNNNNNNNNNNNNNNNNNNNNNNNNNNNNNNNNNNNNNNNNNNNNNNNNNNNNNNNNNNNNNNNNNNNNNNNNNNNNNNNNNNNNNNNNNNNNNNNNNNNNNNNNNNNNNNNNNNNNNNNNNNNNNNNNNNNNNNNNNNNNNNNNNNNNNNNNNNNNNNNNNNNNNNNNNNNNNNNNNNNNNNNNNNNNNNNNNNNNNNNNNNNNNNNNNNNNNNNNNNNNNNNNNNNNNNNNNNNNNNNNNNNNNNNNNNNNNNNNNNNNNNNNNNNNNNNNNNNNNNNNNNNNNNNNNNNNNNNNNNNNNNNNNNNNNNNNNNNNNNNNNNNNNNNNNNNNNNNNNNNNNNNNNNNNNNNNNNNNNNNNNNNNNNNNNNNNNNNNNNNNNNNNNNNNNNNNNNNNNNNNNNNNNNNNNNNNNNNNNNNNNNNNNNNNNNNNNNNNNNNNNNNNNNNNNNNNNNNNNNNNNNNNNNNNNNNNNNNNNNNNNNNNNNNNNNNNNNNNNNNNNNNNNNNNNNNNNNNNNNNNNNNNNNNNNNNNNNNNNNNNNNNNNNNNNNNNNNNNNNNNNNNNNNNNNNNNNNNNNNNNNNNNNNNNNNNNNNNNNNNNNNNNNNNNNNNNNNNNNNNNNNNNNNNNNNNNNNNNNNNNNNNNNNNNNNNNNNNNNNNNNNNNNNNNNNNNNNNNNNNNNNNNNNNNNNNNNNNNNNNNNNNNNNNNNNNNNNNNNNNNNNNNNNNNNNNNNNNNNNNNNNNNNNNNNNNNNNNNNNNNNNNNNNNNNNNNNNNNNNNNNNNNNNNNNNNNNNNNNNNNNNNNNNNNNNNNNNNNNNNNNNNNNNNNNNNNNNNNNNNNNNNNNNNNNNNNNNNNNNNNNNNNNNNNNNNNNNNNNNNNNNNNNNNNNNNNNNNNNNNNNNNNNNNNNNNNNNNNNNNNNNNNNNNNNNNNNNNNNNNNNNNNNNNNNNNNNNNNNNNNNNNNNNNNNNNNNNNNNNNNNNNNNNNNNNNNNNNNNNNNNNNNNNNNNNNNNNNNNNNNNNNNNNNNNNNNNNNNNNNNNNNNNNNNNNNNNNNNNNNNNNNNNNNNNNNNNNNNNNNNNNNNNNNNNNNNNNNNNNNNNNNNNNNNNNNNNNNNNNNNNNNNNNNNNNNNNNNNNNNNNNNNNNNNNNNNNNNNNNNNNNNNNNNNNNNNNNNNNNNNNNNNNNNNNNNNNNNNNNNNNNNNNNNNNNNNNNNNNNNNNNNNNNNNNNNNNNNNNNNNNNNNNNNNNNNNNNNNNNNNNNNNNNNNNNNNNNNNNNNNNNNNNNNNNNNNNNNNNNNNNNNNNNNNNNNNNNNNNNNNNNNNNNNNNNNNNNNNNNNNNNNNNNNNNNNNNNNNNNNNNNNNNNNNNNNCUCUUGGUGCGACAGGCUGCCUGUCGCACCUUCCUUGGUGCGACAGGCAGCCUGUCGCUCCUGUAGGCAGAAAUUUUUGGUGCGACAGGCAGCCUGUCGUCAGAUUCACCCACGACUCAGUUAAGCAAGUUCAGAAAAUAACACAUACCACUAAGUGAUGUCGAUUAGUGUUGGAUUCGGAUAGAUUAUGAUCGGAUUUCACCUUUACUGUUGUCUUUUGCCGUCGACGUUGGUUGAUGAUUAAGCUGCGUUUGGUUUGCCGAUAUGGGAGAAAGAUUGUUGCUUUUGAUCUGUAAAGAAGGGUAAUUUGGGGAGAAAGGCUUGUGUUUGGCUAAUGUUGAUAGAAAAAAGUUGAGAAGGUUAGUUGGGAAAAUAACAAAAUAUUUAUGGUUAUUUUCGUAAAUUUCCCAAACAGUUUUCAACUGAGAUUUGAAUUUUAAAAUUACAUACACAAACACACCUGAUUUUAAAGAAAAAAAUCAGUCGUCCUCUGUUCAGUCAUACACGCCCAAUUUAAAAAAAAAAAACUACUAAUAAAAUAUUUCAGUCGUCCUCUGUUGGGUCGUCAUCAAAAACCCAUUUACCAGCUAUUUCUUUUUUUUUUUUUUGAGAAGCAUUUACCAGCUAUUUCAACAUGCGGUAUAUAGAAUAUUUCAGUCGUCCUCCGUUCAACCAUCAAAAGUCUCAUCUAUAUAUAGUAACAUCAGGUAUAUGGGUUAACAAGUCCCAAUAUUGUCCUCCAUCCUUUCUGCACUUCUCUUCUAUCAACGGACAUCCCCAGAUGUCUAAUUGCAAAAGUGAGGAAGGCAGGCCCUUCUCCGGAAAGUAUUUGAGUUUGGGACAAUCCCCGAGAUACAAUGAAGCGAGGUUUUGAAGAUCAACAAUUGAAGAAGAUAGGCGUUCCAGAUUUGGAAAUCCAGAAAUCCACAGAGAUGUUAGAGAGGCAGGAAGAGGAAGCGCGGUCCCUAAUCUUUUGUCAUCUGCCUUUGGUGGAAAUGACACCAUGUCGUCAUCACAAUUAAUGAUUGUAAGUUGUCGCAGAGAGGAGAAUCUGUGAAAUCCCCGGCCCCGCUCAAUCAUUGACUUCCAAAUCUCCAUAUUACCCUCAAUCGUCAGUGACUGAAGGUUGGUGGGAAGGCCAUCUUCUUUAAGGCUUGGAAGCUCAACUCCUCUUCCUAUUGUUAAUUCUUGAAGAGAGGUCAGAUUGUGCAAUCCCUUGGGUAAGGCCUCUAGUCUCUUACAACUAGAUAUCUCCAGCCUCGUGAGUUUCGCACAAGGCAAUCCCCCUUCGGGAAAGGACACCAGAUUUCCACACCUUCUAAUACUAAUCUCUUGAAGCUGGCGGAGAUUAUGUAAACCACUCGGUAAAAUUUUCAGAUUUUCACACCACAAAAUACCGAUUGUUUCAAGAGAUGUGUUGUUGUCCAACCUUUCUGCUAUUGACUCCAGCUUUGAACAACUCCAAACAUCAAGUACCUUAAGAGACGGAGGCAGAUUGCCAACUUCAAGGGACUCAAGCGUGGCAGGUAACUCGUUUUUUGAAAAUAUACAUGUCAGAGACGGACAACUCUCAAUGUGUAAGUGCUCAAGAAGAGAUGAGGUGUACCUUCUGCUGCUGCUACUCUGGAUGCCCUCUUCCACUGUCAAAGUCCUUAUAUUAUCGCACUUGUGAAUC
This 126231-nucleotide long non-coding RNA is filed under the name Citrus x clementina. RNAcentral's name for it is "Citrus clementina (C. clementina) long non-coding RNA (CCLE_LNC002249)". Lineage: Eukaryota; Viridiplantae; Streptophyta; Magnoliopsida; Sapindales; Rutaceae. The record is from RNAcentral.